RNAcentral lists this long non-coding RNA (154643 nucleotides) under Coffea arabica (coffee). RNAcentral's name for it is "long non-coding RNA (CARA_LNC004041)". Lineage: Eukaryota; Viridiplantae; Streptophyta; Magnoliopsida; Gentianales; Rubiaceae. The record is from RNAcentral.
UUUUUUUUUUUUUUUUUUUAUAAAUCACAGGUGUCCGCAUCCGUUUUACGAUCUGCGAUGGUUAAUCCCGUUCGAAUCGUAUCAGACCCUUGCAGGGAAAAAUCUCGAACUUUAUUUUUUUCAUUUUCAUGGAUUACAUGUGCACUUAGCAGCCAUUGGACAGACGAACCUGAUAGCGAAGAGUGCACUGAGAAUCUUUCUCCAACCACCGUUGAAUUAAUUUAAUCCUAGUGGUUAAGUGUCAAAUGAAACACUACAACAACAGAAGAACACAUUACACACGUUACCCACAUGAAAAGCAUUAUGCGUACUCGCGUUAAUUGCAUGUAUGGGCAAUUCAAAAUGGCUCCAUCUUGGAGUUGACGGCUCCAAUUCAAUUUUUGUGAAGCAUGAGUUAGCCCCAUCCUCUUCUAAUCACUGAACAUUUAACUCUCCAACUUAAGGCUAGCAAAGGCUAGCAGGAAAAAAAAAAAAAGUGUGUUGAAAAUUGUAAUGAUGAUAUAAACAAAUAUAUUUUAACAAAUAAUGGGUAAAAGACAUUCUCUUGCUCUGCAUGCAGAUGCGCAUGCAGGUGCCAGGCGGGAAUGUCGGUCGAUCAUUUCAGGUUUCGGGGUGGUGAAUUUUUUUCUCCCGUUAUUCGGCAGGUUUUCUGUGAAGACAUCUCAAGUACUUGAGCAAUUAAUGCGUCAGGCCCUAUGAGUAGGGCUGCAAACGAAUCGAGCCGCUCGCGAGCGGCUCGCGAGCGGCUCGAGUCGAGCUCGAGAUUAGUCGAGCUCGAGCCAACUCGAGUCGAGCUCGAACUCGAGCUCAGAAUAUUAAGCCCGACUCGCGAGCUUGAGUAUAUAUAUUUAUAUAUUUUUUUUAUUUUUAUUUAAUAAUAAAAUUACGUAUAUUAUAUAUAAAUAUAUUUUAAUUUUUUAUUUUCAUAGUGAAAUUACGUAUAUAUCCUUAAUAUUUUAUUAUUUAUUCAGAAAAAAAUAUUAUUUUUUUUUUAUUUUUUUCGAGCUCGAGCUCGGCUCGACUUGAUUCGAGUCGAGCUCGAAAAUUGCCAGCUCGUCGAGCUCGAGCUCGAGCUCGAACUUGGUAAAAUUUAGUCGAGGCUCGACUCGAUUAGCUCAAAACUCGACUCGGCUCGACUCGUUUGCAGCCCUACCUAUGAGCAUUACAAACCUUUUUAGAAAAUGUAAAAUGGUGAAUCGAUACAUUGACAUAGAUAGACUGUAACACAACAUCCGGAUGCAGAUGAAAUAUUAUAAAAGAAGAAAUAUCUGCUUUUGACAAGAAGUUAUUGUAGAAAAAUAUGUUGUGACAAUAUGAUAAGUGUAAAGUAAACAGACAAUAGAGAAAUACACUUUCUAAGAGAAUAUUCUACAGAUGUUUUCUGAAAAAAUUGAAAAUCCAAAUGGACCUAAUACUCUAAAUUAGUUUAAUAUAACCAUAUUGUUUUUUUUUUUUCCCCCAACUAAUGUUACGAUACUCUGAUAGGAUUGAAAAUCUCGCAGUUAGUUGAGAGGGAAAGGGGGGAAAUAUCAUUUAAUUGGUAUGACCUCGAAGACUUGUCUGAGUUUGUCCAUUUCAGGAGGGAGCAGUUUAGCUCGUUAUGCCUCAAGUAGGUAGUUUCCUUCAAUGAGUUUCUUCGAGUCGUGCGUGCCUUGUUAGCUAACUCAUUAGAUCAAUUAAUCGAACCAGGAAUAUUUGCACUCCUAACGCUUAGAGUUUGUUCUUUAGUUUAUUUUAGAUACCUAAUUUUAAAUUUUUACUUGUAAAAAGGUAUUUUCUUUUGUUCUCAAAGUGAAAUUGUUCAAUAGCAGUUUUAAAAUGUACCAUAGUUUCAAAUUCUCGAACCAUAUGCGUAACUCUUUUUGUUCUUUAUUGCAACUAGUAUUCAAGUCCUAGUAAAGAAAGGCGUUAUUUUAAAGUUUGUAUGUUAUAAUGGGGAAGGGUGAGGAGAAAAGAUAAAUUUAAAUAUAUUAACAAAAGGGAAGAAAACGAAAGAUGAGAAUGAUUAUGACAAAUUUAUUUUCAGUGAGGGCAUCAUUAACUUUUUAUUGGCCAAAUACUUAUGCUUGUUAGCAUUCACAGGGGCAAUUUGUAGUAGUUUUCAUAUAAUAACCUAUUGACCCCUAAUUAUACGAGGCAAUAUGAAACUAGACCUUAAUUUAAAUUAAAAAACCCAAGAUUGGUUGUUGUAAAUUCUCUCCUUUUGUUUUUCAUAAUUGUACGUUGCAGCCCAUCUUUUCUUUUCUUUUUUUUUCAUGUGUGGGGGGAGGGGGGGGGGGAGGAUUUAGUAGUCCAUCACUAGGUAAGAGUACACACCUAUCUUUUAUUUUCGGUAAUUUGAUGUGCGUAACAAGGAAAUCAUAUUAAAAAACUCAAAUCCACGUAGAGUUGGAAAAAGACGAAAAAUAUUAUUAGCACUCUAUUUUUUUUGGUUAAUUACAUUCCAACUAUUUGUUUUAUUAUAUAAUCUAAUAAAUAAAAAUGAAUUUUUCUAACGCGUGUCUAAUGAGUAUUCGUUAAUACACCUCCAUUCCACUCAACUUACCACAUAUAUAUACACAUUAACAAUUACUAUCUUUUCUUACAUUUAUAUACUUUUUUUAGUUAAUUCCCUUACAUUCAUGCACUUCUCUUAAUUAAGCUUAUGUUUUUAAAAAUCUAACAUUUAAAAUAUAUUUUAACGAGUGUCCAAAAGGUACCUAUUAGACAGAUCGAAUAAAAAUUAUAUGAUAAAAAAAUGAUAGUAAGAUUGCAAUUAAUAGAAGAAUAAACCUUAUAUAUACUGAUAGUAUAUACACUAUUACAGUUGGAUACAUGACACAUAUCAAAAUUUGGGUUUCAAAUUCAAAUUCGAAUUACAUGUCAUACAUUCAAUGGUAAAAGUGUAUACACUAUCAGUGUAUAGAAAAUUAAUUCUUAAUAGAAAGGAGAUUACAAUCAACAUUUCUAAGAAAAAGAUAGGUGCACAGGGGACACGGGGCUCGAAUGGUUGCUUGGAAAACUGUUCGGGCCGAUUUUGUGCAAAAAAACACAAAAAGUAACUUUAUAUGCAUACGAUAUAACUCACUUUAAAUAAUGUAUAACCAUAGAACAAAAUUUUAUUAAUCUCACACAUAGUGUGAAAAACGAUGUACAAAUAUAUAAUUUGAAUCUUAAAGCCUUGUUUGGAUUUAUUUUUCUGGAUUUUUUGUGAAAAAAUUACAGUAAUAAUUUGAUAUAUGUGAGGUAAAAAAAUGAUUGAAAAGUACAUUCACGAAAAAUACAGUUUAAAAAAUUACUGUCCAAACAAAUAUUUUUUUAGACCAAAUCUUAACCAUAAAUCUUCAGAAACGAUUGCAUUUCCUGCAACCGUUCCUGUCCCUUCUCCGGUGCAUGCGUAACAGAUCUUUGCUGUCUCGUGUGAGAGUAUCGAACUAUAGUCUAUACCUAGCUAGACUUGUAUAAUGCCGUGAGUUGCCCCGUGUUGCUGCCCGCCCCGGGGAAGGACGACUCAGAUUUUGUCCAACAAAUGAACAAAUCACAGUCCCAGUCUUUACACUCGCAUUUCAUUAUUUAACUAGUUUUGUCCCCGUUCGUUGAACGGGAAUCGUCGAAAAAUAAUAAACUAUUUAGUCAAUUCAUAAAAUUAUCGAUAUAAAAUACAUAUUUAAUGUAUAAUCUAUUAUAACAUGUCUUAAGUAUAUUACUAUGAGCGCAUUAUAUUGUAAAGUAUUCUUAUAAUAUAAAUUUGAACAUCUAAUUCAGUGAAUAAUAAUUCAAAAAUAUAAAAAAUAACAUUCAACAAUAUCAUAACAUUCAAAAACUUGAAAAUAAAUAAACAAGUGUAGUAAAUAGUAUCAAAUAACAUUCUACUUUUCAGAAAUUUGUUUUUAUUUUUUUCUGUUUGAACAUUCUUCUCGAUUUGUCCGUGCAAAUCAGCAUUUAUUAAUUUUCUAUUAUCACUACAUGAUAGCAAAGAAGGAUAACUAAGUAUAAAAAAAAUAAAUGAUUUAUCACAUUCAAGAUUGUGUAUAACAAUACGUAAAGAUUAUAAUUAAGUAAACGGCCAGAGUCUUUUAAUUAACUAAUGAAUUAGUUUUGUACCCGCUCGUUGAAAAAUAAUAAACUAUUUAGUUAAUUUUAUAAAAAUAUCGAUAUAAAAUAAAAAUUUAAUGUAUAAUCUAUUAUAACUUGUCUUAAGUAUAUUACUAUAUGCGCAUUGUAAUACAAAGUAUUCUUAUAAUAUAAAUUUGAACAUCUAAUUCAGUGAAUAAUAAUUCAAAAAUAUAAAAAAUAACAUUCAACAAUAUCAUAACAUUCAAAAACUUGAAAAUAAAUAAACAAGUGUAGUAAAUAGUAUCAAAUAACAUUCUACUCUUCAGAAAUUUGUUUUUAUUUUUUUCUGUUUGAACAUUCUUCUCGAUUUGUCCGUGCAAAUCAGCAUUUAUUAAUUUUCUAUUAUCACUACAUGAUAGCAAAGAAGGAUAACUAAGUAUAAAAAAAAUAAAUGAUUUAUCACAUUCAAGAUUGUGUAUAACAAUACGUAAAGAUUAUAAUUAAGUAAACGGCUAGAGUCUUUUAAUUAACUAAUGAAUUAGUUUUGUACCCGCUCGUUGAAAAAUAAUAAACUAUUUAGUUAAUUUUAUAAAAAUAUCGAUAUAAAAUAAAAAUUUAAUGUAUAAUCUAUUAUAACUUGUCUUAAGUAUAUUACUAUAUGCGCAUUGUAAUACAAAGUAUUCUUAUAAUAUAAAUUUGAACAUCUAAUUCAGUGAAUAAUAAUUCAAAAAUAGAAAAAAUAUCAUUCAACAAUACCAUAACAUUAAAAAACUUGAAAAUAAAUAAAAAGUGCAGUAAAUAGUAUCAAAUAAUAUUAUAUUCUUCAGAAACUUGUUUUUGUUUUUCUUCUGUUUAAACAUUCUCCUCGAUCUGUCCAUGCAAAUCCGCAUUUAUUGAUUUUCUAUUAUCGUUGCAUGAUAACAAAGUAGGAUAAUUAAGUACAGGAAAAAAAUGAUUUAUCGCAUUCAAAGUUGUGUAUAACAAUACGUAAAAAUUAUAAUUUAAAAAAGUAAAAUAGUAUAUUAAAUUUACCUUCUCAUGCAAAUCUUAUUAUGAGGAUUUCCUGCCUCUGUGAUUUUUAUUGAACCUUCUGAUGAAUAAUUCAUAUGAAGUGUAUUGAAAUGUUGUUGAUUAUAAUCAUCUGUUAUACUAAUUGGGAUUUGAGAAGAAAAUGCCUCAGGUUGGUAUUGGUUGUCGGUUCCACCAAUCUAAUAAUGAUUUAUCAAAAUUAAAAACAAAAAUAUUAUAUGAGAUAUAAUAUGUGAAAUAUAAGAGAAAUUUAUUGCACAUUACCUGUGAAAGUAUGAAAUGCGUUUCCCUCCCAAAAUCACAGUGGAACCAUCUAGUCACUGUAAAUCUAUUAUUAUCUUAUUCCAGAUUGUAAUUGUUCAAUUUGAUUUGAAACACAAAAGGUUUCGACGUGGUCUUAUUUACAAUUGAUGACACGAUUUCACUGCUAAAUCCUUCCUGAAAAUGAAAUGCAUAAUAGAUUUUUUUUUGUUAGAAUAUUUAACGGCUAAGAUAAGUGUCGGAUUGUCUACUAUUAUUAAAAAUUAGAUAUAAGUUUAACUUGUUAAAUUCUUCAAGAACAAAUGAAAGUUUGUGUUCUAUUAUUCUUUCAGCCUCUCGAUCAAAUAUAACAAACCAAGUACUACAGGUUGCAUCACUUACCAAGACUUUUAACAUACACCUGUAUAAAUACACAUAUUCUAAAAGUUAUGUUUAUGUAGAUAUUGUAACAAUUAAAAUGAUAAAAGGUUAACAUCUACGACAUACCUCAAUUUAGGGUACUCCACAUUUUGAUUGCAAGCAUUGCACACAAAAUUAGAUCCUUCUAAUGUCACUUUUCUCUGACAUUUUGGACAUGCUUUGUAGUAUAGUUGACUAUUGAAAUCAACCUUCAGAAUCGUCACUUUGGAAGUGUAAACCAAUUUCUAGAGAAAUGAAAAGAUCUAAGCAGUCAAUUUAAAUAAUUAAUAUUUUUAAUUGUGAAAACUAAUGUGCUAUAAUUGUAACUUGUAACUUUAAUUGUACCUCUGUUUAAACACCGGCUAUUAUUUGAUAUAUCUCUGAUAAUAAUUUUCGAUUCUUGAACAUUAAUUGUUGUAUAGCUUCUCGCUUUUUUUGAGGAUGUAAAACCUCAAUAGUUUGAGGAGCAGUGCUAUCAACGCUAAUAACAAUCUUAUCUUAAUUACUUAUAUACAAUAUAUAUGAAAAUAUUAAACAAACAUUUACUAAAGAUAUAUAGUUUUGCCAAUUCAAGUAAUCUGCAACUUCAGAAAUAUUUAGAUUCAUAUAUACUCGAUUUGUCCGUGCAAAUCAGCAUUUAUUGAUUUUCUAUUAUCACUGCAUGAUAGCAAAGUAGGAUAACUAAAUAUAAAAAAAUAAAUGAUUUAUCGCAUUCAAGGUUGUGUAUAACAAUACGUAAAGAUUAUAAUUAAGUAAACGGCCAGAGUCCUUUAAUUAACUAAUGAAUUUGCAGAUAUAUCUAAUAGAGAUAUUUAUAUUUUUUAUAUUUAUAUCGCAUUACUUUCCAGUGCUUUUUGUUUUUGGUUAUUUUUCCUGAAGGCAAAUUAACAAACAUCGUAGUAUAUUAUCACAAAAAUCAAUUAAUAAACACGAUAGAAAAAAUCCUAUAAAAAAAAUCGAUGAAAGUACUUGUUUAAGUCCUAUGUCUUCAUACAAAACAAAUAGAAAAUAAAAAUAAAAAAAUAAAAUUCAAGAUAUGUUAGUAAGCUCUUACAAUUGAAGAUCAGCAUGCCUUUUUAAAAAAUAUAUAUAUAUAUUGAAAGAAGAUGUAUCUGAUAAUCAAUAGGAGUGGAAACCCAAAAUCGAUACUUUAAUAUGCCAACCGCUUGCACUGAAAAUAUCUAACAAUGAAUUUGAUGCUUGAAAUCAAUAUAUUAGUGGCUAUAUGUAGUGCAGGCAUAAGAAAUAAAAAUUGAUAAGGAUACAAAGAAAUAUUGAUAAGAACAUUAAAUGUAUGUUUAUCUUAAUUUAAGUUGCUUAAAGUACGUAACUUUUGGUAAAAAAUAAGAAUCCUAUAAUAUUCAUAAUUCUUAUAGGAAAUAAAACCAUAAUCGUCCAAAUAACUUUGGGUAGGAAAUAAGACCUUAUGUGACCCGUACUAUGUACGUAUAUAAACAUGUACGUAAUAAAUUUACAAAUGCGUUAUAAAGAUAGAUUUUACCGACUUUAAAAGACUACCUCCGCCAUAUCAAGUCCUUUAAGUGCAUGGAUUCCUAUGAUGUGAGUCCACACACGAAAUACUCCCCACCAUCUAGGUAGAGAUGUAUUGUGAUUAAUGAAUUAUUAGCAGAAAUAUAUUAAAAAAAAGACGGACGGAGAACACUACAGAUACUACGGACGGAGGCCUUUUUUUUGGAUUGGAGGACACUAUGGACGGAGGGUUGGGUAGAGGCUUUCGGGGUGCAAAACUUCAACAAAUGUCUAAUGUUUUAUCUCAUCUUUCCUUAGCUAUAAUAAUGGGAUUUUAUUUCUUUGGUUGAUGACACUCUAUUUUCUUUAUGGACUUUUCCAGAAAUUUUCAAUCAAAUGAAGUGCCAUUUCUCUUUGUACAUUAAUUAUGCAUGGGGACUAUGAGUCUUGUAAAAACUUUCUCGAGUUAAUUUUUUUUAAUUUUCAUGUCUAGAUUGUUUGUAUGUUGUUCUAUAUGUAGGUAAAUUAUUUUAAAAUAAAAAGGAUCUAUGAUGAAGUUGUUAAAAAAAAAGAAUAGGACACUAUAAAAAAAUAUAUUAUCAUUUAUUCUUAUAUAUCUAAUAAAGGAGAUUUAUGUAUCUUUUAUUUAUAUCGCAUUACUUUCCAAUUCUUUUUUCGGGUAAGAAAUAAGAAUCAUAUAAUAUUAAAAAUUUUUAUAGGAAAUAAGAAUUGAUAUAUAUCCAAACAAAAAAGGAGCAAGCCACGUAAGAAACUAUUUACCGUCUCGUUAAGCCACGUAGGAAAGAGAAAAUAUUAAGGAUAAGUAUGAGAAUACGGCUUUAUUAUAUAUAUAUAUAUAUAUAUAUAUAUAUAUAUAUGAUUCCCAGCAUUGCUUGGCGUCUCCCAGUCCAAACGGUGGAACGCACGCUACAAAACGACAGCUCUAUAGUCCGUACGAUCACCACAUCCCACCACCCAGGCCCCCGGGCUUCUGCCUCAGCGUUCUCAGAUUCAGAAAUACACUACUAACUAGCUUACAAAAAACCAAUGUCCCAUCCGCUCUCCUCACCAUCCCAAUCUUAGCAUCCUUUUGUGCCUCCAUCGUCUCCGUUGUUGUACUUCAUUUCAGCAAGUUUCGAUACUUUUUAUGCAUGUUUAUAGGUUGAUUAGCGGUAUACGUAUAAUCUUGACGUGGGUGGUUGGCAAUUAUUGGUGGGUUGAGGGGGGUCAAGGGAUGGCUUCAUCCGUGGUGUGUUCAUGGCUGAUGGCGGCAUGCAUGUCAGUUGCUUGUGAAAAUGACUCCAAGACGACCAUUUCGAUGUUGAGCUCCGACCCAUCUCUGUCCUCGCGAUUUACCAAAUGGGCUGCUCGUAAAAGGAGGAGGGCUUUUCCUAUUUCGCCCAAAUGUGCAGCUGGCCCCCCUCAAUUUUCUAGAAUUCGUAAUCUUAUGAGUUCUUGUUUGGCCUUUGAGCCCUGCCCUGACUUUUGCAGGAAUAGUUCUUCUUCUUUUCCUUCCUUAGCCCUUUCUUCUUCCCCUUUCUUCUCUGGUGGUGAUAACGGAGCUCUUGCUCUCGGUCAUGGCAGGCGCAAUAAGCUCAAUCAACCUGUCCAUUCUGGUAAUCUUCGUUUUCGUGUUUUUAUUGAAUUUCGCCAUUUAUUUGCCUGUUUGAUUGUAUUUUUGCUGGUUUUUAGUGCUUUUGGCUAAAUGUUAUGGGUUUUAUGUUGUUUGGGAUCUGGACUUGACUUAAAGGUGAGGCCUUGGUUUGAACUGUAAGGUUUAUCUGUUGUCAUUUGGGUUGGUAAUAGAGAUUACAGACGGAUUCUUAGCUCGUGUUAGACCCUAUAGUGCCGGGGGCCUUAUUGCAUUGUUUUUUCCUUUAAAAAUGUAACCCAAAGGAAAAAAAAAAAAAAAAACUCAGGCAGGCUUCAGUUCCUAUUAUUUUUAUUUUUUGGUCAUUUGUUACUUAAGAAAAUUGUAAUCAUCUGAAUAUUGUGAACUUUUUUUUUCAAUACAGUAUAUUAUAUAAAUAGGAGUAUUAGUGAAAUCUACUUUCACAAGUUUGGUAUUUGAGAAGAAGGUUGGUGGCAACAUGCUGUUCAGUCUUUAUGCAUGAAAACUGCACAAGUUAUUAGCUCUGCAAGAGAGAGCUGCUAUUGGUUAACUUGCAGCCAAUGACAUUUCACAUGUGCUGUCCUGUGAGAUUUAUAUCCACCCAAUUGCUCUCAGAGCAGCUAUGUGGAUGGCUUAUAUUCAAGGUUGCUGCCAUUAAAUUGGAGGAUGCAUAGCAAUAACAGUAUAAGUUCACUAGAUUUAGGUUUCCAGAUGCUAAUUCCUUCAAAAUCAUAAAGAAAUGUGAUCUUUUAGAAUCAAUGCAGCUAUUCACUGCUUGGUUCUGCUUCACCUAUUUAGACUUCUUGUUAACUUGCACUUCCGCUCAGUAAUUGUUAUGAUGUUAGCUUUUUCUGCAAUCUAAGCCACUCUGGUGCACCCCUUUUCUUUGUAAGUUAUAUUCCAUCUAUUGAAAUGGAGUAUUUCAGGGAAAGCAGUAGCCAUAGCAGUGCAGCCUACUAUGGAAGCUGCUCCAAAGAAGAAACCUCCCACCAAGCAAAGGAGAGUGGUUGUGACAGGAAUGGGUGUAGAGACUCCUCUUGGUGAUAAUCCAGAUGUAUUUUACACUAAUUUGCUUCAAGGUGCUAGUGGCAUAAGUGAGAUAGAGGCUUUUGAUUGUUCCAAUUUCCCUACAGUAUGUCAUCUUAAUGAUCUCUGUUUUUUUGGUUUUUUUUUUUUGGGUGGAUACCACUGGUAUAUAAUUCAAUCUUUAUGCUCAAAAACAGAGAAUUGCUGGGGAGAUCAAAUCUUUCACAACAGAUGGUUGGGUUGCGCCUAAACUUUCUAAAAGAAUGGAUAAGUUCAUGCUUUACAUGCUGACUGCAGGGAAGAAGGCAUUGGCUGAUGGUGGAAUUACUGAAGAUAUUAUGGAUGAACUGGACAAAACUAAGUGUGGGGUGUUGAUUGGCUCAGCUAUGGGUGGGAUGCAGGUAAAUUUUCUGUUUUGUGUCUUUGUUAGUAGAGAGUUGACUGAUGGAUCUCAAAUUGGGUUUUCAUGAAUGCCUCCACAUGUAGGAAUUGGAACCAUUGCUGUCUUUUUGUGUCCAUAGUUUGGUUUAAAUACUUGGUAAUAAGGCUGCAUACGUGCUUAAUUUGUAAAAGUGCUUACAAGGAUGUUAUGUAAUGACCAUGAUGGUUACCUAGAUGAGUUGACCAGAUUUUAUAUCUAGACCUUCUUACAUAUACUGUCCUUCAUCAUUUCCACUGAUUAUAUUAAGCAGUACUCUGGUCCUUGUGAACUCAAUGGUUUUCAUGCACUAUCUGGUUUUCUAAGCUGGAAAGUUGAACCUUUGAACCACUCUACAAUUUUCUUUAGCUAAAAGAGAGAUGGCCAUAAUGGAAGCAUUUAAUACGAGAACAAAAAUGACGACUACUUUUACUAGUGCUCUUUUUAGCGUCUGUCAUUGUGAGAUCUUAGAAAAACUUUUGAGAGAUCUUAGAAAAACUUUUGACAUAAACUAUGUAUCUGGACUCUCACAUCCCUUUGUUGAAUAGGAAAAAGGACAUGAAAUUCUUUAUUACCAUUGAUUUUGUGAAAUUUUAAACACUAGUCCAAAUUUAUUAACUGAUUUUUAAGGUUUCCUGAAAUUUUUGUGAAUGGGGCAGGUUUUCAAUGAUGCAAUUGAAGCUUUACGGAUCUCAUACAAGAAGAUGAAUCCUUUUUGCGUACCUUUUGCAACCACAAACAUGGGUUCUGCCAUGCUGGCCAUGGAUUUGGUUAGUUUAAUUUCUAUGCUUUUUAAUACUGACUGAAGAAAUUACUUAAACUGGUUGAUGUCUUUCUUAUUGUAUACUUUUGUUUUGAAUACAGGGAUGGAUGGGUCCAAACUAUUCGAUAUCUACUGCCUGUGCUACAAGCAACUUUUGCAUAUUGAAUGCAGCUAAUCACAUCAUUAGAGGAGAAGCUGUAGGUGUCUUGCAUUAUUGCUUGUGAAGUCAAGCUUGAUGUAUCUAAGCUGUUUUGAUAUUACUUUUGUGUAUCAUUUUUAAAUAAUUAUGACAAGUAAUUAUACAGAGAUAAAACAUCAUGCUGCUUGCCAUGCUUUCUUACACAUAUGGCGAACAUGCAGGAUAUGAUGCUUUGUGGAGGCUCGGAUGCUGCCAUCAUACCCAUUGGUACCCAUUGUAUUAUUUAGUCGAUUUAUAUUAAUUUUAGCUACAUAAGUUUUUGAAUUUUAAUGUCAUAAAAUUGGCUACAGGAUUGGGCGGUUUUGUCGCAUGUAGAGCACUUUCUCAAAGAAACAGUGACCCAAGUAAAGCUUCACGCCCUUGGGACAGUGUAAUUUCUUCAAAUCCCAUGUUUAUAUUACCUUCUGUUAGUUUUGGUAUUGUACACUGUUGAUAACAAAGUCCUGAGUUGUUUCUUGAGCUCUGGAGCAAAAAAGGCGGAUGGUAAGAUAGCUAAUCCUAGUUCAUGUUGUCCUUGCCAAGAAAAAGUUUUACCAAUGUCGUGAUCAUGCCUUAAAAAUAAGUUCUACUCCCUCCGUCCCACUUUGAUAGUCUUGUUUUCCUUUUUUGUCUGUCCCAAAUUGCAGUCCACUUUCCAAUUGAAGAAUGUAGUUGUAUUUUCAUUUUCCUAAAAUACCCUUAUUCAAUACAAGUUGUUGUUGCUAUAAACCUACCCCAUUUAAUGAGAGUUGAUUCUUUUUUUACCAUCAAUUCAAGUUCCCAUAAAGUUGUACUCUAAUUAAUGUGAGGGUAAUUUAGAAAAAUAGCAAUCUAAAUUUACUUUUCCAACAAAGUUAACUACUUUUUCUUAAACUGUGUGAAAAAAAAAACAGGACUAUCAAAGUAGGACGGAAGGAGUAUAUGAUUAAAUCUAAUUGGAUUAUCUGAUUCGGGUUUCUUUCUGUACGACAAAUAACUUCUAUUUUUUUUUUUUUUUUUUUUUGGGCACAUGACAAAAAACUUCAUUUUCUUAUUUAACAGAAUCGUGAUGGAUUUGUUAUGGGAGAAGGAGCUGGAGUUCUACUUCUGGAGGAACUUGAACAUGCCAAGGUAAAUCUAGGUUGAGACAUUACUCAGAUUGUGUAUUUUUGUCAAUGAAACAACAACGCUUGCAUUUUAUCCUUUUCAAAAUUGAUUUAUUAUUCCCAAAUGGACAGGGAAGAGGUGCAAAUAUUUAUGCAGAGUUUUUGGGUGGAAGCUUCACUUGUGACGCUUAUCACAUGACAGAGCCACAUCCACAAGGUAAUCUUCUGAGCUUUUUUUCAGCCGCAUGUUGCUGUAUAGAUUGGAUAGUGUCAGGAUUUACAAAUCUUAGUCAUUCUGAAUGUUUGUUUUCCUGGAUAAACAUGAAUUGGAAAUCAUAGAAUGUGUAUCCUCUUGACUUGAUCAUUGAGAGAAGGGUGGUAAACAGUACUUGUUGAUUUUGCUGUAACUUCUAGGAAUAAAGUGCUCAUGCAACCUUGAAUAUUUUGUUUAAAUAGGAUUGAACUAGUCGUGGAAAUAAUCCCACAAAAGCUGUCAUGUGCAGCUUGAAGAUCCAAGGGUUGAUCAUAUGUAUGUGAAAACUUAUGGGGUUUAUCUAAAAGAUGAUUGGAUGAUUAAAUUGAAUUCAUGUUGGCCGGUUCUGACUUCUGGGUUUUGUUUUAUCUUGUGGAUGACAUGAUAGAGUGAAUGUUCUUCUAGUCACAGUGUAGAAAUUUGUUCUUUCGCAAAUUUUCCUGGUAACUGAUUUAUGGUUCAUGACAUUGAUGCUAAAAUACUGCAACUUUUUAUGGCAAGAAGUUCUCAUUAGAUGCGCAUAGAGCUUUACUGAAACUGAUAUAUGUGGUUAGCCAAGUGGGUGUGGAUGCACUUUAUGCUGGUUUAAGUAUAUCUGAGUAUGAGAUAGAAUCUUUUGACAUCCCAAAAUCUGGAAACUGUAUCUGCUUCAAAGCAAUAUAGUCACAGCUGGGUUCAUAAAUACCCUUAAAUGGAGGUCAAAUAGUAAAAAGUUAGUGCACCAAUUAACUGCAGUGUAUGACUAACUUUCUGUGGCAUUGUGGUUUAACCUUUAUAGUUUGCUUGCAUAAGCAGGAACUGGUGUCAUCCUGUGCAUAGAGAAGGCUUUGUCUCAGUCUGGGGUGUCUAGGGGAGAUGUAAACUAUAUUAACGCACAUGCUACAUCCACACCCGCUGGAGACCUUAAGGAAUAUCAAGCUCUUGUUCAUUGUUUUGGCGAGAACCAAGAGGUUACUUUCAAUUUCUAUAACAUGAUAUAUUUGUUUUCUUUUUCCCAGUUUUGGGUUUUAUGGUUCUGAUUUGUGAUUUUUUUUUUUUCAAUUCCUGCAGUUACGUGUGAACUCUACAAAAUCCAUGAUUGGCCAUCUGCUAGGAGCAGCUGGGGGUGUUGAAGCUGUUGCUACCGUUCAGGUACCUUGUGUUAUUCAUGAUUUCCUGAGAAACUUGGGAGUGUCUUUUGGAUCAUAACUUUAAUUCGAUUGCAUGAUUGUGGAAAUGCUUUGGAUGAUAGGCAUGCUAGAAAUGCCAUUUAUCUGUAUUCAUAGUGAGUAUUAUUUUUUUUUCAUCUAUUUAAGAAUUUAUGGUUGCAGCUAACACUGAGAUGUAACUCUCAUGCUGUCUGCCUUAUUAGGAAGUGCUAUAUUUUUCCUCUUUAUUUAUCUUGGAGUUGUAUCAUAAUUUCCUUAUCUGUGAGUAGAAGCAAGAAAUUCUAGUUACAUAUGAAUAUAAAAGAGAUGCCAGGUUAUAUAUCAGGCUGCUAAGGAAAAGGAAAGCCAUGAUUCGAGCUUUGGAUAUUAACCAUGAAAAAAGAAGCUUCUUACUAGGCGGCCAACAAUUUCAUGAGAAUUUGAUUGAACAUCAAAGGCGUUAUUGCUUUUUAGUUUAGAAACAAGCUACCAAAUUUUUGAGACACAAGACUCUGCCAGCUGUUUCUUGAUCAUUGGCAAUGCCAUGAAGAUGCAGACUUUGUGCUGUAGUCAUUAUUUACAAAGUUAGACGCUGUGUAUGUAACUGCAGUAGUCCAGGAAUAUGAACUUUGGAAGCUACGACAUGGAGUGGAAAGAGGAUAUCAAUAGUAAUUUAACUCACACUUUCCCCUUGUAAGAUCAGCUUUGUGCGUCUCCUAUUGUUCUUUUUUCAGACAAGGCUAGUGAUGGACUAGGUCCAUUAGCUUGAAUUCUAUAACUUGUAGCACUCCAUGCAGCCUUAGAUGACUGAGUGUUUCUGAUGUUAACCUUCUUAGACAAGCCAUAAUUGUCAAUUUACAUGAUAAAGGGGACCUCUUAUAGCUUUUUACUGGAAACCUGAGCUACUUUGUUGUUGAAUUGAAAUAUAUAAUUUAGUAUCUUUUGUUGAAGGGUUUUCUUGGAAACCAUUAUGUUUGUUGAAGUAGUACACUUGAGGUAUUUGAUCAAGUUUUUGUUCUUGCCAUCUUCUUUUGCAGUAAUGUUUUUCAUAUGAGCUAUCUAUAGAAAAUGAUGCCAUAAUGAAUUGCUUGACUGUAUAAAUUGGAAUUUCUUAUCUUGCAGGCUAUAAGGACAGGAUGGGUUCAUCCAAACAUCAAUCUUGAAAACCCAGAUGAUGACGUGGUAUGUUUACAAUGCUUAUAGUAUCUAGUUUUCUCUGCUUGUGGAGUGACUGCUGUAGCAUCUUUUAUUGCUUUGGAAGGGACUUGGUGGGAUUAUGGCAUGGUGGUUUUUGCUGUUACUGUAGAACAAUUUCUAGCUUAGUCAGGAAAUGUUGUCUAAUAGCAUUUGCUGAUUUGAUCCAGAUGCUGCAUUAUUUAAUAACUGUCCUGCAUACACUCUUGCAUAAUAUGCCAAUCCUGCUAGUAAAAAUGCUUAAUAUGUAUUUGUAUUUAUGUUGAAGAAGAAAAUGCAUUUCAUGCUUACACGUAUUUUGGACUUUAGGGGUGGAGUACUUUUUAUGCUAUCAUUUUGUUUCCAAGCGGGGUCUGUCUGACAAGACACGAUGCUUUUAUACCUUGAAUCAGGACACUAAACUGUUGGUUGGCCCGGAGAAAGAACGACUUGAUAUUAAAAUAGCUUUGUCCAACUCGUUUGGAUUUGGUGGGCACAACUCUUCAAUAUUGUUCGCUCCAUACAAGUGAAUUUCUUUUGGGGGGGCUUGAUUCUGCCAGAUGUGAUGCUCUAGGUAUGUACUCAUUGGUUUACGUGGAAUAAUCAUAUUCAUAAAUAUUUCUAUUGAGGUUGUCCCUCAGAGGUGACCUUACUCUUGAUAGUGUGAAUCACAAGAAACAUGAUAUGUAUGUAACUUGAUUCUCAGGAAGAUAUUCAAUCUUUUUAACUUUUUCGAGUACUUCAGAAAUCCUCAAGGCUCUUGUGGCUGCUUUACUGAGAAUGCAUCAUAUACUAGUGCGCAGUGCACUUAGUGAUAUUCUCUGGAUUCCUUUUCCCGAACGAAUUGGAUGUUUGCCUGUGCCCGGACAAAGGGUCUUUUGGGGUGCUAUUCAAGGGAAAAACACGAGCUCCUCUGAAUCCCAUGAACCUAUUGCAGAUUUUAUUGGAUUUCUUCCCUCCAGACAUUCCCUUCAUUUCAUGCAUAUAAUUAUUGUAGGGCUUUGAUGAUGAUAUGAACUAGAGGGCAUUGCGACAAUACAAGGUGCCUGUGCUUGGUUUAGCCGUCUCCCUGUACAAGUAAUUAUUGCUGACCUGUACCACUAAAUUUUGAUCUAAAAAAUUUGCCUGUGGCAUUUAUUUUUUAUUGAACUGACGGUUCUUCCUCCGGUCCAACGGAGGGCAAUUGAAGAAGUCAAACAACUAUCAUAAUCGAACACUUCGUGCUCACAUCACAUCCGAAUUUAUUUUGGGCAAUGAAUAUGUCAGAAAAAUUACUUCAAAAUAGGGUGAGGGGCGGAUGUAGACGCCCCGGAUCCCUUCAAAUACGAACUUGUUAAACCAAAUUUCUACCACCAAAGCUAAGCUCAAAUGUGAGUCUGCCCUCGUUGUAAAUCUGCAAAAUCAUUACUUUGCAGCGGUAAAUAAAAUGCUGUAAAUGCCAAUAAUACCAAAGAAAAUUGUUGGAAUUUGGCCUCUUUAUCCAUGCUUGAAAAGGGUCAAUGAUGAUGAAUGAAUAAUUAUAUCAAGUAGACAUGCUUCAGCCAAAAUGCACUUGCCCAUUUUGGCUUGUCACUGUUCUAAAAAUCAAUAUAUCUUCUUUAUUGCUAAUAUAGCUGGAUUUCCCUUUUUUUUUCACAAAACUAUCUGUAAACACGUGCAUAUAUACAUGAAGAAUACACUUUCUCUCGGUUUGAUACCAUAUCACAUACAAUAUCGAAAACAAAAGCACGUAUGAUCAUUAGGAUCAUUGAAAAUAUCCUAUCCCUCGUGCCUCCAGUUAUAGAAGCAGAGACCAACAUGAGAAAUUCCCCUUCGAUCCUUCAUGAACCAAACAAAAUGACAGCCGGAGCUAAUUAAAAAUCAAUUCCUGUGUAAAAUCUUCAGCAGCCGGCACCACACACAAUUGCAUCUCUUUUUGACGACUCUAGUCUCGACAAAAGCAGACCGCCAUGGCAUAAGUACAAAAAAACCACCACGGUACCUUCCAGCUUUCUCCCACUGGCUGAAAAAAAUUAUGUCUCGCAUCUACCUAGUCUUCUUCUGGCCAUCCUUCUUCUUAUGCUUCUUCAAUUUUACUGCCUUCAUGGAAAGUGCACUUGAGACACUCCUACCUUCGAGCUUCUUUGUCAGCUUCACCACACUAGCCAUGCCUUUUCUUGCGGCAGCCUUGUGCUCAGGCCUCCGGCUCAACAUCUUGCGGUCAAGUGGCCAAUAAGCAUACGGCUCAAGUUUAUCCUUCCUCUUCAAAUCCCCACCAGCCUUCUUGCUUGAAUACUCAUUACCAGUGUAAGCCCACCCAGACUCGGAUGUCUUCCUUCGCUUCUGGGUAUUUCGAGAAUUUAUUGACAAAUGACUAUCUGCAUGGCUCUUUCCAUCUGUGUCAGGGUCAGAUGACACAUUUCUUUUUGUCUUCUGUUUCUUAUCACCUUCGUGGAUAAUCAACCGUCCUUCAGCAUCUAUUUCUAGCUCAUCGUCCAAUUCAGGUUUUCUUUUUAGAUGCUUGGAUGAUCGAAGAGCCGAUCGUGUCUUUUGUCGAUCCAGCAGAUCGAGUGGUUCAUCAUCUACUUGGUCAAGCAAGUCUUCCUGCAAGCCCUUGGUAGCUUUACGCAUCCUAGAUGUUUGCAAAUAAGUACUUUUCAGAUUACUGUUCAUUGAAAGCUUAAAGCAAAAGCGCUCUAAUGCAAAUAUUAAACUUCUUAUUAUUAGUCAAUUGGCUAGCAUAGAAACCCCAGGUUCAGAAACAGACCUAGUGAUGAUCAAAACAUACAGAUUCUACUUUUUAACAGUUCGGAGUACGUAUCACUGUCUCACUAACGAGCAUGAAACUGCCAUCCUAAACCUUUCAUGUGGUCUUGGUUUAAAAAGAUGUAAAAAGCUAAAUGUCCAUAAACUGACCUAUGUGACGAUGCUCUGGAUUUUGACACUGAUGACGUGUCCAUCUUCCGGCCAUUAAGUGUCCUCACAUCCAUGAAAUUGGUAUCACUGUUCUCACUUCCUUCAUCAUCAAAAUCAGAAAAUAUCCUGGUAUGAUUCCAUUUACUCCGCCUGUAAAAAGAUUGAAAAAUUUGUCACAAAGAAGUAUACGACUGAUUAUGUGAGGAACCAUACUAUCUUUGUAUUGCCAAUGAAUCACCACGACUGUUACAACAUGUUACUAAAAUCAGCUAUAAGACUUGCUCAAACGUUUCCAUAAUGCUUUUAUCCAAGUCCAUUUAAUAAUUCCUUAGCAUAUAUUACUCUAAAUUCUUGCUCAAUUCUAAACCCUGUACUAGGGUUGCCCCACAGAGAGAGAGAGAGAUAGAGAGAGAGAACAUGGAUAUAGGUGCUUAAAGUAUAUUUCCAGAGUCAACAAGCUCGGCUACAGCAACAAUAAAAUCCUAGUUAAACUAAUACAAACUCCAAAGGGUGGUACCUUACCAAAUUCGCAACAAUGAAGCUUAGUUGUUAGGUUUCCUAAUUCUGUGCUUGUCAAGCUUAGAAUUUCUUGUAAAAAUGCAGUAAAUACAUUAAAUCUCUCUACAUUAAACAUGCUUAAUGCCUAUUUUGUACAGAAACAGAGUAAUACCAGCAUGCUUCCAAGCUCAAAGGCUCACAAAGAUGGAAGAAAGAAAAACCUGGAUGUAGUAGCUUUUGACUGAUGAGAUCUGGAUUCCUCGGAGUUGGAAGCAAGUUUCCUUUCCUUGCGCUCCUUAAUCUGCAUGAUCAUAAUAUGAUAAAUGUUCCUGAUCAAGCCUUUCAAAAACACUUUUCUUCAGGCAAUCUCCAACAAACCUUUCUUAUGUUGGUAAGAAGUUUCACGUGUUCUUCAGGCAUGACUUCUUUAACAGCCUCCAAACCACAUUUUUUGAUAAGCAUUUCAAAUAGCAUUUUAACCUGCGCGAAGAAAGUCAGGUCUGAUGUACAAAGUGAAGUAAUGUUGAAUGAGAAAAAUAAGAAAAAUUUCCAAUUUGUGUAAAAAAUAUUACAAAAUUCAUUUAGUUUUCAAAAUGGCCUCACUGAAGUUAAAACAAAAAUAGGAUGCGUAGUGCUUUCCCAUGUGCAAAAAUAUGUGAACCUUACCCAACCAAGAAAUUAGAUUCCAAAUUUAAGCAAGAAGCAAUCAGAAGGAAAGGAAAGACAAACCUUUGCUUUGAAAUGGUUCUUCCUGCUAUCUUGCCAAUUCAAUAGGCCCUCCACCAUUCCUUUUAAGUGUGUUUGCAACCAUUCAACCUGGGACUUAGCGACCAGCACUUUCAACAAUCCUAGACUAGCCUACAUUAGAAGCAAAUAUUAGAGGAUCACAGUAUUUCAUGAUUGACAACCUGAAGAUUAACUGGUUACAACAAAGGUUACAUCAACACAAGUGUAGCUAUCUAUUUGGUAAAGCAAACCUUGAUUAUUUCCUUGUUCUUUCUCUGGAGGAGGAGAAACAUGGAUGGAAGAACUGUAUAAGUAACAGAAACAAGAUCGCUAAACUCAUAAGCCAAGCGAGCUAAACCCUUCACAGCUGCACUAAUCAUUUGAGGGGUCUCUCCAGCCAAUCCUCCAGCAACCUAUUACAGUAAGAUAUGCAUCUUUAAGAUGGAAAACAGACAAAAUUGAAAUAUUUCAAUAGGUAAGAACUCCAAGAUUCUGUACCAUGUUAAAAAACUGGUGCAGGUCUUCUUUUCUGCCCCCUUUAUCUUCAUCCCCAUAUAUGUGUCCAAUUUGAACCAGAAUAUCAUAUGCUCUAUUUCUUGUUCUUUUAUUGACCUAGGAGAUAGGAUACAAGCAAAUGAGACGUUUUUACUGUAUCUAAAACUGCAUUAAGCUGUAAGCCAGGUUUCACAGAAUGUGCACACACUUACAGUAGAAACCUCUCUCUCUCUCCCCCCUCCCCCCCCCCCCCCCCCCCAAUAUAUAUAUAUAUAUAUAUAUAUAUCCCCCCUCACUCAAGAAAAAAGAAUGAUAAUCCGAAGUAAUACCAUAUUUGUCCAAGCAAAACUAUUAUAAAUUAGUAUCCAAUUCUAGAACUGCAUUCCCCAGGUUUGUCAUGAUCACCAAGUGUGUCUGUAGCUUUUGAGAUUACGAAUAAUAUGCAAUUGAACCUUCCAUAAAUGAUCAUGUCAACAUUAACUAUGCUUACAAUUCCAAACCAAUGUUAGAAGGACCACAGGAAGAGAAGUCGCUGAAAUUAAAAUUAGGAAGGAUAUGAGAAGUAAAACGUGAAGUCAUUGUAAUUUGAAAAUCAUAAGGAACAUAAUUUUACUUGUCAGAUAUGACACGUGUACUUAGCCCCUACUACAAUGUUAAAACCCAAGUAGUGGAUUCUACUUUUAUCAAUUAGCUGUGUAUAUUGGAAUGGCAGUGGGUACCAUAAGUCAUGCCUCACAUUCCACUUCUACUGAAACCACCACACCUUCUUCACUACCUGAACCUCCUCCCCUUUCCCCAAAAAUUCACCAUUACAAGCCAUUUUUCCCAUGAUUGUUGACACCUCUCAACCACCCAGUGAAGCCUCGCUACAAAACCACCUCAUCAAUAUCCCGAACAGCAUGUCAUACCAAGCUAUACUAAAACAUAGCAAGACAACCAAGAACAACUCUUCAAUUAGACACUGCAAGACAAGCAACUCAAGAAACUUUGGAUUUCAAAAUCGCCCCUUAUAAUAAUAAAAUAACCAAAUACAGCAGAAAACUGAAGGUCAUGGCGAUUAAGAUGCUGUACCUCUUUCAAUGCAAUUACCAUAUCAGUCGGGAAACCAACAAACCAAAUACAGCAAAAACUAAAGAAAAUUAUGGCAGUUAAGAAGCUAUACCUCUUUCAGUGCAAGAACUAUUUCAGUCAGGAAAGAAGAGAUGAUGUCACGCCGAUUCUGCCCAGAUAAAUCCUGCAGCCAAAGGUGUAGAAGUGCAGAUAAAUUCUCAUGCUCGAGUUCAGACAAACAAUUUUUCCAUGCAUUCUCAGCAACAAGAUUUUUGCAAGUAAAUGAAUUUCAAGAUCUUGCUAAUCACCUUUGACAUAUGGACAAUCAAGAAAUACAGAGAGUCAAGCCUAUGACGCUUGGCCGAGAAAUGACAAUAAGGAAGAACCUCAAUCAUCAGAUUAAGCAGCUCUUCAAGCUUUCUCGAAAUAAAUUCAUCUGAGUUCUGUGAAAAAAAUAGAAGGCUUAUAAGUUCACAUAUAUUUGAAAAUUGUAUAAGUGGAGCACAACUCAUCACUUUUAUAUUAAAUUUAUCCAUAUCCAACACAGCAAACACAAAUGUUAUUCACCCCCCCUCUCCCCUCCUGCUGCUAUAUGGAUUUAAUUUCUGUUUGGCUUGUUGGGGGGGCAGAAUGAAGGUACUCGCAUCCAAAAUGAACAUCACUCAUGUACCCUGCAGUGUCUAAGAAGCUACAGUACGUCAAUGUUCCUGGUAACAAGAUAUGUCCAGUUUCCAAAAAUUUGUCAAGAUUUCUCACUACCAUUGCUUCCCUAGAGAUUAUUCAUUAAUCUAAACAGAGUCUUGUACUACAGAAGGUCAAACUUGCAACCAGUCUAAUACCACUCCUUUGCAAAUCCUUGAUAAAAGUGCUAUAAAAAAGAGAGAACUUUCUUGCAAUACAUGUUUAAAGCCUCCACCUAUGGCAUACUAUUUUUUUUAAAUAAAAAGUCACAAACAGUUUGACCACAUCAAACAACUAAAUGAUCUUUUUUAUAGUGAUCCCAGCAGCAGAGUAGUCAGAGUAAAAGGGGGAAAAGGGAAGCAUUACCCGGAGAAUAAUGGAAAGAACUUUGUAACACUUCUUUUGAAUUAAGCCCUCAACAUCCUGCACUCAAAUUUUUUCUACAAUAGUCAAAAUGCAGAAAUUUUCUUCUUUCAUGAAAUUUAUGUAAGAAGAGGAGACAUUUGACCUUUAAUCCAGGCUUUAUAGCAAUAAAUAGAAGAUCAAUUUCUUUGGCAUCCAAGCCAGGCAAAAGUGAAACGGCCAGUUCAAAUAACUGUGCCCUGUACAUACAACAAACCAAACAAUAGAAAGUCAAAAAUAACAUAGACUUUCAUAGCAGCUCAUUCAUUCCAGUCAAUUUUCUGUGAGUCACAAAGUGGCAUACAAUUGCAGAAUCUAAACAAAGAACCCACCUUGCUGUUGACACCGAGCUUUCACCAGAAAUGUCAUCAACCUGCAUCGAUUUGGAGUUUCUAAAGUUUUCCGCUUUACUUGCCUCUUGAGUCACCUUCAAAAGCUUCUGCAUUGUGGUCCUAAAGAACCUUGCAACUACCUCUUUUUCUGACACAGAAGCAAGCUCUCCUAUUGUACUCUGUAAAACAUACCAAUUAUACAAUUCGUCAAACUCGACAAGGUUAGAAGGGGAUUUAAACACAUGUUCAGGAAAUGAGAUUCAACAAGUUUUCCUUUUCUCUAUUUAUAAGGAAAAAAUUGGCAAUGAUCCCAUAAAGUGAAACAGCAAAAUUAUUAACUAUGUAUUAUAUUUCUACUAGACAUCAAGAGCAUAAGCAAACCCAUUUAAGAACUCCACUAACUGUUGAGAACUAUGUUACCCACCAACGCUUCCUCAAAAUUUUCAAAAUUCAUAAAAGGUAUCAAACAAAAAAAUAGAUAUUGAAUUACUAUCAAAGUAAGUAAAUAACACACUAUAUACUUUGAAUGAGGUGUUGCUUAAAACUAAGACCAAAAGAAAAACCUCUCAUCUACUUGCUGCUUCCUCAAAAUUCUCAAAGACUCUUAAGUACCAUGAUAAAACGUAAGAGAAAAGAUUGUUAUCUUCAUCACCAUCCUAGUUUUGCACAAUAAAAAAGAAUGCCAUAAUUUUGUUUGAAAUGAGAUAUGGCACAAGACAGAGUCAAGUUCACCGUUUAAAGAGUUUGGAUAUUCACAUUUGGAAAGCAUCUUCAAAUUGAAAACACAGACAGCACCCCCUGAAUUCCAAGAAAAUGUAACCUACAAUCUAAAAGCCAACCAAUCUUGAGUUCUGACUUAGACAGCGCAAUUUCUAAUUUCAAUUCUAAAACCAUACUCCAGUCUCCAUUUGAGAUGAACUCAUAACAUUGCACAACUUGAUGGACAGUCAAUUUAAAUUGGAAGUUAAUUCAAAGUUAUACUGUAAAAUGUGAACAAAAUAUCCUCAUUCAAUGCAAGCUUUAGAGGAAAUAUUGAGUUGCAACUCGGAGAUGUAAAAUUUUGUGAAGUAAUGACCUGUAUAGAGCCACUAAUAUCUUUGGGAGCUUUCAAGAAGACUCCCGACAUAACAGAUAACAAUUCGCGAGCAGAGGACCUCAAGACACUUAAAUUAUUGGCUGCAACUUGUGGAUUGUAAAGUGCAAUUGCUCGUUGUUCUGGAACACUUAGGUCAAAGAUGGACAUGUCCUCUUUUCCUUCCAGAUGUCCCCUAUUCUGCUGAACAAGGAUUUGCAAACUGGAGCAUAUUAUGCCCCAAACAUCAGGUUCUUCACGAAGCGCAGAACAAAGUGCUUUCUCCAGAUCCCUAAAGCUUUCAGCCGUAUCUUGAGGGUAAUUGCAAAAAGAUGGCAGCAAGGACCACAAGGAGUAUACAAUUCCAUCUAUACUCCUAGCUGAAUAAACUUUUCCUUCUCGUUCAAGCUGGCACAAGCAAAUGAAAAUAAAGACUCUGCAACACGAAUUAGGAGGAGGCUCGAAGGAACAUUAGCAUCAAAAUAUCAUACCAAUGCUGACUUUCGUGACAUGGCUCCAAUCAUGGGUAAAAUUGACUCAGUAAAGAAGCUUAACCGAGCACCAAUAAUAUAUUGCUUCAAAAUUGGAAAUAACCAAAGAUUCGCCUCAGUUAGGACUUCAGAAUCCAACUUGAGUGGUAAAAUGCUCAAAAAUGUUUCAGGUCCCAUUGCGCGAAGUGCAGAUCCAACACAUUCAUGCAGCUUAAUCAACAAGAAAACUAGAUAUCAGAUGAUAAUUGAACACCUGUCAUAUGCUGAACACAAAGAAGCAAAAUGAUAGAAGUCUGUACAAAUAAGAUCCACCAAUGACCUCUCCCAUAGGCAGUCUUCUCAUCUAAAAUUUUACAGAAACCGUCCAUAUAGCACAUUACUAGCUUUUACCAAGCAGCUUAUAUAAAUAUCCAUAACUUAUAAGCUAGAACUAAAAGCACUUAGUGACAUCACAUAUUAUCACAUGUUUAUUGAGACUCUUAUCUAUCAGACGAACUAUUAAAAUCUCCAAAACAUAGAAAUAAUUUCAGGUUAAAAAGAGGGGCUUUCUCGUGGUCAGCUAGCCAAGGAUUUCACCAUUGCAUGCAAAAGUAAAUGCUUUUUCUUAGAAAUAAUCAAGGUAAGCACCGCAUAUCUCAUAUUUGCAUUCAUCAAAAGUUAGCAUGUUAAGACUGCAAAGCACCACAAUAUAAGACCAGGAUACAGAAGCUUUUCAAUCAAUAACAAAGAGAAAGCAAAACACAUGAAUAGAUGAUAGAAAGUUUUCCAAGAACACGCAUAGAUAGAAGAAAAUGAGCUAGAAUCAUGUCUUGAGGCACCUAGACUUAGAUAAAAUCUGUAUCAGAUUUUGCAGAGCUGAAUAUUAUGGUGGGUACAGUAGGUGCCAAGGAAACAAUUAAAAAAUCAUUGAACAAAAAAGGGAAAAUAUUCCAUCGGAGGCACAAUCCUAAUGAGGUAUCUAGACUUCUUAAAAAAUCUAUUCACUUUGAAUCCAUGACCAACUUUAAAUUUAGCACAUGAUCAGGAUCGAUCGCGGUCCAUUCUCAGGGCAAAGGUAUUUUGUAGGACAGCACAAUUCUCAAAUAAAAAUGACAACUUUUCCUAGGAGACAAAAUACUAAGAGCCCAGAACUGCAACAAGGAAGAAUAAUGAAACAAGUGGGUUCAUUUGAAAAUCAUUAUUUAGAAAAUAUUUCCCUUGGGAGUGUUUGGGUACCACAUUAAUUCGAAAAAUUAUUUGCUUGCAUCGUAAACAUGUUUUCCAACAACUUUUCUAUCAUGCCAACCAUCUUUUUGACUCACACAUGUCACGUUACAAAAAAUUCUACAGAUUAUCCUAAAAAUUUUUUCCAAACACGCACCUUAGUAUUCCCCAAAAACAUUUACCAACCACCUUUUUAUCUCACAUCACAUCAAAAAAGUGCAAGAGUAAAAAAUGCAAGUUUUUCCAAAUAAUCUUCAAACCAAAAAGAGCCAGGGUUAUUCCUCAUCUUAUGUACGUAAGCCAAUAACGCAAUGGUGUAAGAGAAAAAAAAAAACCCACCUGUUUUCUGAAUGGGAAGUCCUCAUCUGGCAACUUUUGCAUAUCUGCCAAGCUCCGAAGUGUACCACUUAAAAAAUAUGAUGCAUAUUGGCCUGAAAAAUGCAUUUUGGCCACACAUCAGUACAGAUUUCUGACAUUAUUUCACUGGGUUAUAUAAGAAUUACAUACUUGGAAAAAAAUAAAACUUGAAGAAAAAUAAAGAUGGUGGCAUUAUAUCUAUGUGCUUAUAUACGUAUACCAUACUAAAGUGGAAGCCGGAAAAAAUUUACUAUGUACAUAAAAUAACAAAAAGUAUUUCAUCCUUCAAUUUGGUUUUUGUGGGGAAGGGUAAGACCUUCCUACGUAAAUUCUGGUCAAUUAGCAAUCCUAGUUACAAGUGGUACAUGGCAGAAACAGCCCCGGUGUAGUGUUAUUUAUACAUUUGUGCUGUGCUAUUGUGAAGAUUAGGGAUAGGUUAAUAGUCAACUCUUUAUUAGAUUCAAUGAAACUUCUUAUAAGAAUUUAUUUGUAUUUGCUUUAAUCUCAUACUGUGUCAUAAGCACUUGGAACGUUGUGUGCACUAUGCUAUGUAGUACUGCCAGGAGACCUGUGCACUAUGGGUGACUGACAAUAGCAACACGUAUAUCUGUCUUGUAGAGCCAAAAAAUGAUGCUAAAUUGAAGUAGACAGAAGAUAAAGGAAUGCACUUACCGAAUUUACAGAACAUUGCUGAAAUAACUUGUAAUGACACAUCCCAGACAGCAGAGAAAUUAUAGUCAACUAAUCUUCCAACAAUUGCACACACCUUUUCAAUGAUAGUUGGCACAGAUUGCCUUGCGUUUGACAUAACCUGAUCGACACCCUGUUUGACCAACUUUUCAUCAACGCAUGCAUCUAUCAGGCUCUUGUAUGCAUGCAUUGCUGCUAAUACAGCCUCCUCGUGUUCAGAAGCCAAAAUAUCUGUAGAAGCCAAAUAUCACAUAAGAAACUAACCAACAACAGAUCAAAUUUCUACUAUCAAACUUUUGAAUUGGUUUGUUGAAACCAUUUGUUGAGGAAAACAAAAAUUCUAUGCUACGUUAAUCUACUUCAUUAAUGCCUUUAUAAGCAAAUCAUUUUAUUUUCUUGCUGAAACUUUAGGAUUUUCUAAACUAGCUUGAUUACGGUGUCAAUAAUAAGAGCUUUCCCAUGUUAGCUUUUCUUUUCAUAGCCAUCCAGGAGUUUCAAAGUAUCAAAAUCAGUAAACCAAGAGUGCUAAAGCAUGACAACAAGAAAUAUAUGAAUAACGACUGACGGGACUUAAAGUUUUCCAAACAAGAAGAAUAACCUACCACUGAGGGCAUUGAAUACAAUAGGAAGCUUAACAACACAAAUAUGCCUGUUAAGAGAAUAAACUUUUCUUAUCCCAACAUCUAACAAUCGAGCUGUAAAUGUCAUGCUCUCAGCAGAUGUUUCAUUUGAAGAGACUGAAGUUGCCAAGGAGCAUAAAAGGUCAAGAAGGGCUUCAGGGGAAACUUCUCCAGGUGGGUUGAGACAAAUUGCAUUCAGACAAUCUGUUAUUCGCCUAGUGAGAAGAGGUUGUUUUAAAUCCAAGAGAGAUUUGAAGUUCUUCAAGAUGUUGGUUGAAGACUUUCCAGACAUGCAAGGGAGACAAACUUUCAGAGCAUCAAGAACAUACAGAACUUCCUGUGCUCCUCUGGGGACUUCAGAAACGUUUGAGUUGGAUCCUCCAGCUAGCAGAAGAGACCGUUCAAAAACUUUCAAUAUGGCUUCACUAGCUGGUGUCAGCAUGCAUGCAUGCAGUGGAGACAUACGAUACAAUAUCAAGACUUCACGUAGACAUGCAUGUGCCUGCUUUCUUACCUGCAUAUGGUAAAAACAACAUUCAGUGCAACUGAAUAUGUCUUAAACAUAUGAAACUUGAGAAUCAAUAAGCUUUGACUCCUAUUCACAGUUUUUCCCUCUUGUCAAACAGAGCAAAAUGUUUUUUUUUUCCCUUUAACACACGUCUAUAUCUUUUCAGUGUCUGGACUUUAUCUCGACCAUGUAACUGCAAAGCUAAUGGAGAAAGGAGAUAAUUUGGUUAUCAUAACAAAACAGAUCCCUGAAGCACUUUGAUUGCGCUUGCGUCUUUCGCCAGUAUAUCAUAAAAGCUCUAUUGCUUUCUUUGGUGGACAACACCUAUUCUAAUUCAGAUGCACUAAGCAUUUCACAUGCUCAAAGUUGUAUCCUAGUAUACUUGAAAUCCUUCUUAACUAAUACACAAAUUUAAAGAAUCAACCUCGCUACUGAAUAAUUCAUGCUCCUGCUCCUCGCUAAAGAAUCAACAUUUUGUUACUCACAGUUUACAAUAACUGAUAGUACAGACGCUCAUAACUUGACAGGAUUAACAAUUGAAAACGCCCAAAGAAUAAUUGAAAACACAACUAAAAGAAGUAAAAUUUAACACCAAAAUUCCAAUAUAUUAAUAUGAUAUACUCUAGUACGGUCAAAAUGAAAUGCAUAAAAGGCGUUGAAAAACCUCAAAAGCAACAAGUUUAUUGAAAUUUUAAGUUACUGAUUGCUUAAUUUAUUAUUUUUGGCUGACCUUUGUUCUAUCAUCCGUUAUGCAAUCAACUAGAACUCCGUAAAGCUGAGCCAUAUCAGACCAGCUGAAUUUCUCCUUUGCUGCAGCCAACAAAUGCGAGACGCACUUCAGACCCGGAACAAUCCCAUUGGGACCAACCGACUUGACCCGAAGAAUCCGAAUCAAAAGGUCCGACAAGUAACCAAAUUUCUUCCUCAGAACCGCGUUAUUAGACUUCCCAGUGACGACAGACAAAAUCGUAAUUAGGGCAUCAACGAGGUGGCCGGGAGUUUCCGUUUCGGAUGCCGAAGAGAGGCGGUGGAGAGAAGAACAGGUGGCGCCGAAGUACGAGAGGGGUUUGAGCGGGAGAUUUUGUUCCUUUAACUCCAGCGUCAUUGCACCGAUGGCCGUGCAUACGUGGAGGUGAUGCUCGUUUGCAGCGUCGCCGAACUGUGAGAGAAUUUCAGCGCAUACGUCAUCGUGUGGGAAUUGGGGGUCCUCCAUUUCAAUGCCUCCCAUUGUUAGGGAGUGAGAAACCCCAGCCGGCCAGCAGGUGACGGAGGCAGUGGCGCUAGGGUUUUAGGUGGAAAUGGGUUUAACAGAACAUAUUAUUAACAUUAUAGUAUAUUAUUAUUUCGUUUAAAAGAAAUGGAAAUAAGGUAAAUUACAUGACUGCCCCUUAGGUCUGACAUAACCACAAUAGCGUCCCAAGUAGUUCUUAGCCUGAUUUUACAUUUUAUUUCAUGCAUUUACCAAAAGAAGAAAACAAACGAAAAUUUCAUUUCAUGUGAUAAGACCUCCUUUGCUUGCUUGUCUAAGAAUGGAAUACGUGUGUUUGUGAUUAACAAAAAUGUCGUUUUCAUGUAAUUUUAGCAUUCAAUUUGUUUGGAUAGAGUAUUAUUUGAAAUAUUAUUUGGAAUAAUUACUGUAACACUUUUUGUGAUGUGAUGUGAUGUAUGCGAGAUAAAAAGAUGAUUGGCAAUAUAAAAAUAUAAGUUGGAAAUGUAUUUAUGAUGCAAGCGAACUAUUAUUUGAAAUAAUAAUGGGUUUGUUUGGAUAGGGUAUUAUUUGAAAUAUUAUUUGGAAUAAUUACUGUAGCAUUUUUUAUGAUGUGAUGUAUGUGAGAUAAAAAGAUGAUUGGAAAUAUAAAAAGAUGGGUUGGAAAAUGUAUUUAUGAUGCAAGUGAAAUAUUAUUUGGGAUAAGUUUUGUAUCCAAACACUCCCAUUAAUGCUAUCCAAACACUACUACUCCCUCCGUCCCACUUUGAUAGUCUUGUUUUCCUUUUUCGUCUGUCCCAAAUUAUAGUCCACUUUCCCAUUAAAAAAUGUAGUAAUCUUUCAAAUUGUCUAAAAUACCCUUAUUAAAUAUCUUGUUAUUAAUACAUUGUUAUUAAAUACUAACCCACUACAUUGAAUACAUUGAGUUUUUCCAAUACAUUGUAACUGAUAUUAAUUGGCACUCUUCGUGAUUAGCAUAAGGGUAUUUUAGGAAAUUAUUAAUCGAAAUUUAUGUUUCCAACCAAAUUAAUUACACUUUCUUAAUCUGUGUGAAAAAAAAACCAAGACUAACAAAACGGGACGGAAGGAGUACUAUUUUGGAAUUCUUAACGAAGUCGAGACUAAACAAUUUUAAUAUUACUUUUGAAAUUCUUAAUGCAGUCAAGAUCAUUAAUCAUAACUUUAUGUACAGCGACAAAUAUUUGCGGAAAAUAAAACACUUGGAAAAACUCUCUGUUACUAAUUUGCGGAUCGUAGGGAAUUUCUGUAAUUAAAAAUUGGUUGGAAGUACUUAAAAAACAAUAACAUAUUAUUGGUUGUCGUAUAAAAAUUCCAAGGAGCAUUAGCUUCAAUGUAAACAUUUUGAACAGGAAUAACUUAAAAGAUGUUAGAAGGAAGUGAAGUAACUUAAAACAAGUCAAAAGUUCCUUCACAUCAAGAAAACAGUUUCUGAUUUUGAGAGUUCCUUAACUAAAAGAUGCUAUACACUAGUCUUUUAUUUAAGACAAUCGAUUGAUGUUGCUGUGCCAAUUAGGUUUGAAAUGAAUUAGUGCUGCGUGAGUAAGAAAAUAUCAUCAUCAUCAUCAUCAUUCGUAGCUUUGAUAUGAUGAAAUUGUUGAUUUUAUCAGUCCUCCGUGCUGCAGAUGGUAGAACAAACUCGUUUGCUCGUUUCCAAGACCCCAAACCCAAAACUUUUUGGAUUCCUGAGUUGUUUGGUUAGAUGCAUUUCCAGAUUUUCUUUUGAAGGCUGGUUCCUUUGAUAUGAAUGAAUAUUACAGACAGCAUCUGGUAUCUUCCUUUUCUUUUCUUAAAAUCCUGAUUAAUUAGUUCAGACCCUGCGGGGCAAACUAUGCGCAUGCAUUGCUUUCGGCAUCUGCAGUUGUGCGUCAUACCAGAACACACUUUUUCCUAGUAGUAAUAAUUAUGGCGAGUGGGCAUGAGACAGGCGCAUUUAUGAGACAAGGAUUUAUUGAGCUGAAAUAUUUAACUCCUCACAUUUGUCCUCAUUCUUGAAUAAUCCGAAGCCUGAAUAUUGCGCAACUAGACUAUUAUUACUAAUACGAUUUUCCCUAAAUCCAGCUAAUAGAGACAAUUAAUCCUUAGAAUGCCUGUGCUAAAACAGACGGUAAUCGUGAUGCUUAAGAACAAGUGGUGGGGUUCUCCGGUCAUGGCAUCCCAUCAUGCUGUUGGCUGAUCAUUUCGGCAUCAAUAUGCCAUGUACGUACAGCUGCUACUGCUAUGCCAAGAUUCAAGAGAGCAGGAAACGAUUUCUUUCAAACUACGAAAAUGAAUGACUCACCAGAUACUUUUGUCAUACAGGAUUCAUGGGCAGUAGUCAAAUCAAUUUAAAAACUAUUGCAAAAUCUGCUUCUUUUUCUUCAUUCAAUGAGAAAAGAAGAAAGAAAGAAAGAAAGGUAACAAUAAUAUGCAAAAAGAAGUUGUACAACCACUACUUUGACCAAAAAACAAAAGAUUAAUAAUUUAACACUCUCCAAUCAGCGAACACAAAUUCAUACAGACCUGAUAAAAACUCAGAAAAUCCAUUGUCAUCAUGUGACAAAAAGGUUCAUAUUUAUAUAUAAGUUACAGAAAAGCAUGGUACUACGUACUAGGCAUCUCUUUUCUUUUCUUUUCUUUUCUUCACCUUUUUCUUGAAGGUUGUAAUUCCAAGAUUGAUUAACCACGGGAUCCAUCAAGACGGUUGAUGAGGUAGAGAGCAUUACUAGUAACUUUAGCAACAUUGGUGAUGGCCCUUUUGACAUCAGACCUGACCUGAGCAUCAAUCUCCCUGAAUCCAUCCAGACAAGUAUCUUCAUAAGUCAAGGCAGCGCUCACCCAGGUCUCUGCAUUGCUCAAAUGCCACUUGAAUUCGCUGCCCAGGCGGAGAUUUUGGAGCUCUGAAAGAGUCUUGGUGAGUUCAUAAACAGACUCACUCAUUUGUUGUAUGCAGUCACCUAAAGCCCCCCGCUCUCUCUUGUUGUGGCCUUUGAGUCGUGCAAGGAAGUUGGAGGCUUUGUGAGAUCGAGAAAUGCUGACCUUGACUGCUGCCUGGGCUAAGCCCCGGAGGCUGUUGGCCUGGCCGGAGUAGGAGGAGAGGGUUCUGAGGCAGAUGUUGGGGUAGCUGGCAUGGGCACAUGAUGCAUGGACGAGGUCUUUGGGGGUUUUUGAGGCGGUGGAGGAGAGGAGGAGGACGAAGAGGGAGAGGAGGAAAGAGAAAGGCAAAGCCAUUCUCGGACGGAGUAUCUCAGUGUCUUGUUACUUACCUGUUGGUUUCUUUUUCUAAGGUAGGUUUGGGGUGGGAAAGGAUAGUUCAAUCGUUGGCAGCUAGGUACAUGGACAGUGUGUUGUGUGGGCUUUGAGGGUGAGAAAGAGGGAAGUUAUUGGUUUUAUUUUGUAGGGAUAGGUGAGUUUAGACUAGAAAGAGGUUGUUUAGUAUAUGGUCUCGAAGUUGGAGAAAAUUAAAAUAUGAGAAUGUCCUUAGCUAUGGUGGUGAUCUUUCGGGCUUUGAAAGAAUACAAAAUGUUUUGGUCAGGUUCACAAUCUGGUUACUAUAUAUUUUUGCCUACGAGUAAAAAACGUUGAUUACAUAUAUUCAUCGUAAAAACAAAUGGACCGCCCCAUAGAGGAGUUAAUGCGCCGCAGGCAAGGCAGCAGUGGCAGCUACACAAUUGUCCAACAUUAAUUCCACCACCUAAUUAAAUUUACCAGCCAUGCAUAGUUUGCUUCACCAGGCAAGGUGCCCUAAAAUCACUGGUCAGCCGUAAAAUCACUGGUUGCAUGAUGAUGAACUUUCACUACUAUUACUAGAAUCCAUAAUAGUAGAAAUAAUACUCCCUCUAUCCCACUUUGAUAGUCCUGUAUUUCUUUUUCAUCUGUCCCAAAUUAUAGUCCACUUUUCAAUUGAAAAAUAUAAUUAUAUUUUAAUUUUUCUAAAAUACCCUUAUUCAAUGUAAGUAGUUAUUACUAUAAACCUACCCCAUUUAAUGAAAGUUGAUUCUUUUUUUACCAUCAAUUCAAGCUCCCAUAAAGUUGUACCAUAUUUAAUGUGAGGGUAUUUUAGAAAAAUAGAAUCUAAAUUUAUUUUUUCAACAAAAUUAACUACUUUUUCUUAAACUGUGUGAAAAAAAGAACAGGACUGUCAAAGUGGGACGGAGGAAGUAUAAAUAAAUUAUUCCCUCCGUCCCAUUUUGAUAGUCUUGUUUUCCUUUUUCAUCUGUCCCAAAUUGCAGUCCAUUUUCUAAUUAAAGAAUGUAGUUGUAUUUUAAUUUUCCUAAAAUACCUUUAUUCAAUAUAAAUUAUUGUUACUAUAAACCUACCCCAUUUAAUGAGAGUUGAUUCUUUUUUUUACUAUCAAUUCAAGUUCCCAUAAAGUUCUAUUCUAAUUAAUGUGAAGGUAUUUUAGAAAAAUAACUAGUUAAAUUAAUUGUUCUAAUAAAGUUAACUACUUUUUUUUAAACUAUGUGAAAAAAAAAGAACAGGACUAUCAAACUAUCAAAGUUGGACGGAGGGAGUCCAAUUCAAACUAUCUCACAAGUAUUGCAAAUCACUACUCAAUGCCAGUGCUUGCUGCAAGCUAACCGAUGAUAGCGAUUUCCUCCUCACACAAAUUGUGAGAAAAUUAAAAAAGUUAUCUUGUCUGCAAUUGACGGGAUAAGUCGGACAAUUUCUUGAUGUUCUUAAUGAAGUGCUUUUCGCAGUUUUGCUAUAAUGCCUUUCAUUUUCUUUUGAUUCGUUCUUCCCGACCUGAUGGAGUUAUAAUCUAGUACUAUUCAAAUGGGCCCUUUUUUCUUUUGUUUUCUUUUUGUUGCGCUACUCCCAUGACAUGGACAGCGAUUCACGGCUUCCAGAAAUUAUGUAGUGAUUGGCCAGCAACAAGCAUGGACACGAAAUCAAACCCUCUCAUCCCUCCCGUUCAAGCUUUGAAUUUGUGCAUCCUUACCAAUCAAUUACUCCUAAUCAAGUCUCAAAUGGUCACCAAAACACCUCAAAAACCAACCAAUUAAGGGAAUGGACGAAGUCAUGUUUGAUUCGGAGUUAAACACCAGUUUGCAACUGUUCUUGAUAUUUGGUUCUCAGCCGCAGUUGGAAAACAAAUGGUACGACAAAGGGCUCCAUGCCAAGUCAAAUAAUUGGACGAAACCUCAAGGAAUCAUGUGAUCUAAACGUUGUAUUUCUCCUUCGAAAGCACUGCGCUUUUGUUGGAGGGUAGCAGAGCACGGCAUGUGCUUGCUGCAGGACAUUACAGGUUUGAAAGGGCCCAGACUCCUCGCUGUGCAUGGGCUAUGAUUUGUGUGUGAAUGCUAAAGCCAUUUAUUUGAAAGAGUUUACACGUCACUUAUCAGCUGCGUUGAACAACUCGUGAUGCCUCCGUAUUCAAUAUGCACUUUGACCGUCUCUCUUGAUCAAUCCUUAUCUCGUUAAACCUGAACCCCUUCCCGACGACAAAAAAAAAAAUAAAUAUUGCAAUUGCACCAAGAGAAUAGAAGCUGCCCACAACAUCUUUGUGCUGGUUGUACCUAGGAAAAAAGAAGCUACACCAAUUCUAUGAAAGAGAUCAAAUUUUCUUUCUUCCUUGCGUCUGUCUACUUCUUCUUCUCUUCUUUUUAUUUGCAAGACGAGCUUCGACUUCGAAAAGUUCUAACCCAAUGACUGCCCCGGUUUAAGCAAAUUAUCGCGCACCAGCAGGAUGUAAUCCCAUGAAAAUAAUUGAGUCAGUGGUUACUCAAGAGUCAAAACUUGGUCACUAGUGUUGUUAAUCGAGAGCCGAGUGGAACCGAGUAUUUGACUGUCGAGUUUAAAUCGAGUUAGGUUCGAGCUCGCUCGACUAGGCUGACGAGUUUUGAAAUAUAUUCGAAUUCGACUCAUCAAAUGGGACAUAUGACUCGAGUUCGAUCUCGAGCUCGGCUCGUUUAUCACAAACGAGUCGAGUUUUCAUGAGUUCGAACUCGAACUCAUAUAAAUUAAUCACAAUAAAAACCUAUAUUUUUCAAUUUUUAUUCUUUUAAAUUGUGAAAUGACAUAUAUGUCUUUUCUUAUUGAGCUGAAUCGAACUACUCGGAUGAUAACAACGAGUCGAGUAUAUCUCGAGCUCGAACUCUAUUCGUUUACCACAAUUAACGAGCCAAGUUCGAGUCGAGCUCAAUCGAGCUUUCGAGUUGCUCGUUCCAUUUAACAGCUCCAUUGGUCACCUUAUUAAAGCUUCUCCGUUUUCAUUAUUAUGUCACAUGCAUCAGCAAUUUUUUGUAAGUUUGCUAUGGACCAGUUAAGGUGAGCCGUUGCCCUUGGAUAUAGUGAGAGGUUCUUAAUUAGUCCUUCGACGUAUCAUCAUAGCCAGAUCUUCACGGUGCGUGUGGAGGGGGUCGGAGGAGAGAAGAAGAAGAAGAAACCAAGAGCGGAAAUAGGUUGGGAUUUUAGAAGCUGAAGUGUAGCAGUCACACUAUACCUAACUCAGAAGUACUAGAAGAAACAGAAACAGCUCAGACUGGAUUAUGAUAAUAAUUUCCGAAAAGCUAAGAUGAUAGAGAUUCUGCUGAUAAGCUUGCUAGGCUUUUAGAACAUGUUGUCAUAUGGGAAGCUUCAAGGCAUAUUAGGAAGUAGGACUGUCAAUGGGGCUGGGCCAGCCCGAGCUCGGCUCGUUCGGCCCGACAGAAAGCCCGAUGAGCCCGAUCAUUUAGUGAGCCGGUCUGAGCUUGAGCCUAAAAAUUAGGCCCGAAUUAAAUGUGAGCUGAGCUUGGGCCUUAUUAGGCUCAAACCCGAUAUAGGCCCGGCCCUUUAAUUACCUAUAUAUAUAAUAUUUAUAUUUUGAUAUUAUGUAUAUUUAUAUAUCCAAAUAUAUUUUUACUAAAUACUAAAUAUAUAUAUAAAUUACAAAACACAAAAAUACAUCUAAAGAUUCUUUCAUGAGAUUUAUUGAGAGCCAAUAUUAGUAAUGCAUAACUAAAUCUCUAAUUUUUCUUAUUGGUUGAGUAAAUUUUUGUAUUGGCAUAUUAUUGGUUGAUUUUUUUUUGGUCUACAAACACAAAAAUCAUCAAGCAUAUUUGGAUUUAAAUCACAAGAUUAUAAAAAAAGUUUCAACUUUUAAAGAUGUAUUGGCUUAUGAUCGCAUGUUUUAUUACUAUUUUUCAUGCAUUUUAAAUGGAUUAAAUAUAAAUAUUGUUGAAAAAAUUUUUGGUUUAUAUACUUUUUAAGAACUAUUGUUUGUUCAUGUUUAGUUUUAAUAUUAUAGUCUUGUAAAUGUUAACUUAGUUUUACAACUUAAUAGUUAUAGUAAUUAUAUUAAGAAAAUUAAGGAGUAAUAAGUGAGCUUGGGCUAAGCCCGAUUAAGGCUCACAACCCGAAUAUUAUGUGAGCUGAGUAUGAGCUUCACAUUUACGAAUCCGAAACUCAUAGCCCGAAGCCCGAAAAUGUUUCAAAUUAAAUGAGCUGAGCUUGAACUCAUCAAAGCCCGGCUCAUUAGGCCCGAUUGACAGGCCUAUUAGGAAGCAUGAUGUUACGUGCAGGAGGCUUUUUUAUUGAUGGGAAGUAAUUUGCCCCAGAUAGUCACGUCAAUGCGUUGGUGCACACGGACUCGGGACACCUGCAACCGUCCCGGGCAAUUUUGAUCAUUAUCAACUGCGCGUAACUUUCUUUGUACAUCGUGUAACUUUUUUUUCACAGGAUGUAUUUUCACAACAGAUAGUGGUGGGCCCCACGCUUGACGCGAAAAUCGAGUUACAUGGUAUAAUUUCAGCCGCACAAAAUUUUGAGGGCAAAUCUUGGCCCUUAACCGUGCAGCGAGGUCAUACUGAUGACCGUCCCUGCCCCAAAUCCGGUGCACACAUAAUUAAGCUAGCUUAGAACAGUUGAUGAAAUUCCCAAAUUAAUGAUGCCAAUAUUCUCACAUAAAAUUCUAAAGAAAUUAGUUUUAACGAAGUAGAAGCAGUCGUAAAACUCUAAAGAAAUUGGUAUUAAUAGGUUAUUUCUCUGAGAAUGAUAUAAUCAAUGCUUCAUGGAAUGCCGAUCUUGCAAGCUGUUGAUACAGCGUAGAUGUCGCAGCAAUGCAAUAAAAUCCAUCCAGUAAGUAUUUUUUGUCAACAGUAACACCAGAAUUUCUCAGAUAAUGUUGGACUGGACCAUCCAUGUGGUGCCCGCAUGCUUGGCAUUGGGCCAAGAUAGAAAUUUGUGCAUAGCUUAGAACGCAGAUAGUCCAUAUAGACUUGCACAACAACAGAGUGACGCUUGAGCUAGCCAUCAAUUUUAUAUACUGUAUAAUUAUUUUUGCACUAAUAGGUUUAGAUCAUGCCACUUAAUAUGAAUUCAAAUUUAAAAUUUCAAAUCAUGCACAUGUGGCAUAUAUUCAAAAUGUCUCAUAUUGGGGCAAUACCCAAUAUGAGUUCAAGAAUACAAUGGUAAAGAUUGAUUGCUUCAUCCACAAUUGAGACGUAUUACUCUUAACUACUACACAACUAUGUAUUGGUAUAUGUACAUUAGGUAAAUGUGUCCACAAAUUUGUCAGACCUUAAAUUCAUUUCCCAUAUGAUAAUUUAAGGAGUUUCAACUAAUGAAGGCUUUGCAAGCUUAAUUUGGAUGGCACUACUUUAGCUGAAGCAACCAUCUCAUGCAGUGGCAAGGCUAGAAAUAAUUUUCAGUGGAAGCAAAUAUGAUACUGUAAUUUACUUUUUUGUUAAAAGGCAUAACAAUAAUAUUUAUAUGUCAAGCAAAAGUAAUGCAUUUGCAUCAUGAUUAAUAUAACCCAGGAAAACUAUUUUUAAUAAAAAAGUAUACUAAAUGUAUUUAAAUUGCUGGUUAAUAACGUAUUGUGAGAGUUCUAGGUAGUUUUCUUCUCUUCUAAGAUUCGUAGUGAGAGUUUUAGCUAUUUUUUUUCUAUUAUUAUAUCUGAAUUUUUUCAGAUUUUGAUUGUCAGGUUUAGAAUUUGUUGAGUCUACUCAACAUGUUGUAAUAUUUGAACUCGAAACAGUUAAUUAGUAGAUUUGGCGAUUGAAAUCAUACAUACACGUUCUUAGGUUUACCAUGAUUUUAUCUUAAUUUUUAUUUAUUCUUUAGGUCUGUAGUAUCCAUUCUUUUCAAAUCUUUUCUUUGAUAUUUGUGUAUAUGAUUGAUGAUGUAACUUCUACCAUUAGUACAGAUUUUUAUCAAAUUAUAAUGUUUUACUUAAUUCUAGAUACACCAUUAAAGUAAUGUAAUUUGUUUUUUAAGAAAGAAUUGGAAAACGUCUAGACACGUCAUUUUGACUAAUAAGGAGCAAAUCCUUAUAUAAGAAUGCGUUUAGAGUAAAGAUGUUCUUUGGAUUUCAACCGUAAGGAUAGGAUUAUUUUGGGAAUGUAAAAGUAUUUGAAGUGCAAUUGGAGUAUUGAAUACAAGUCAUUAUAGCUAAUUUAGUUUUGUUGUAAUUACUUAGAUGUCCUUUUAGACAUUUAAAGCUAGGGUGACAGAUAUCUGAUUGAACACUAGGUAUAACUAAAUUUAGCUUGUAUUUUUAGUGAAAUUACAUAAAAGCCCUUCUAAUUAUUUAAUUGUAUUAAUAUCCAAGUUUCUUAAUUUCCUAAAGCAUUUCUCAUCAGUUAUUUGCAAACUUAUGAUAUAGAUAUUAAGACACAAUUAAUGCCAAUUAGUAGAGAAGUUUGCUUUCUUGGCCGUUACCCCGUCUGUUCAAAUUCAUUUCAUUUACUUACAACUUUUUUCCACCACAAUCAUGUAGCCUAUUAAAUUCGGAUGUUGCUACAUUAGCUACUCCUCUUCCCCAUUUUGCAACACCUUUCUCAAUAGGUAUAUUUUCUUUAGCCAAUCUACUUUUUGGUUGUAAGAAAUCUCAAUAGGUAUGUUUCUUUAACCAAUCUACUUUUUUGUUGUAAAAAAUCUGUAAUCUUAAUGGUUGUAUGUGCGAUAAUUUUUUAGUGUUUUAAUUCAAUUAUCCAUGUGCAUGAUAGGGAGGAGAUCAUAUUUGUUAAUUAUUAUUUGUGGUUUAAAGUAAGUUUAUUAUCAUAAAUUUUUCCAUAUGCAGAUUACAUCUACUUUUGUUGUUUUAACUAUUAGUUAUGAUAAUUUUCAAAUUGUUUGCUAUUUUAUUGAUGAUUCCAUUUAGGCAAAUUUUUCACUUCAUUUGAUUUGCCAAUAGGUUUAGCUAUCCACUUAGAACGAUUUGGCUAGAAAUCUAAAGUAUGUAUUUUAUUACUUUUAAUUGUUUUCUUGAAUUGAGUGGUCUAAGAUAUUUUAGUACUUUAUUUGAUAUGGUUAUUCCUCUAAAUUAGCAUGUUAGUUGUUGUAUAUAUUUGCAACUAAAUCAAAAACUGAUAUUUAGUGAUUGUAAUCCCUAUCGAGAAGGAGGUGCUUUACUAUAUGUUCUAAAUUAUACAAUAAAUCAUAAUUAAUUGAUUGGUGAGUGUGAAGGUCUCAUGGUGAUAUGUUCUUGGAAUUAAUAUAAAUUCAAGAAUUUGGCUUGCAAGAACCGAAAUUCCACUAGCAAUAAUUUUCUUCAAAUAUGCUAAUUGUUCAAAUCUCACUUAUAUGACAAGAUAAUGUAAUGGAUUGCCCUUAUAUUAAGGUCAAAUUCAAACUAAACAACAGAUUUUAAUAUCUAUAAAGUGCAUGAGCAGAUAUAAGUAGGUCUUUUAUUUUAUUAGGUUAGGUGCAAAGUAGUUGAUCAUAUCUUAUAAUUAUGUUUCAUUGCAUAUUAGUAUAUUUUUUAACUCAAUAUUUAACUUAUGAUUUUUCUGUUUAAUAUCAUAUAUUAAAAUUGUCAUACUUCAAUUCGUAUGCUAUAAAAUAUCAAAUAAUAAUUAUUAAUCAUUUUUAAUUAUAGAUACUAAACUUCCGCACGUCAUGCGGGCUUUUCCCCCUAGUCAUAUAAAUAACUUCCAAAGAAACUAAAUGACCAGAGACAAAACUUUUUGAUUUGUGUUUGUUCAUAUUUCAAUUUCAUCAAAUCAUAAAUUAGUCCUACAAUAUAUUCAUACCUGAAAAUUUUAUUGGGAGCAAACCUAAAAUUAAUUGAAGGGAUAUGCAAUUGUGUGGGCACAGCCCCGUGGCUUCAGCGUCCCUGCCUUAACCCGCGACCGGUCUGGUGUCGUAACUCAGUACAAGUGCCCCACAUGGCAGGUUUUUUAAACUCAAUUAACGGAGGAGGAUUCAUUUCCAAUCCGACAUUUCCAUAUGAUCAUUGCAAAAGAAAGUCAUCAAGACAAUUAUCCACAAGCGUUAAUAAGGCAAGCACCGCACGCCCACGUCUUUGCUUUUUGCAUGCUCACAGGUAAGCUGCAAACGAAUCCAACUCGAACUCGAGCUCAAAAUAUUAAAUUCGUUAGCUCGCGAGCUCGAAUAUAUAUAUAUAUAUAUAUAUAUAUAUAAUAUUUUUUAUUUUAAGUAUAUAUAUAUUUUCUUAUUUUAAUAGUAAAAUUACAUAUAUCCUUAAUAAUUUAUUAUUUAUUAAGAAAAAAUUAUUUUAUUUAUUUUUUAAAAAAUAAAAUAAAUAUUUUUUAUUUUUUUUUCGAGCUCGAACUUUAAAUUGCCAACUCGUCGAACUUGAUAAAAUUUAGUCAAAACUAGAUUCGAUUAGUCCAAAGUUCAACUCGACUCGAUUCAUUUGCAGUCCUACUCACUGGCCAACUUUUCCACCUUCCUCGAUGUUCAGCAGCCAUGGUAAUGAUUGACUUUUCUUUUUCUUUUUUUUUUUUGUGUUAAAAGGCGUCCUUUCAAAUUUCCACCAUCGUAGUAGAAGAAAAACAAGAAAAGAAUAUAACAACAAUUUUCUUUUGCCAUCAAGGCGGGAGCGUGUCCUUGCAAAUGGGCGGGGUAAUGAUUGACUGGAUACAAAACCAGCAUUCACUUAGGGAAAGAAGAAGAAGAAAGAAUUAAGGGGCCGCUUGGUUUAUGUUUAGGAAUCGGAAUUGUAAUUGGAAUCAUUUACAAAAAAUUAGUAUGGAUUUUGGACAAAGGUAUGAUUACAAAUGGGGGUGCUUGGUAAAUAUUGGUAAGGAAUGGGUAUCAAAUUUAAUAAUCAAUUUUUUACCUUUAAUUUCUUUUUUCAUUUCAUAUCUUUCUUCUUUCUCGUUCAAAUGCUUAUCCCACAUACCCAUCCACCAUAUAUAUAUUCAUAUAUAAAUAUAAUAGGUUUGUUUGGAUUGAGCAUUAUUUCUCCAAUUUUAUUUGCUUACAUCAUCAUUACAAUUUUCAAUAUACCUUUUUAUCUUUUCGAUUACCUUUUUAUCUCACAUACAUCACAUCACAAAAAGUGCUACAGUAAAAAUAUUCCAAAUAACUUACAAUCCAAACAAACCAAAUAAUUUUCUGUUUAAAUAUAUUUAUAUUUAUAUUUAUAUAAAUAUAUAAAUAUAUUUAUUUAUAUAUAUUUAUAUAAAUUUAUAAAUAUAUUUAUUUCAAUUUUGUUUUAUAAUAUGUAUAUUAAUAUGUAUAUUUCAAUUAUGUAUAUUAUAUAUAUAUAAAUUAUUACUUAUAUUUAUAUAAAUUUAUAAAUAUAUUUAUUUCAAUUUUGUUUUAUAAUAUGUAUAUUAAUAUGUAUAUUUCAAUUAUGUAUAUUAUAUAUAUAAAUUAUUACUUUUAUUUAUAUAAAUUUAUAAAUAUAUUUAUUUCAAUUUUGUUUUAUAAUAUGUAUAUUUCAAUUAUGUAUAUUAUAUAUAUAAAUUAUAGUAAUAUUAAUAUGUAUAUUUCAAUUAUGUAUAUUAUAUAUAUUAUAUCAAUUGAAAUAAAUAAUAUAUAUUUAUAUAUAAAUAUUUUUGUUUAAAAUAUAUUUAUAUAUAUUUAUAAAUUUAUUUAUAUUUAUAUUUAUAUAAAUAUAUAAAUAUAUUUAUUUCAAUUUUGUUUUAUAAUAUGUAUAUUAAUAUAUAUUAAUAUGUAUAUUUCAAUUUGUAUAUUUCAAUUAUGUAUAUUAUAUAUAUAAAUUAUAGUAAUAUUAAUAUGUAUAUUUCAAUUAUGUAUAUUAUAUAUAUUAUAUCAAAUGAAAUAAAUAAUAUAUAUUUAUAUAUAAAUAUUUUUUUUAAAAUAUAUUUAUAUAUCUUUAUAAAUUUAUUUAUAUAUAUUUAUUUCAAUUUUGUUUUAUAAUAUGUAUAUUUCAAUUAAUAUUUAUAUUUUAUUAUAUAUAUAAAUUAUAUUAAUAUUAAUAUGUAUAUUAGAUAUAUUAUAUCAAUUGAAAUAAAAAUAUAUAUAUUUAUAUAUAAGUAUAAAUAUUUAUAAAUAUAUAUUUAAAUUUUUUUAUAAUAUGUAUAUUAAUAUAUAUAUAUUAAAUAUAUAUUAAUAUACAUAUUAUAAAACAAAAUUGAAAUAAAAAAUAUUAUAUAUAUAAAUAAAUAUUAAUAUAUAGAAAUAGAGCCAGUAUAUAUUUUAAAAAAAUCCCAAAAAUAAUUUUUUUUAAGAUUUUGGAAUCAAAUGUGGGAUUCAUCAAAAUCCUCCAAUCUACUUGAGUAUGGAGAGUUGCUGAUUUUUCAUGAAUCAUUCCAAGAUUUCAAAACCUAUACCCAUUAGCCAAGCAACAAUUUUGGGACUCAAUCCAAUUCUUGAUUCCUAUACCCUCCAACCAAGCACCCCCUAAGUGAAGAAAAUACAACGGAAUUACUGAAUGUGGCAAGCAGAAAGACGCGCAAGUUGUUGGGCUUCCCACCUUAUUAUUUUGAUGUUUGGACAUGAAUAUGGAUCAGGCCCGCCGCCUGACAGUGACAGCAUAAAUUUGCAGCGCAAGUUGUUGAUCAAAAUAAAUGAUAGUAGUAGCACUACUGCUCCUAAAAAUGGGCAGACGCGACGACAAUUACUGCUAAUGUCCUGUGCGAGCAAUUUAUUCCAUUCAUGCAAUUUCACAGAGCUGGCGUCUCGCUGGAAAGACUAUUUGAGCAGUCAAUUCCGGUUGGAUUUUCCAUAUAGAUAUUAAUAAUACUCCUGGUGCUGAUUUUCUUGGACGAGUCAAACAGAAACAGAUUUUUAUAGUUUCUUUUUUUCUUUUUUUUUUUUUUAUAUAACAAUCACAAGGUCCUGAUAUUUUAGGAAAAUUCCGUGUCAGUUUCUGUGUCUUUAUUUUAAUUUCAUAGCGUACUGCGUAAAUUACUUCAAAUUACUACUUUCAGAAAUAUGAAGUUGGCCGGAAAACUCUUCUGAUAGAAAUUAAACGACUGCUACGGUAGGUCUCAUAAUUUUACACGAUAUUAAAUAUAAAAAUAGAAGUAAAUUGCCAUUAACGGCGAGAGGAAUUGUCAAAAUGACAACUAUAUCUGCGGCGGCUGAAAUAUCCCCCCAACGUCGUUAUAUCCAAACAAAAAUUGUCGAGUUGGGGCCCCAAAAAAAAAAAAAAAGAAUGACAAAGGUUGAAGAGAAAACGAUUAUAAAAUUCCGGGGAGUGGUAAAGAAUUUUGUGUGUGUGUGUGUGUGUUUUUGGAAUAAGAAAGUUUGAAAUUAUGCUAAGUGAUACGGAUAAGGGUGUAAACGAAUCUAAUCAAAUCCAGUACAUUAGCGUUCAAAUUUAUUUAAUUAUCUCAAAUAAUUUACUAUCCAAACACACUUCUAAUUAGCUAUGAUUUUGUACCGUCAAAUGAAACCCGAAGAUUACAAAGUUAUAUUUAUUGAUUUCUUUUAACAUCUAUCAGGUUGUUAUAUACUGACAGUGUGUGUUUGCAUAGAGCUCUUUUUAAAGGACAAAUAUUCUUUCUGCGGAAAAAGAAAGGAAAAAGAGAUUAUGAUAGGACAACGAGUUAACUGAGUAUCCAUUUAAAGUUGAAAAGAAACAAAUUUGGGCAUACUUUGAUUUUAACACCCAAAAAAAAAAAAAAAAGCUUUUAUGGCAUUCAGUUACAUAUUAAAAGGAGAAUUGAUAUGAAUAUGACGAUAUGAGGAAAAAUACAGAUACUAAAAUUUAAAAAUAAAGACAAAAUGAAAAAAAAAAGAAGGAAAUGGCUGAUACUACUUUAAUGUUUAUUACAAAAAAGAAGCAAAAAAUGCAAAUUGCCGUCAAAUUUAAGCAGUUUCGAUUGUCUAAGCUAGAUAAAAUAAAACAAUGGAAAACUCUUAAUAAUUAGGAAUCAAGCAAGCAAGAAAGACGACGACACCAUAGGGUCGCAAGGAAAUUAAAAAAAAAAAAGAAAGAAAGAAAAAAGAACAAAAGCAGACCAAAGCAUUUUGGAAUCUGGAAAUUGAAUAUUCCUUUAAAUAAAAUGGGGAGAUGAAUUCUCCCACUUACGGGCGUUGAUUUUGAUGGAUCCUUGUACUGUUGGCCAACAAAGAUAAACAUCUCAUCAAUCUACUUUAGGAAUUGGAAAAAAUGAUAAAGAGGCCAAAUGAGAAUUUGCCUCUCGGUGACUACUUUGAGGGGAAAAAAACAAAAGGCACAAGCAUUUGACCUUUAAGCAGUCGUGUACAGUGUAAUUAGAAAAAGUAACAGUCAUGUGCUGUUCAGUGUAUUGUCAGAUACAGGAAAAAGAAAGUUUAAAAAUAGGCUUGUGAUAUUAGACUUAAACGUCAAUCUAAUUAAGUGUCUAUCUUUGAAAAAAAAAAAAGAUAAUAGACUUAAACCUCAAGGAAAUUUUGAUGCUUCGCUUAAUAAAGGGAAGAAUGGAGUAGAGAAUUCACAUUUUGGCUUUGGCGAAACUAGUCCGUCAGCAACAUGCAUUAAUUAAUUAAGGUUUUCAAGCUAAAGAGCAUGCAUUAAUUAAGGUUUUAUAUCCCUCCCUUGCAGCAUGCAAUUGAUUUGACCUUCUUUCUUCUUCUUCUUCUUCUUGUCCCCAGCCACCUUUCCUUAAUAGUAAUUAGUAUUGCUUGGGUAGGUGCACAGUGACAGAGAUAAAAAACUACACUACCAGCAAUUACGAGAUGCUAAUCAAAGAUUAGUUGAAUUUUAAUUGAGUGUGGAUUCUACUUAAAGAUUAACCUGACAGAACCCAUUACUCUGCAUUAUCAGUACUCCCUCCGUCCCACUUUGAUAGUCUUAUUUUCCUUUUUCGUCUGUUCCAAAUUGUAGUCCACUUUCCCAUUAAGAAAUAUAGUAAUCUUUUAAAUUGUCUAAAAUGCCCUUAUUAAAUAUCUUGUUAUUAAUACAUUGUUAUUAAAUACUAACCCACUACAUUGAAUACAUUGAGCUUUUCCAAUACUAACCCAUUAGCUGUAACUGAUAUUAAUUGGCACUCUUCGUGAUUAGCAUAAGGGUAUUUUAAGAAAUUAUUAAUCUAAAUUUAUGUUUCCAACCAAAUUAAUUACACUUUCUUAAUCUGUGUAAAAAAAAAAAAACCAAGACUAACAAAAUGGGACGGAGGGAGUAUUAUAUUUACUAGUGCGCCUUUCAUCAGUCAAAUACGCUGAUUAAGACUAGCUAAUAAGUCAAAUCAAUUUCAUGAGAAUUAGUGUCAGCAAAUGUAUGCAUUAACCAAAGAAAAUGAAAUCAACUUCUCUACUGUUGUGAGGUGAUUCAUCCGUUGCUUUAACCCUUUUUUUUUUUUUUUUGAGAGCGCGAUAAAUUCUAUACCAUACAUACUGCUGCUUUAUAUUAGGAGAAGCGGGAGAAAGACCCAAAGGGAUCAAAAGAUAAUCCAACAAUGAUAGAAUCACCACCAACUCAGACAAGCAUGUAGACACCCACUAAUCGAAUAUUUCAGGAUAUCCCGGACACUAGAAUGUAGGUCAAGGAAUCGAUUCAAUCUCUCAAUCUUUACACGACCAAUUGAUCCCUUGGCCUAUACACGAUCUCCUGAUCUAUACAUCCAAGUAGAGUCUCUCUUUUGGUAGCCAGCUACUUAGGUUUCAUCCGUUGAUUUACCGGUGGUCAUAAAUUUUGGGUGAAAUACGUGAAGUCCCUUAGCUGUUAUUGGUUGGUGAAGAAGAAAGGGAGUUUUUUUUCCGAUAAAAAAGAAAGGGAAUUAAAACCAUCCUUUCGAAUUUAUUGUCCAAAUUUGAAAUGGAUGGAUAGCAAUCCAAUUCAGUCAACAUUUGAGAAUGAGGCCACAAGAAUUUGAGCCGUGUCAUCAUCGAUUAACUCUCUUUUCUCUUUCACUCAGCUUGAGAUUCCUGUGGACUGCCUGCCGUUUAGCGCUCGUGGCUGACAAUUGAGACAGACUUCGAAAUAGAAGCUUUGACUGGAUAUGGCUUCUCAUCAUUAUAAUCUGUAAUCACAUCACAUUAAAAUAAAAAAUCCUUAAAUUUUAAUUCUAAACUCCGACGAUAAUUGAGUCAAAUGAAGCUACUAAAAAAAUACUGGUAAUGAAUAAAAAAAACUCAAACACACACCCCAAUAACCGGAAAAAUUAAAAUACGCCAGGAAAUGAAGCCCAGGCACAGUUCCAGAUGUUGUGUUAUUUUGUAAUUGUUGUGUUUAAUGAGAGAGGGACAUUGUAGAAAUGCAAAUCUUAAAUUAUUAACAAGCAGAAAUAUUUGAUACUAUGUACAAAAUUUUUUUUUUUUUGGGAUGAUCCUUAUCAAUUGAUCACCUCCAAAACUAAAUAGUAAAUACCACUAUCUCUUCGUAUUAUUAAUUAAUUAUAAUAAUAAUUUGCUUCUAGUCAGGGCAAGGCAAGGCCGGGCCAGUCCGCCGGCUAUUUGAUUCUGCGCUGCUGCAUCCACCACUGAAAAUACACCUACCACAUAAUGGUACCACCUUCACCGCCACCGCAGCUAAUUAACGGGGCGCAACUACUUACUCCAUCUCUCAGCCGGCAAACCGUCCCACAAUCUCACCACACUUCCGUCUAGCACCAUUAAAUCCUGAUAACGGUAGAACCCCAUAUGAUCUCCCAUCCUCAUUCUCAUCGUUACCUCCCACCAACCUUCCCCGAACCAUUGCUUCUCAUCCCCGACACAUCCGUCCUGGCAGUCAAGUUCUCCGUUUACGUCAUCACGUCUAUCCUCCUCCUCGUCCUCCUCCCUCCGAUCAUAGUAAAGUGUAAACUUCCCGCUCGUUCUUCCCUCUGCAUUGAACAAGUACGGCGAAGAUGGAGCCGCCACAGUCGAAGGUUUAGCUGCCUCGACUAUAGCAGAAGCCACCACAGCCGUCGCCGAUGCAGGCUCAGCCACCAGUCUCUCAACCGGGCGCGAUGCUUCACGUGGAAAGUUGCUGCCAGGUAAUGACGAAGCCUUUAAUCUCCACACGCUGACGGCAGCCGUAACAACGGCAACCCACGUCCAGACGUUGUUGACGAGCGUUAACAGGCCGAAGCGCAGGUAGUCGAAUGCCAGAACCUCGAGCGGAGAAUCCAGAGCACUCAUUUCUGCUCACUUUCUCUCUCACACAGUCACACAGUAGCGGUAAGAGGACGGUUCCUUUUAUUAGUAGAGUAUUUCUUUCCUUUCCGCCUUCUCGGAAAAGCAUGGUGAAAAUAUGAGUGGUAUUUAUGGGAUGAGAGAGAUGAAUGGGGGCCGUUGGAUUGGAUAGCUGGAAGGCAUCUGAGAUUAGAUGCCAAGAAUCGAGAGUGAGAUGCGAAAGGAAGAUCCGAAUAUUGAUACCCGAACUCUAUCAAAUUAGCGGAUGUGAGUUGCCACUUGUAUAGUUUGGAGUGGCUGUCGUGCUAAACUUGGGUACCUUACUGUUUACUUGGCAGCCGCCAGAAAUUUUUACUGUCGUGCUUGAUUAUUUUACAGAAGAGUUUUAUUUACUGUGGAAAAUAACAGAAGAGGAUAUCCACAAAUUUUGCAUCUUUCUCGACUUACACAAAGGCCUCGUUUGGAAUUAAGGUACUUUUAUUUAAAAAGCACUUUUACGCGCUAAAAGUAUUUUUGAGACGUUUGAUAAAUAUUAUUUGAUAAAAUUAAAAAUAGCAAAAGGUUUAAUUUAAUGCUUUUAAAAUAACUUCUGUUGUUUAAAAAAUAAAAAUAAAACAUUGAAUUUAAUCAUUUUAUCGUAUAUUAUGAACCAAACAAAGAGAUAGACAAAUUUAAAAAAUUUUAAAUUACAUAUUAUUCAAUACAAUAAGUACUUAUUGAAUUAUGUAUCCAAACAAUAUACUUAAAAAUACUUAUUUAUCAAAUGCUCCAUCGAUGAAGUACUUUUUAACAAGUUAUCGAAUUUCGAAACCGACCCUUAAAAAUCAUACGCAUACAAACGAGCAAUGCUUGCACAUAAUUAAGAAGCCCAUCAAACAAUUAAAAAACUUGGCGUGACUUUACAUACGGCAUAAUCAAACACAAUGAUCACUCUAUGCGAACCAUCAUUACUGUUGGUUGUUUCAUGUUUGGAUGUAAUGAAGGCUCCGGGAUAAUAAUUGAAGAAGAAUUGGUUGAUUAACGAAGUGCAAGAUGAUGUAACCAAAACCACUAAGUACAAGUAAAACAAUACGCUGACAAAUGAGGAAAACCAACCGAGGAUCAGAACCCAAUUUUCUUGAAUAGUAAUAAAUUGAUGGACGAUCCAAUUUAUGGUGGGAUUGUUAUGUAAGGGGUUGGUUGGUGGACCAGACAUGACUAGGAAAGACGGCAAUAAUAAAUUGAAGGUGACAGCAUCCUUGACCAGGAGUAUUACUGACUAGCAUAGCAUAUUUGAGGGCCUUGUUUGGAACCUUGGGGCCUGUUUGGAACCUGAGUUUUUUGGGAGUUUGUCUAAAACUUUACUGUAGUGCACUGUAGAAGUUUUUGAAAAAAUUUUGUAGAAGUUUUUGUAAGGUGAAAAACUUUUUUGUAAAAGUUUUUUUAAGGUGAAAAACUUUUUUUCCUUUUCUUUUUUUUUCUUUUUCUCUUUCUCUUUCUUUUUCUUUUUCUUUCUUUCCUUUUUCUUUUCUUUUCUCUCUUCUUCUUCUUCUUCCUUUUCCCUCCCGCUUCCCUCCCCCGUACCUCUGCCUUCCCAGUUCCCAGCAGUCAUGGCCUGAAGGCCCUACCAUUUUUUUUCUUUUCUUUCUUUUUCUCUCUCUUUUUCUUUUUCUUUCUUUCUUUCCUUUUUCUUUUCUUUCCUCUCUUCCUCUUCUUCUUCUUCUUCUUCCUUCCUUCCCCCUCCCUCUUCCCUCACGGUACCAGACAAACCAGCAGCCCCUCUCCCCAAAUUUUUUUUUUCUUUUUCUCUUCCCCUCUUCUCCCUCUCUGCUCCCCUCUCCCCCUCUACUCCCCUUCACCACCCCUCUCUCCCUCCCGAAGCAGAGAAGCAGCAGCCAUGGCAGAAUACAAUUUUUUUUUUGUUUUUUCUCUCCCCCUCUCCUCCAUCUCCCUCUCCCAUUCUCCCCACCUCCCCUUUUGCCCAAUUCGGUCGUCCGACCAGAUCGCAUCAGCGAUCUGGUACCGUCGGUAGCGUGCGACCAGAGACCUUGAAUUAAUGGGAGGGUGGCCAGGGAGAGAAGGAGAGGGGGGGAGAGGGAGAGUGAGAGGGAGAAGGAAAAAAAAAGGGGUAGGCCGGCGCCGGAAUAGGUGGCCGGCGCCGGAAACAGCGACGGAGGUGGUGGUGGCCGGCGACGGAGGGGUGGCCGGGAAGGUGUGGUGGAUAGGGGUGGGGGAGAAAGAAGAAGAAAAGUAGAAGUUUUUUAUGUAUUAGAUAUUUUGAAGUGUGUAGGUUAAAAAAUUUGAUAAAUUUUUUUGGGUUCCUGUAGCUAAAGUUGUUAAAAAACUAGUAGCUAAAAAACUUGGCCAAAAAACUCGGUUCCAAACAGGCCCUUGGUUUUUAGGCAAGUUUGUAUAAUACUAGUUUUUUAACAACUUUUGCUACAGGAACCCCAAAAACUUCUCCCAAAACUUUCGCCCCUUUUUGAAACAUUUUAACAAAACGACGUCAUUUUGGCUGGUUUUUUCCUUUUCAAUUCAUAGCAACACAGAAGACUCCUUCCUUUGUUUCUUUCGCUGCACAAAAGUUUUUGCUCUUUCUGUUAGUUCUCCGGAGUCGACCUACUUCUAUGCCGGAGUCUACAGUUGAUCAGAGCAACGAGAAGCUAAGUGAGUGAUUCUCCAUUUUGUUGGUGAAACCCAUUCGAAAAGCUUCAUUGGUCAAUUGCGAGUUCAGAAACUGGGCGCAGAGGGGAAGGGGUGGCGGGGCAAAGGGGGAAUGGGCAGCUUGCUUCCACUGGUGGCUGGCGGGGCUAAUUCACUGAGCCUAUCCGCUCGCAAUCCGUAUGGGACGUCUUCCUCUGAGCUGGUGAGGGAAGGAGGAAGAGGCAGCGGGGGUGGCGGGGGAAGGGGUGGUGGGCCAGAGAGGGGGGUAGUGGGAGAGGGGGUGCGGGGUACCGAGAAGGGGCAGAGGGGAAGGGUGGCGGGAAGGGGGGGUGGCGUGCGGGAGGGGGAAGGGGCAGAGAAAAUGGGGGGGAGUAGCGGGGGAAGGGGCACAGGGGAAAGGGAAGGGCAGGGCAGAGGGGUGGUGGGACAGCGAGGGAAGGGCUGGCGGGGGAAGGGGAAGGGGCAGGGGCAGAGAAGGUGGUCGGGGGAGGGGGUGGCGUGGCAGCGGGGAGAGGGGGCUGACGGGGGAAGGGGGUGGCGGGGGAAAUGCAGAGGAGAGGAGAAGGGGAAAGGGAGGAGAGAGGGUGGCGGGAGGGGAAAGGAGGAAGAAGAAGAAGAAGAAGAAAGAGAAGAAAGAAAAGAAAAAGGAAAAAAAGAAGAAGAAGAAGAAAGAGAAGAAAGAAAAGAAAAAGAAAGAGAAAGAAAGAAAAGAAAAAAAAAAUUCACCUUACAAAAUUUUUUAUCUUACAAAAAACUUCUACAAAAAAAUUUUUUACCUUACAAAAACUUUUAUAAAAUUUUUUCAAAAACUUCUACAGUGCACUACAGUAAAGUUUUAGACAAACUCUCAAAAAACUUAGGUUCCAAACAGGCCCGAGGUUAGGUCAAGGUGACGGAAUGGAUUCUUGAAGGCAGCUUGCAAGACACUAUUGCCAUUUACCAUGAUUGGUUAGUUGGCUCGUUGGAGCGCUAAAGGCUAAACUCUAAGGGGGUUGUGGAAUUUGAGGAUUGGAAAGGCCCCGGGAUCUGGAGAUGUGUGGUUCGCCUGCACCAGCCCGCUGAUUUCAAUUUUUGAUAUGUUUUUAAUUGGUGGUCCUCCAGUAUAAUUGCAGCAAUUUUAUGAGAAAUUGCCCUCCUCCGCAGGUUUUAUUUUGUGGGCUGCGAUGUUAACUGCUCGUCGAUGGGGCCCAAAUUUUUUAUCGUGGUGUCACUAAAUGGAAAGAUGCUACUCUUUUGCCCCCAAAAGAAAAUGAAUAAAUGCAAGGUCUUUUGUCCAAUUCAAAAUAGAACUUGACCCAUUCGCCGUUUUAUUAAGUAGGCUUCAUUCAUCUGAGCGUUGCUGCGUACAUCUCAGGGAAGAUACCUAUAUUUGUCAUUACCAUUUUGGUAUAAACCACAGCUAUUCGCGUCCGUUUUACGUUUUGCGAUUGAUCCUAUUCCAAUCAGGUUAGGCCCUUUGUAGGAAAAAGCUCUCCCAACAUUAUCCUUUCCAUUUCCAUGAAUAUUAAACCUAAGACCUUAUGAUUACGGAACGCAAGCUCCUUCCAGGAUUUUAAAUUAAGUAAGUGGUAAUUUAAGAUACAGAGGGUGAGCGGUAUCUUUGCUCGUUUCCUGCCACUGAUGUAUGGCAAUUGGGUUGAGUAUAAUCUUGGUACUUCCUCUUCAUUGCUUGGAUUGUGUGGGAGCUCAAAGAUAUAAAAUAAUCACCGUUCAUUUUGUGAAUUCCUUUUUUUGUUGUUUUUGAGGAAUUUUGUGAAAAUAAGAAUAAAUGGGAUCGAAGUCACAAGAGCAGAAACUAGUGAACAGGGGUUCCAAAAGCCAAUUAGUUAUAGUUAUGUCAAUUUGCUAAAAGCUAAAGCCAACUUUUUACAAGCCAAACUAAUUAGAUUUUGCAACCUUUUACGCUAAGUUUCUUGUGAUCAGUCGGCUGAUUGAGGGCUUUAAGCCCAGAAGGAGCGAACUUGGGCCGAAGGGUUGCCUUCUCUAAGUCGUCCCAAUUUGCUCAUAACAAACUCAGAAGGCCUAAUCGUCCCACCACCCCUUGACAACAAAGGCGUAGUGAAAAGACCACGCUUUCUUGCUCUCUAGCACUUAAGAAUGGCUUCCCCAUUCAGAAAUAUACGUUGGUAAUCUAGGUCGGAAGGCUUCAAUCGACCAAAUUAUCCUAGCAGAGCAACCCAAGCAAAGAUCAGUAAAUUAUCGUCUGCUUCUUCUUCAUAUGCCUUGGUGCUGUGAAAAAGCGUCAUAUUCAGAAGAAAGGUGUUAUCAGUAAAUUAUCCUAGUAUGUUAUUUUAAUGGAAUUUCGUUUAUUACCCAAAAAAAAAAAAAAAAAAGUAAACUAUGAGUGUUGUUUCCAUCACCUACUUCAAAUUUAAAGCAUUGCCUCUCUUCUUCUGUAUUUACAUGCUUAAGAAUUCACCAAUAAAUGAAAAGCACAUAUACAAGAAACCGGUUCCUUCACUUUUGCAUUGAACAUACAGACUAUAGAGAGAAGUAAAUGACGCCGAAUGUCACUAAAUUAUUAACGUUUUUGGUCACUAAUCUAAUUUUUUUAGCCAAAAAUAUCGCUCAACUGCUAAUUACUUGCCUAAUCAGGCUUUGUAACUGUUCUGUCAAUUUGCUGACUGAGGGUUUCGAGCCCAUCAGGAUUUAAUUUAACUCGGCCGGAUGUGUUUUCAUUUCCAGAGUCGUCCAAAUUUCGACUUAACCAAACAUAUGGCUUAGAAGGCCUAGUUGUCCCAGCCCUUCACGACGAAGGCUUAAUACUCCAGCUCCAAGAAUCCAUAAAUUAUGGUCUGUUGAUCCUUCUUGAGAUGCCUUGUUACAGGGCGUAAAUUAUGAGUAUUUGUUUCCAGCACCUACAUCAAAAUUAAAGCGUUAACCUUUUUCUUGUAUCUGUACAUGCAUACGAUUGAUUCUUGAGACUCUAUACCUUUACUACCAGUUAAGGAGCAUAUAUUAUAUACAAGAAAUCGAUUCCUCUACUUUUGCCUUGAAGAUGUAGGAUCCAUUUGGAUUAGCUGUUUUUAGAGGUGUUAUUAAAAUAUUUUACUGUAGCAAUGUAAUUGAAAAACUUUUACUGUAGAUAAGUUUUUUUUUUUUUUUUUUGUGUAUUUUUGGUAUUUUUUAAGAUUGUUUUUGAUAUUUUUGAAGUUGUUUUUGAUGUUUUUGAGGUUGUUUUUGUUUGUGUAUUACUCGACUCCCGCUACAACUUUCAGAUUCAUAUAUUAUGUACAAACAAUUUGGCAUAUUUUAGAAUUCGUAAUUUGUAUUACCUAUAAACACAUUUUCUUGAAGUAUGAUAACCAAAAGUUGUGGCAAAUUGAAGACUUGAAUGUAUGCUUUUGAGAGAGGAAUCGAACAAUUUUAUGGCUCGCGUCAUGUGAGCGUUGAAGGAGAACAUGGACUUGGAUGGUUCCGAAUUUUGUUAUGCGUUUAAACCCGUUUUCCGGGUAUACCGAACCUCUACUGUAGGCUAAUGAGAAGGCUUAAACUAAUUCUAUAUGGCCUUCCACUCUUCUAGAUCAAUAUGCAGAUUUCGGGCAUGUUUAUUGAUUGCAUGACGUGUACGUUUUCUUAAUUACAACAGAAUUCAUAGCAAUGGUUUUUCUUGUCUGGGGUGCUUUGAAUCAGAAGAAAAGCUUGGAUUUCUAGAACAAGUUUCAUUUCAUUCCAUUUCUUGGACCAUCAAAUCGGUACUCCCUUCAAGAAUAUUAAAAUGAAAUGGCAGGCGAUGUCAUUGUGAUCUAUCAUUAUUCAAUUGCGCACUAUAUUUUCUCUUACUGGAGAGAUUUUCUUCACUCUUAUAACAAUUGUGUUGCAGGCAGGAAGAAAGCUAGCGGGGUUUGAAUUUUUCAGUCUACUGACUCACAGAAGUAGUAUCAAGGUUCCGUCUGCACGGUCAUACUGAUGGCUCUGAAACUCCAUUUUGGGAUAUAAUUUGAUUAGAGAGAUGUAUGGACUGGCGAAGUCACUGAAUAGGAAGACGGAAUAGAAAUUCAAAUUAGCGCACAAUUUAAUAGAGAAAUUCAACCCCCCCCCCCCCCCACCCCAAAGGUGGUCUAACUUAACGAAAUCACGUCCUGUCCCUUGAAGCCCCUGAGAAUCAUUUGUUUAGUCAAAGGGGGGGAAAAACUGGAAUUCCGUUUGGUUGACGAAUGCUGAAAUGAUAAUAUGAUUUAUGCUUUAAAUAAGCCUCUGUUUGGAACUUUGAUGACAAUGAGAUACAUAAAUUAAUAGGAUAAAAUACUUAACCAAGAAGUUGUAAAAAAUGAUCUGACAAAUUCAACCGAAGAAGAAACAAACGGAAAAAAAAAAAGAAAAAGAAAAAUGGCAUUACGGCUACUGAUACAGGCAGGAACAACUGAUUGCAUCAUCUUAUGCUACUUGCGGAGACACUAAGCCCAAUGCUUGGCAGGUUUGUCCCCUCAAGAUAUAAGUUGGUAGCUAGGACAUUUUCGAGUCUUUUUUUUUUACGUAUCCUUUUGAAGAGUCGAAACUAUGAGCUCUUCAAUAUGGGUGAAGUAAUUGAACUUCUUCUCUUUAUAUGGCACAAGUAGUUGCAAUUUAUUCUUACCGAAUAAACAAAAAUGGAAUUAUAGAGUUAUGUAUAUUCCUAUCAUGCAUGAAAUUCAAAGAAGUAAGUUAUUGUGGCUGAAAGGAAGGCUAUGGAAUGGUUCUGGCUUGAUAAAUAAAGUGUAAAAUACAAGUAAGGCUAUAAAUGUAUCAUAAUAAGCAUGUAAAAAAAAAAAAACUAAUACUUUCCGUGUGUAUGUUGAUGUUUCCAAUAGGGGGGUGAUGGCGAUGAUUCUGUUGAUUCUUUUCAUCUUUUGUUUGCCCAAAAAAAUCCUAGUUAGCUGGUCAAUCGGACCACGGCUGACUAUUUGGGGGGGUAGGUACGGAGCUGCUAGCCUGGAAAUCAGAGUUGAAAUUCAAACUUCUCCAUUUCACGAUCCAGGAGGAGUCUAAGACAUUCUUUUGGCAAUGUUUCGUUCCAUUCCCAGCAAAUGGUUUUUUUUUACCCUAAACGGGCGUGCAUCGCCUCAUGCACUUGAUGUCGAGGCGCUGUUAACUUGGAACAUUGUGUGAUGGCCUGUCUCUGUAUUCAAGUCCAUAACCAACAUAGAGUGCAAGAUUCCAGUUUUGAUCACCAUAGUCUACUUAAGAAAGUAUUAAAAAAUUGAAGCUGGUUGUGAUUCUUCGCUUUACCUCGAAAUUUCCAGACGAUUUAUUUACUCAAUGUGAAAAUUGUGAAGGUCCAAGCAAUGUGUGUAUCUCUUAAAAUACCCUUGAAAAGGACGGCAGUCCUGCUCUCGUGCAAAUUGCAAGCUAGACAUCCAUAGCAAACUUUGAAUAAUGGAUGCCGUUCGAUGCCUUCCCUUUUAUGUUCAUAUAUAUAUAUAUAUUUUUUUUAAUUCUUCUUUUCCAAAAGAACCAUUCAUCUAUUACAGGCAGGAAUUUUCAAAACUGUUUUUCCGGCUUUCGUGAUACAUGCAAGCAGAGCAGAUGUUUUCGUGAUACAUGCAAGUGAAGCAACGUUGGUUGAUACCAUCCGGUAUAUUGGAGCCUCAUGAAAUGAUGUGCGCCAAAGAUUCAGGAGAAUUGGUCGCUGAUUGUUGAGUGCGUCGUGGGGUAUUUUUCAUAAGCGUUUUGAUACAGUUUGAUGAGCUGUAUUGAAUUUUGGGUUGUGAAUAAUUGUAGAGACUCAUUGAUGUAUAGAUAGCGUGUGUAUAUGCUACUUCGUAUGUGUUUUAGUCCUCUAUCAAUAAAAAUUUGCAAUUUAACUAAAAAAAAAAAAUCUUUUAGAUGCUAAUUAUCCAACAUAAGAGUUUAUGGUGUGAAACAUGGAAAUUAGCUAAAAAAUUUUGAAUACAUCUUAGAUACGCUAGCUAGCAGUGUAUACACUAUCGCGAUUAGGUAUAUGACAUACGAGCAAAAUUUGGAUUUCAAAUUUUAAACUUAAAUAAGUUAUCAUCCAUUUAACGGUGAUAUUGUAUGCAGUGUCGGUGUAUAAAAAAUUAAUCCAAAAACUGUAAGGGUGCAAAUUGAACAUGAUAAUAAAUACUAGCGCCUUGCUUGCUUAAUUGAACAACGUUUGGCUUCUAACAUCGGUUCAAUGCAUUAGCAUAGGUGCACAUAUAGCCUACAGUACUACACCAGUUUAACCUACAUCCAACACAAUUUUCUGUCCAGCCAAAUCAGGUUUUGACUUCAUACAAAAUAUUAAUUCGAUUAUUCUAGCACCCGGCAGGUAGAAAAGGUUAUUUAUUCUUAUUCAAUGUGAAUGGAAAGCACAAGAAAGUAUGACUUGAGGUGUAUAGUGAGAGAAUUGGGCCCGGCCAACAAGUAAAGCAUAAGAAAGUGAGUUUUUACUUCUUUAUUGUUGAUUCUUUAUGUGAGUUAAGUCAGAAGUGAGGAGGCGGCUUAAUUUGCUCAGUAUGCUCCACAAAAUUGAAUGUGUAGAUUUCUAAUACAUAGAGUUACUAGAGAACUUUGACCACAGACAACUCACAACUUCUUGCAACGAGGGAACAUGAUGCAACUGAUGAUUGUCCAUUUUAUACUUGUUCUUGAAUUUAUUAGCUAAACAGAAAAGAGAAGAUGAACUUCGACUCAAAUGCUUCGAAUGUCAUGCGAGAAUAAAGAAUGAGAUCGGUCAUUAUAAGCUAAACCUAGAGCCGAUUUUUGACACUUUCAAAUCUUGAACAGGUAACGUUUGAUUUGAAUUGAUUUAUGCCCCAGAGUCCAAGUGUUUAGAUUUGAGUCAGAGUCAAGGUCAAAUCCACGAUUCAAUUCGAUUUGUUUGACAAAAGGGCUUGAUUUAUCCAAUUACAACGCUCGAGUUCAAGAUGUUAGUUAGAUUGUCCUUCUUUGAACUAAGAAAUAUAUAAUGUAGAAGCCAAGAAAUAUUUAUGGAACUGAGCAACCUAUUGGAAACAGAAAAAUUGAUGAAAGAAGGAAAAAAAAGAGAGAGGCUCGAGGAAACACAAUGCGUAAAAUAUGAAAUACUCCCUCCGUCCCACUUUGAUAGUCUUAGUUUUUUUUUUUCCACACAGUUUAAAAAAAAGUAGUUAAUUUUGUUGGAACAAUCAAUUUAGGUAGUUAUUUUCCUAAAAUACCAUCACAUUAAUUAGAGUAUAACUUUAUGGGAACUUGAAUUGAUAGUAAAAAAAGAAUCAACUCUCAUUAAAUGGAGUAGGUUUAUAGUAACAACAACUUACAUUGAAUAACGGUAUUUUAGAAAAAUUAAAAUACAACUACAUUCUUCAAUUGGAAAGUGGACUACAAUUUGGGACAGAUGAAAAAGGAAAACAGAACUAUCAAAGUGGGACGGAGGGAGUAGAAUGUAUGGUUAUGCGUAAUGAUCUUCCCAAUGCUCAACUAGUUCAGAAAUUUCACUCAUCCAUUAACUUGCUGAAUACAAACAUGGCUUCAAUUUCACUUCAAAUCCAAAAAAGGCGUACAAUUCGGGUACAUAAACAAAUAAUAAUGAAUACGGUAUGGUGCUAAUUUCUUCAAGUGAUUCAAACUUCUUCCAGUUAAGUUUGUUUUUUGGUCUCCCUCUAAAUAUUUUCUUCCCAAACUAACUAAAAAUCUCCAUGUCUGGCCUCUUAUUAUUGUUUUUUUUGGGGGGGGGGGGGCUAAGAAUCCUAGUGCCUGACCUCUCAUAUUACAAGUGAGUUAAAUCAAGAAAACCGCCACAACCUUGGUAUUAACUAUUAAUUAAGUGGUGAACAUUCUGUAGAAUUUGACAAAAUACAUAAACAGCAGUCAUAUACAAAUCAAUUUACUACUGUGGUCUACAGAUCGUGAGAAUCACGAUUUCUGGAGCGGAUAACCUGACAUUACAGUCAAACUUACACUUUUAUUACCACUCCUUCAAGGAAAAAAAAAAGGGGGGGGUCAGAUGGCAAGUAAAAUAAACUAUACGUUUACCAUUCGGGAAUAGCUAGGAAAAAAUUAAAAGAGAGACAGCUGUUUUGAAUAUUGAAUAUUGAAAACGACUUCCUAAUCUUUGACGUCACGUGAUUCACAAAAAAGUGAUUUCUAGAGUUUUGUGAAUUACCACUAGCACCUUGGAGGCUUGGAUGACCUUCUUUUUUUCUUUUUUUUUUUUGUAGAAAAGAAAAACGAAUGCAGGAGGAAAAGGUCGGUUUGAACUACGUAUUAACGUAUUCUUACAGCUUGGACUGAAGAUAGAUUGAAGGUUCCUUGAUCAAUAAAGCAUGAAGAUAAUAUAAAAAUUAGAAAAAUUUUGAAGUACUGAACAUUUAUGCAUUCAUAGGCCAUUUGGGAUAUCUUUUAUGGAUCACAGAAACUGUUUUGUUCAUCCAAUUAUUUGAUAUCAGCGUAGCAUGAAAGAUUCAUAUAUGUGAGUUUGUAAACUUGAAGAAUUACAGAAUUUGUACUACUAUCUAUCGUAUAUAGCCAAGUCUAAAUCCAACAUAUUCAGCUGCAUAGGUGUCUAUUUUUGAAAGUUAUGUGCGGGGACAUUCCAAUUUCCAAGCAAGUAUAUCUCCCGGAGCCGCCCGCAUGCCAUGCAAGAGUGGAAAAUAGCGUUGCAUUCCCUUUUCUUUCUUUUUGUUUCGGGUAGGUAGGCUACUCGGUCGAAUCAAUUUCCUAGAUAAGGCAUAGCUUUUAUAGAAAAUAUGUAUACCGUAAAAUCGGUGGUGCUGAUUAAUAAUGGAGUCAAGAAAGAAUGAAUCUUCAAACUGGAGAAAAUAAUGGAAUCUGAGCUAAAGAUGGUCAUGGUUUUGUGGAAGAUGGAAUUCCCGUUACAUUACAAGAGGCGUGCACUCUUCAAAUUUCUAUUGAUCUGAAUGUCUGUGUUUGAUUUCCAUGGCGUCGUCCAUUCCCCAUGUUCCUUCUUCUUCUUUUCUGGGACGUUUCCAUUUAAUCAAAUGGGCUGCAGAAAGUGAGAAGGCAAUUCUUCACUUCUUAGAUUUGAGAACGAUAGAUCACAUAUUCACGGUACGUACUGAUCUCCCGCAGACACACAUUUGUCUCCGUGCGUCUGUGAUGUGUGCUGAGAUUUUGUUGUUUGCCCCCCCAACCCACCUAAAAAAAAAAAAAAUAUAUAUAUAGUCAGAAGUGCAGUUGCUUAUUCCCGUAAACAUUUUUCUACAAAUUUAAGAGACAAGGGAGGUGUCCAAGGGAUAAUAUGUAUAUGUAUAUAUGUUGAACGUAAUUUAUAAUGGAAGAAACUUCUCGGUCAAAACACAUGUAAUGUAAUCAAACUAAAACCAACUCCUCACGGUCAAAAAAUAACCAGUCCAGAUCGAAUUGGCCUACGAUUUCAUCAACAACAUGAAGCUCGAUCCGUCGUCUCAUUUGCUCUGCAUUUUCCAUCUCAUAACAAAAUUAUAUACCACCACCAGCGCUCUUGAAGAAUCGGAUUCUUGUGGACCGCAUAAUGAGAUCAACGAAGCCGAUCGAGUGGACCCGAUUUCACGAAUUAUUUUUUUAUGAAUCGUUCGUUUAUAGUAACAAGUUCAUGGUCAGCUGUUGACCUGUUCUAAUUAACGUUAUUAUUAGGGAGCUCAAAUGUGUUUCAAUAGAGAUAUACGAGGAAUUAUUCUAAUGUUCGGAAAAUAUGAGGCAUUGAGGAGUUGAUAUGAUGAAUCUAAGGAUCGUACAGUGAACAAAAAUCGAAGUUGGCACACAGAAAUUGUUUAAGCUCAACAACCAACCACCGGUUAGAAACCCAACCAAACCGCUGGUUUGGACGAAAUUUCCUUACUAACUUACUAAUAUAUUACUAUAAUGCAAGAAUUAAUGUACAUAUGUAUUUAUUUUGUACAAAAGACACGGUCUUCACUUGUAAUCUUGUCUGUGUCUGUGUGAAGGGCGAGAAAAGAAAGAAAGAAACAAAUAUUUCUUAAUUUUCUCCAAGUCCGGAAAGUCUGAAGUCCGCUCACGUGCCCCCAACAUGACCUUCUCGUUCUCAUUUUUCAUGCAAAAGCCCCCUAUAAAUACCCCUCCAAAUCUUCUCUACGUUCACAAAACCAUCGUUCCUAGCUAAUCAUCCUAUCCUAGACAUUAUAUACUAAGCCUUUGAAUACAUACACACCCCAAAACUCCCUUCACUUUCUAGUCUCGAGCUAGCGCCUUCCCACCAUUUCGUUCCCUGGUAGCAAUGGCCAUCUUCUCCAAAAUUGGAAUCGUAGGGGCUGGAAUAAGCGGCAUAGCUGCUGCCAAACAGCUCCGAAAAUACGAUCCAAGUAUUGGAAUACUUGCACUCUUAUGCUACCCAUUUUGGGGUGGUGGAACUCAUCAAAUUCAGCUCCAAGGUGGUGGAAAUCAGGUUUGUUGGUAAUCAUGCCAAUGAUCCUGAUGAUCAGGUUAACUCUAACGGCUAUGGAAAUUUGCUCAAUGGCCAGCCCGUCUGGGAGGUUGCUGUCCAGACUAGCGAAUCUGACACAGUUGAGGUUGUUUUCCUUACACUGCUCACAAAUCAUCUUCAUCAAACCACAGGAAAAAAAAGAAAAAACCUGAUUUUUUUAAAUUUAAAUCUCACACUAACGUUUUAUUUCAUCAUUCAGAAUAUAAGCUUCAUCUGUUGAUUCAUCGUGAUUUCUAAGGUUAUUUUUGAAAUUUUAUAACUAUAUAGAUCUGGUUAUUUGGACUUCUAACAGGAAAAUAACCAACUAGAGAUCUUUUUCUUCUUCUUUUUUUUUGUGUGUGCCUCAUUCUUUCAUCUAGAUGGCGUAAGUGAUAUUAUUGCCACAGAACUGUUUAGUACCAAUAAUUGUACGUUUGAAAGAGAUGCAGCACGAACUGGAAUAUGUCUUGCUGGACCAUUUUUUUUCCUCAAAUUGUGAUAAACAAGAAGGUUAUAUAUUACGUACACUCUGUAUAAUAUAUUGGAUCACCUGAUAAAUCAAAAAAAAAUUCCUGGGGAAGCAUUACAUAAAGAGCUUGCAUGGCUACGGUUUCCAAAGGAUGCUAAGGGCUUCUAUUUCUCUUUAUAAAGAAUGAAAAAAAAAAAAAACAUUUUCGAAACUAAUCCUACUAUUGUCUGGUUAGUUCUAAUCAUUCUCUCUUGAUCAGCUCUUUUUAUUAACUUUAUCAAUGUAAUUACUUUCAGUGGUAUGCCUUUGAAUUGUUGGUGAUUUGCACUGGGAAAUACGGUGACGUCCCAAUAAUACCCCAGUUCCCACACAACAAGGGCCCUGAAGUGUUCAAAGGACAAGUCUUGCAUUCCCUUGAUUACUGCAAACUGGAUGAAGAAAACUCCGUGCAAUUACUCAAGGACAAAAAGGUUGUAGUAGUCGGGUACAAGAAAUCAGCUAUUGAUUUAGCUGUCGAGUGCGCAAAAGCAAACCAAGGUAUAUUUACAUUCCCCAUUCCUAAAAGGAAGAUAACAUAACUACGCUCACGGAUCAUGAUGCAAAAUAAAGAUGAACUAGUUUUAUACAUGAAUAGAGGACCCUAACUCGACUAUAUUCUUCUCAUGGUCAUGGAACUUCUGUUGCGAUCCUAAUCAUGCUUGGGUUUUUGGGCAUAUUCAAGUAGUUAACACGUUUGAGCAAGAUUUAUCAAUCUCCUAUACUGCUAAUGUUUUUCCACGUAGCUGAAAAUUUUGGGGUUGAAUCCAUUUUCUUCAAGCUGGUGAGUAAAAAGAAGAGGGACAUUUAGUUUAGUGGAUAUGAUGGGAAUCAACAAUAAAUAAUAAUAUUGAUGGAACUGGUUCCAAAGAUAAAACCUUUAUCCAUAGGAUUACAACGUACUUAUUCCAAAAAAAAAAAAAAAAAAAAAAAAAUGAAAGAACGAGUACACGUAAUGUUUAUAUUUACUGUGGGAAUAAUUGGUUCUAUAUUACGUCUUGCACACUCUUUUUGAGUUUGGGACAUACUAUUGACAAAAUCAGGUCAACUUUGAUCCCAAACAACAUAAUAAGUCACUCAUUGCAAGAAAACUUUUACAAGUCAUUGCUGGAUAUUGAAAAUGCUAAAUUUGGCGCUUUCUAUCUUUUGACUUCUUCUAGGGCCUGACGGACAACCAUGCACCAUUGUGGUCAGGACGUUACAUUGGACAAUUCCACAUUAUUCUAUCUGGGGUCUGCCAUUUUACUUGUUCUAUUCAACAAGGGCUUCUCAAUUCCUCCAUGAAAGACCAAACCAAGGGAUUCUCAGGAACAUCUUUUGCAAGCUAUUGUCUCCAGUGGUAAGUCUUAAAUUCUUUGUCUUCUUUCAAAGCUUAUUGCCAGGAUAUUAAUUAGUCAGUCUGAUCCAUAAUGAUUUCAACAGAGAAAUGCAAUGUCAAAGAUAAUCGAGUCUUAUUUGGUUUGGAGGCUUCCACUGGAGAAAUACGGAUUGAAACCUGAUCAUCCGUUUGUGGAGGACUACGGAUCCUGCCAAAUGGCUAUCUUGCCAGAGGAAUUGUUUGAGGAGGCAGAGAAGGGGAUGAUUGAUUUCAAAAAAGCAUCAAAGUGGUGCUUUUGGGAGGGAGGAGUUGAAUUUGAUGACAAUACCAAAUUGGAGGCUGAUGUUGUGCUUCUUGCUACCGGUUUUGAUGGCAAACGAAAGCUACGAAACAUCCUCCCUGAGCCUUUUCGCAGUCUGCUUGAAACUGAAGGCAUGAUGCCCUUAUACAGGUAUUGAACAAAUGCCGCCACUGCGACUUCACAAUCCACCAUAGAGACCUUAAUGCUUUGGGAAGUUGGCCACUACUGAUGGAAAUUUAUUUUACAUUAAUUGCAGGGGUACAAUCCAUCCACUGAUUCCCAAUAUGGCAUUUGUGGGUUAUAUUGAGAGCGUUUCAAACCUGCACACAGCUGAGAUUCGUUGCAAAUGGCUGUCUAGACUCGCAGACAAUUAUUUCAAGCUUCCAAGCGUGGGACAGAUGCUUGAACAAACACAGAAAGAGAUGGGGAUCAUGAGGAAGACCACCAGAUUUUACAAGAGAAGUUGCAUUUCCACUUUCAGCAUCAACCACACAGAUGAGAUCUGUGAAGAGAUGGGAUGGAAAUCAUGGAGGAAAAACAAUUGGCUCGCUGAGGCAUUCAGCCCUUAUUGCAGCCAAGAUUAUCAAGAGCAAAAGCACAUCGACUAAUAAAUAAGAUCUGGACGGUCCUAGACAUAUGGCAACUCUAUUUAUUGUUUUAUUAGUUCCUUUUACCACAUAAUAAAGAUUGCGAGGAGUCUAGGAGUACUAUAAACCUGACCAUAAGAGUCAAGAAGGUUGAUUUUAAAUGUAUCAGUAUACAAAUGAAGCUUAUUAAAAAUGAGAAUAACUUAUUUCUAUCUGCGAUCUUGUAAGGACAAUCAACGUUGCAUCAUUCUCUGCUUCAAAGGCAAUGAGAUCAAUUACUUUUCUGUAUGCAAAUUAAGGAAAGAUGACAGUUUGACAGGUACCAAACAUUCUAAAAUAGCAGAUAGUUGCAAUAAAUUGAAAAUCGCUAUAAUUCAAUGGCUAUAACAUAGAGCAACCAAGCAAUGCGCAUCAGCAAAGUUCUCAAUCACUUGCAUAUGAAGUUAAAUUCAAGUUUGUCUACAGAUGUAAUACAGAUGUAAUACAGAAUUUCCUUUACAAAAUCAAAUUCCCAGAAGAAUGGCAUUCAUACAUAACCACGUUCCUUUGCAGGGAAAGAACAAAAGAGGCAUAAAUUUCAAAAUUCUGAAAUGCUCAGGCACUUUGAAGAAACUUCAAGGUCUCAUCGAUGUGCUUUUCAGGCUGGAAUUGGUUAUUGUAAAUGAGUUGAACCACUCCAUUCUUGUCAAGAACAUAAGUUUGUCUACCAGGCAAUGUACCAAACAGGUCAGCUGGAACUCCCCAAUCUUUCCUGACCUUAUUACCCUCAUCGCUUAGAAGGGUAAAUGGAAGCCUGUAUUUCUUGGCAAAGGCCUAAUUGAGCAGAUACAGUUCUCAUAAAGACAAGAAAAUGGAUAUAUCCCCAAGCUUGUAUGACAAUAGGUCAACAAAUUCAAUGUUGAGAACAAAAACUCAUAACAGCAAUCUUGUGUAACGUCUAUGCAGGCAAUUUUAGAAAGUUUCGGACAUAACAAGAUGAAAUUGGAAAGAGAAUAGUGAAACACGCUAGUAGCAAACAAAGACAUGAAAAAAUUUGGAAUUUUCAUGACUUUUGAAGAUCUCCUAAAUGUGAUGCAUAAUAAUUUAAAUGAUAUAAUUUAAAUGAUCUUUAUCUGGUUAGAAUAGUUUCUUUCUGAGUAUAUUAGACAUUACCCUAUUUUUUCGAACAAAAAAUAAGGUUCACAACCAACUGGAAACGUCUUUGAUACCUUGUGUGAUGACGGGUCAUCUCCACUAAUUCCUAUAACCUCAGCUCCUGCUUUCUUGAAUUUUUCAUACGAGUCUCUGAAGGCACAGGCCUGCAGCAGCAUGAGCAAAAUAUAGUUUAAGAGUCAUGGUUAAUCUUGUAUGGCCAAUCUAACUAUUUUUAUGGCAACUUAUGCGCCCCAAGGCAUCCCUCCUGUUUACAGAUCUGUACAACUUGGAAGUUUCAACAGAGAAGGGAAAAGAACAUCUCAACAAGGAAUAGAUGCUCUUCUAAGUCCCGAGCAAAUUCAUUAGUUUUGUUUCAGGCCUCCAGUGGAUUAAUAUCUGACCAGAAUGGGCAAUUACACAAGGAUUGUACCAAACUAUGACGGCGCUACUAGGGUAACUUCAUUAACUUCAUGGUAAUUGUUAGGUCUGCCACAUUUCGGAACAAGUACACCUCUCAUUCGUCUAAUGCACAUCUCCAAUUUCCAAUUAGGCAUGAAACGUUGAGCAGCUUCAAAAGGAGAAAAACCAAAACAAAACUAGGUAUCAUCACAAGAAUAUCCUAAUUAUCCUAAUGGCAUGUCUUUGUUCCUAACAACUAAUCAAACUUAGUACUGGAAAAAUGUUAAAAAUAAUUUGCAGCAAUGUCAAAUAGCUGACAUUAAGUGUGGAGAAUCUUCAAUUCUAAUACAAGCGAUACUCGGCUUAAAAUUGAAAAUUGUACUAAAACUUUCAACAACGUAAUUCGCGUAGCUCAAUUGUGCAAUCAGUAAAAAAUUGAUGCACGAAUAUUUCUCGUAAGAAAUGAUAAUGUGUAUUAUUACCUGCUUAGUGCAACCAGGGGUCUCAUCAGCAGGGUAGAAAUAAACAACGACAGGCUUUCCCUUGAACUUGGAUAAGCUCACAGUCUUACCGUCUUGAUCUUUCAAUGAAAAUGAUGGAGCCACUGACCCCUUUGACACCUUUAAGAAAGUUAAAGCAGUAGCAAUUACAAAUUAUCCCACAUUUAAAAAAAAAUGCAGCAAUGAGAUACGGAAAGUGUAAUGUACCUUAGCAAGAAUGGAGCUUUUCUUAAAAGAAGAAGGGACUGCAAAAUUGGAUGAAUGGGAGAGCUUGACCCCACAAAACUGGGACUGGAAUGAUUUGGGAAGAUUAGGAAGCUUUUGAGACAAAAGGGUUUUAGGCGUUUGAGCAUGUAGUAAAGAAGGAAGACUGUGUUUCGCAGUUGGUAGGGGGAUUGAAGCCAUCUCUCCAAAAUGGAACUAUCGGGAAAAGGGAUUAAUUUGGUUUCGUGAUUAAACUCAAAAUGCAAGAGUCGCUUUUGUUUUGAGAAAGCCGAACAGAUAAGGGGGAAGUGAUUGAGAACUGGAACCUAUGGCAGUUGAUAAUGUGCUUUGGCUGCUGAGUGGGUUGGUUUUUUGCGUGGAGGAUUGCUGACCUCAACGUACGAUCAACAAUACAGUCGAAACCAGCAAACCAGGACGGCAUCUAGUUUUGGGUUAAUUUCAUUUUGGUCCUCUGAAAUGGUCUAAAACCUUAAUUUGAUCUCUCAAAUUGAGAAAUGUCUCAAUUUAUAAUCGCGGAAGCUUCGUUAAAUCUAAGAGUUCAAUUUUCUUUUAGGACAGCUUUUCCAAUUUCGAAGACCAAAGCAUAAAAUUUAAGUUACUCAAGGUUUUUGCAUUUUAGACAAAAAUUCUUUGAUUAGCAAGAAAACGCAAAGUAAAAAAAAAAUUUUUGAACAAAGAGUUUACAUGUUGUUCAGAAAAAAAUGGAAAAAAAAAUACAAGGAAUGAGAAUAUUUUCUUCUAAUUGUUCCUUUACAACUACUACAUAUGUGAGAAAGAGAGCGAAGAGAUCCGAUUCAAUGAUUUUAAAGUUUUUAAUUAAUUUAAUAGUAAAUUACUUGGAUAAAAUUAAUAUAUGAAAAAAGAAAAUAAACAUUUAAAGAAAAACGAUCGAUUUUGACCAUUUCGACCGGUUCUUGAUUGAAUUUGACCAAUUUCAUUUGACUUUUUGGGUUAAAUAUAGAAUCGAACUGUAGUUAUAUCCGGUUCACGAUUUAAUUGCAGUUCAGGCAGAAAAUGAUACAGUAGAUCUUUCUAUGACGACUAUUUGCAAGAAACUGGCUAUUUCACGUUUGAGAAGCAAAACAUGUAGGCGUUACCGUUGCAAGGUACCAAUAACUCCGGAGUUAAGGACAGACCGUUAAAACUACGAGGUAGGAGUUUGCUGACAACUUCAGCCUCCCACGUCCCAUAAAUUCUUUGCUCUCAUCUUUCGUUUGCACUCUUUUUCGAGAAUUAAUCCCUAAUGGUUCUAAAUUUCAUCACAAGAAAAUAUUGAUUGGGAUAAAAGAAUAAUAGCCAAUAAUAGAGAAAUUCAAGACUAACAAUCCUGCUGAAAACAUCCGAAAUGGUGAGCAUCACGCGAGAGAGCAAAUUGGAAAACAUCUUCUUGUAAUAUGUGGAAAUUGUUGGGAUAUCAAGUGUGAAUCAAUAUCCCACAUCGGAAAGAGAUGAGUAGAAUGAGGAACAUACAAGUGGGAAUAAUCCAUAGACCUAAUGCCUUAAGGUUUUGGGUUGGAUGUGGUGUCAUACCCAUGGUUGUGGUUCCUAUUCUCGCUCAUGGUUAAAUUCUCCCAAAGUUUGGCUCUUUCAGAGCCCAACAAGUGGCAUUAGAGCCGAUGGUUCGGUUGGGCAUUGACUCCAGGAUAAAAAGUCAAUGGGAGUGAUAAGGCGUGGUUUGGAUAAGAGCGGGGAAAAAAAAAGAAUCAUGUAGACCUGCAGUGAGGCAAGGGCAUGUGGGCUCUUGAGCAAGAAUCAUACACUCCAGAUUGAAGUGGGCUUGAUGGAGUGGAUGGACUAGGGAGAGAGGUCCGAUGUGGAAGAGAUUCAUAAUUGAGGGGGAGAUUGUUGGGAUAUCAAGUGUGAAUCAAUAUCCCACAUCGGAAAGAGAUGAGUAGAAUGAGGAACAUAUAAGUGGCAAUGAUCCAUAGACCCAAUAUCUUAAGGUUUUGGGUUGGAUAUGGUGUCAAACCCAUGGUUGUGAUUCCCAUUCUAACUCAUGGUUAAAUUCUCCCAGAGUUUGGCUCUCGCAGAGCCCAACAGAAAUCCCUUACACGGACUACCCAUGAUGUCAAUGAUUACAUGCGAACACUUUGAGUUCACCAACCAAAUCUCUAUAUAUAUAUAUGUGUGUGUGUGUGUUAUGUAAUUCAAAUUUGACGACCUCCAGCACAAAGUCUCUAAGACAAAAAAAAAAAAAUAAUAGACAAGACGGAAGGUAAAAGUGCUCCCGUUGUCCCCAACCAUCAUCCCCUGCCUACAAAAAAAAAAAAAAAAAAAGAGAAAAAUGGGCCAAAAAAAGAAGAAAAUAAAAGAAGGAAAAAAAGAAACAACAAAGGAAAUGGCUGGUGCCGAGCUAAAUGUAGGGUGUCAAUUGGGUUUUGGAUUUUGGACUCAAAUCAAAAUGCUCAAAUUCAGCCACACUAUUAUAUGAAUUUUGGGUUCAAAUCGAUCUUGGCCAUACUUAUAAUUAAAUACAUAUUUAUAUGUAAUAUAUAUUUUAUAAUUAUGAAUUACUAUAAAUGUAUAUAUAAAUUAUUAAAAUUUUGCGUCAUAAUAUAUAUAAUUGUAAAUUAUAGAUAUUAUUAUAUAUUGUAUAUAUAAUUAUAUUCAUAUAUAGGUUGGGUCUUAAUUGGGUCGGAGCUCGAUAUGAUCCAAUUUUGGCUCACAUUUAAUUGAGACUGGUCUAAAUUCUGCUCGAUCUAAUUCAAAUUUAGGUUCAAUAAACUUGUUUUGGAUCAAACGAAUUGGAUUUAGACUGAUCCAACUGCAUUAAUAACUUUAAUUGAAUGUAUUCAAAGCAAGGCGGGGUUGACCUCCUCAUUCAAAUUCCAUUUUUUUUUUCUUAAUGUCUUUCGUAACUCCAUCAAACUUCCCCCCACCACUCUCUCCCCCCUCCCAAAAAAAAAAAAAAAAAAAAAACCUAAGACCUGCAGAGAGAGGUCUCUAAGCGUGAGGGACACAAAAACUCAUUUAAAAGAAUGUAAGGGGGUACUGUGCAAUCCCCCCCCCGCCCCCCCAACCCCAAACAAAAAAAAAAUCCUGACCGGAAAACCCUAUAACCCAAGUCCCGCCACAAUGGGAAGAAGCGAACGAAAUUGAGAAAGAACUUGGCAGAUAGUUGACCAAAAUCGGGAUGGAGGGGUUCCAGAAAUCUGUUCGUACCGCCAUGUCUCAAUCAAAAGACAGCUCAGACGACCUCGCCACCGCUCUUUCUUCCACCUUCGAGAAAGCUAAAGCCUCCUUCAACAACUUCUCUGCUGCUGCCACUACUGCCACUCCGUCCAAUUCCAUCCUAGCUGAUCCCCCUCAGCUCUUGCUCACCAGACAGUCCGGGUACGCCAAUUACCCUCGAACCCUUCUUUCUUUUUUCCAUUUUCCAUUCAUUUUCUGAUUUUUUUAAUUAUAAUGUCAUGUAUUGUUUUCGCCACCAGUCUCUUACCUCGCUAGAAGCAAAUUUAUAUCCAAAUCCAAACGAUUAAGAGAUAUAACGAUUAUAACAUAUUUUCACCGAGCGAUAACCCAUUUAUUAGUAAGAUACACAAUAGCAAUCUAAAGCAUAAAAGCCAACGCAUUUGCGUUUCAAAUAAUUUUUGUAUGACAAACAAUACUCUAGACCGUUUUUGAGAAGUACAUUUGGAUUUGGGUCCUUUUUCUGCGAAAUGAUUUUUUCUGAUAAGUUAUUCAAUUACCUUUUUAUGCGUCACAGGCAUGUUUAUCUAAAAAUUACUGCAUUAAUAGUUUCUUAGAAACUCUGUACAAGAUAUUGUGCAUGCAACUUACCCUUUCGGAUGCCUAUAUGAUAUAGGGGAUUUUCCACAAGUGAUGUAUGUUAUACUGUUAUGUUGGGUCUAAUUUAGAAUGCUUCGGGGGCUAUUUGCAGAUUGUUGCAUUUCUACAUAAUAGAUGAAGACGGUCUCCUGGGAUUCAAUUGUCCACUUCUUUACUUGCAUUGGUCGACCAUUACCUCCAACUACUGAUUAGUAUUUCGUGUCAUGCACUCCAUUCCUCUGUCUAGUGCAAGAGAAGUGGGCAUGGUUGUGGGUGUGGGUUUUGUGGGGAAAAUGCCAUGGAUUUAGUAGUGCUCUUAGGGGUUUUUGACUUUGAUGCUGUUAUUAGCCAGUGUUCAGGUCAAAGAAACUCAUCCACCCUGAAUACAUGUGAUGAUGUGUUUGUCUAAUGAAAUCAAGUGCCAAUUAAAAGUCUUUCCCACAGAAAUCUCUAAUUAAAGAUAAGAUGCGCAUCUUAUAUGACUAUGUGACUGUCAAACCUUUAUAAUUUUAUUGAUUUUUUUUCAUUCAUGAUUAGUUUUUGACGGAGCUCUUUCGACCUGCUUAUCUCUUGAUGCAGAAAGGUAGUGUCACUGUUGACUUGCUCAAAGCUUUGUGCCGUUUUCUUUGUUGCUGGAGUAUUUGUUGGCUACACCCUCAAGCGGCGUGUCCGGCGCUGGGCAUCCAAACUUCUUAGGGGGUUGAAAGAUGAAUGAAUCCAUAGUGCAUAAUGACAAGAAUUUUGAGCUUACCAUUGCUACAUAUGGCACAAGAUUGUAGUUACUAACAAAGGGCAAUUGAGGUACAAGAAGUUUUGCAUAUUCCACAAAGAAUGAAGCUGUUGGGGCUAUUGGAUUUUCUCCCUUGAUAGAAGUUACAUGUUUACUUUUACAUACCUUUGCCCAUGCUCUGUUACUAAUAUGAGUUGGCCGUACAAAAUUCCAAGUGACUCAAGAGUCUGUUUUUCUGUACUUCUAUAUAUUAAAAAAUUUUCACAUAAUGGUUCAUUUAUUCUGCAGACCUCAGCGUGCUCAACUUUGUAAUAUUUCGUCUUCCAAUGCUUUAUCAACUCUUUUGUUUAAAUAGUAGCUUUGUACCUUUGUUAUCACAUAAGGUGUAGUGCUUUAUAAACAUGUGAAGAGGAUUUUGCCAGAUAUCAUCUUUAAAUUGAUCCUGCAGCCUUCUUGUUUAAGCAAGGGUUUUUGGAGUACAUGAAAAAAGAAAUUAAGGAGGAGAAGGGAAUGAAAACCUGCUCCACAUUAAUUUUAAGCACUUGCUGUGGAGGCAACUCAGGAUCCCAUCUUAGGUGAGUUCCUGUCAAUUUCUUAUUUUGUAAGUUGAUGAUGUUUGUCUGACCAGGUGAAAAUUACUUCUCUAUCAAAAAUCUAUUUCCUCUUCUUGUAUUUGUAAAUGAAAGAGGAGAUUAUCUCUGAAAUAUGGCUUGUCAGAUAGCAAUUGAUAUCAAGAGAUAUGCCAUCCAUUAUUCAAGUACACAGAAGCAUCAAAAUUUUCUUCUUCCUUCUGGAAACUCUAAGAAAAUUUGACUACUCUAACUGUAUGCUGUGUAUUUACAUUUUUCCAUGUAAUUUGUAUAAUACUCCGUCUUGUUUAAUUUGUAUAAUUACAGAAAGGGUAAAACUUCUUCAUGUGCUUGACUGAACUUUCUCUGCUUCAAAAAUACUCCUUGUGGAACUCAAACCGUGUCGAUGUCUUGUAAGUUAACUCAUGUGAUAGAUUUUUCAGCUCCUUGGCCAGGACAGGCAUCCCACAGUAGAACACUCCUGCAAAGUGAUACGGCCUUUUUCUUCAGCAAAUAUGAUAUGCUUACUUCAUAAUAUUAGUUGCAAAAAACCUCUCAUGGUAUGUCCAUAAAUAAUCUUUCAAUCCCAUCUUGCUCUUAAAUGAGGAAGUAUAUCUGGCAUUUUAGGUUUACCACCUAGUAUAGGUUAUUGUAUGCAGCUGGUGGUUGAAUUAUAUAGGACUAACUUCAAGAAACACAUGGUGUGUUCCUAGAUCUCUAUAAAUUUGUUUAAAAACAAUAAUAGAUAUUCCAACAUUCGUAAACUUUUCUUUAGGAUUAAAUGUUAUCUCUUUCAGUCAUUGCUCUAAGUUCCUGGUUUUUGGAAAUAUUUUGAGGAUAUUAUCUGGUUAUUGUUGCAAUGACCUACUGAAGUGUAGCUUAGCCAUUUGAUGGUAUUGAAAGGGAACGACUGUUUUUGUCAACCUAUGAUCCUGAUCAGCAUGCAGCUUGUAAAUGAUGACAGAAUGCAUAUAAGUUGUUAGUUCUGGAUUUCUUAGUUUCUUUACCUACUGUAGAAUAUGGAUGCUUCAUGGCUAUUCUUUUGAACACUUCUCUCCAAUUUGGUCGUGCAAAAUGUGUCCUUACCUGCAAAAAUUUUGGAACAAAUUUCUUCAGUUUUGGAACUAAAUUGUGUUAAACACUGAUGUGCCUUCUACCGUAACUAGAUGCUAUUGCUUGAAAAGACCUUGGUUACAUUAGGUUGCUUAUGUAAUACUAGUAUAGUAUCUGUGUCGUACUUUGGUGCCAGAGAGGAUGUCCACCCCAUGUUUGGCAUGGUUAAGUGCUUGGAUCAUGGUGAUGAGAGUUGACCUCGCGUCACCCUCUUCAUAAACACUGGUAAGAUAAUUAUGCAUCUCAAUCUGUCCCUGUUUCAGCAUAAGAGUCAGCAAGUCUAUCAGGAUUUUAAUUAUAAUAUGUGAAAUUAUAACUGCAUUCACAGAUUUCCUUUUAGAAUUAGAUCUGCUUUACUUUAUGAUCCAUCUCUGCAACUUCAUGCAUUACUCCUUUAAACCACUCGAAGGAUCCAGGCUCCCUUGUAACCCAAUAGAAGUGUGCACUUUUAGCUCUCUGUGGUUUCUUCUUUGCGCUUGAUGUUGUGCUGGAAGAGCCAAUACUAGUCAUACUCUCAUCUGAAGUGCUGGUUUCUGUUGUUGAAUCCUAUCCAGAGUGAGAGAAUAGAUACCAUAAGUUUUAGGAAUUUAUCAUCAUUGGUUAGAGAGAGAGAGAGAGCUCUGCAGGUUCAUCUGUACCCCAUGAUCUUCCGUUUUUGUGUUGUUGAGUAGAUCCCUGAGAAUACUUAUAAAAGGUGUGGCUCCAAUUCCUAAUCCAACCAAAAGUAACACAUCAUAGUUCUGGUAAUCCUGUGCUGGAGCGCCAUAUGGUCCGUCAACAAGCAGUCGUGGUAAACUGUAUCAACAAUUCAUGUUAUAUCAACCUUCCCAUAGUUAAUUAUAAUGAAAAUGGACUUUGAUUCUGUUAUUCGCUUCAGGUAAGUUACCCAUUUUUGUCUAUAUUCCCUAGUUCUCCAAACUUGGCUCGACCAAUGGCUGUUGAUGAAGCAUUAACGUCUGUAAACACUCGCUUUAGUUCUAGCGUCCAGUCUCCAACCGUACGAAUAUGAAGGCUGAGGUUGUCAUCCCCAGGAGCUGAAGUUAUUGAAAAUGGAUGCCUGGACAAAUGUCAAUGUACAUGCUUAAUGCUUUGAGUGGUCGUACACAUUCCUCUAAGAAAGAAUGCACAAACUUACCAUUCAAAUGGGGAGAUUGUUGGGCACUUCAAGAAUAUAUACUGCCCGCUUUUGUAUUUGAAUCCAUUGGGUUUUGAAAUGAUCAAGCUGAAAACAUCUCCGGGGAGCACAGAAACCUGUAAAUGCCAAGGUCACCUUAACAGCAGCAGCUUGGAUGAGAAGGAAAUUCUCAGGUAGAUUUGUAGCCACCCAAGUGACCAAAUCAUCAUCAGCAAUGUGGUGCAUGCUGAUGUAAUACAAGGUAGGAUUUGGGGACUUGGGUAGGCGUGUGUGGGUCCACCCAAGAAUUUGACAGAAAGGAAAACUACUACUGUUGUCCGAGAGAGUUACCUUCAGGAUUUUAACUGCAUAAUGUCCUGACCGACACGUUCUCAGGCUUCUUUCUGCUACAUAGAGCAAGAGGGGAACAGAAAUGUACAUCCAUGUCUGCGACAUUUUAGAAUUCAUUAUGCAAUUAAAAUUUUGAAUUGACACGAUGAGUUUUUCAAAGUCCAUUCGCGUGUUGAAUGUUCUCACCGAUUUCUGGUACCAUUUGUGGACGAGGAACAGGAAGGAUCCGUGUAUCAGAAACAAUAUGUAGACCAGAGCUAGAAGAUGAUGAGAAUACCAGAAUGCAUUGAAUCCCGUCAAUCUGUUAAAUGGAAAUGGCAGCUUCACCACAUUCUUCCGGAAGAGUCGCGUGGCUAGGGUGAAUGCUAUUGUCAUCAAAAUCACCAUGCCGAUUCCAGACAACCCUACCACUCCGGUCAAAAGGCUUUUGUAGGUGGGUUUUACGUUAUUGAAAUCUGCAGCUAUAACUGCAAACUUUUCGGGGGGUGAGUUAACAAGGCGGGGGAAAUCACAAACCAUGUGGUUCCCUGCAUGGAUCACGACUCCAAUAGCUAUGGCGCCCGCUAUUAUCUGCAGAUUAAAAAUAAUGUAGUUGAGAAAAAAAAAAAAAAAUCGUUCUCUGCAUCUUUUCAACUGUUACAUUAGAAUUUACGGUUGCGCAUGCAUGAACUUAUCCAUCACAAAAAGACUCUGGACUCGAGCACAAAUUUAGCGGAAGAGUAUUUAUGUCUCACCUGAUGGAAAUUAAGGUUGUCAUCGAAGGGAAUGAAUAGCCUUGCUCUUGUAGAUCUAAGCCAGGUCAAGAUAUUGCGACACACCGGCAAGAGAAUGAGAGCCAUGUUGAGCUUCAGAGUCUCUGCAGCCCCUUUGGCAGUUGUCAAGCAGUAACCCAUUACUUGAAAUGCUGCCUUUCGCCUGUACUGCAAGAACUUCCAUGUAAACAGUCCGGCCAUGGCCAUCAGCCACAGCAGCAAGAUCCAACCCCUUUGCCAGUUCUCCAGUAAGAGGCAUUUCAGCGCGCAUCUUAGCCUCCGCACAGCAUCUUUGGGCCGAAAGUUGCCUAAAUUCUGACUCCAUCCUACACUUGCUUGGCUCAGAGGCCUGCUGUAGUUCAUGUAUGCGUCCCUUUGUAGAAGCAGUGUUUCCAAUUGCCACAACUGAGCGACGAAAAAAAAACAAGGGGAAUUUUCUCCCUUCUAUGUCUUUCCAAACAAGAUUUCUUUGUCUAAACCUUUUGGACAUGCCUUCGGCCUUUAUUUGAUAGUUAUUCUUUCUUUCUUCUUUUUUUUUUUUUUGGGGUGCAAGUGCAAUAAAUAGAUAAAAUACGAGUUAAUGCGAACCGAAAUGAAAUUGUUAAGUGAAAAUUUUGAAUUUUGAGUUACUGUCAAAGGCAGCCAAGGACUGACAAAUGUAUAUAUUUUUUUCUGAGUUUGUAGCUUCAUUUUUUGCAAAAAAAUUGUAUGGCUUUGUAGUGGGCAACGAUGGCUAUGGACACGGAAGCACACUGUAAAAUUAACAAAAGAUUAGACAACUCAUGUCACUGGUGUUGUUAGAGACGGCCGGCCAAUUCAGCUGUCUUUUCAUUUAUCUUUAAGACUUUGGGGCUGAGGGCCAAGGUUUGUUUAUGUAUCGUCAUUUGGGAAAAAAACAAAAAAGAGAGAAAAAAUCUAGCUGAGCUGUUUAGCAUCAAGAUUGAUGAUGGAUCUUCUUCUUUCACUACUAUUUAAGUACGUGUACAUGUCGAAAUGGUUUAAACAGGGAUCUUGUUUGGACAAGACAAUUAGGGGAGGCAAUCCCGAUAAUUGAAAGGGUGAGAUACGAGAAACCCGACAAAAGAAUUAGAGGUAGCUGUUUAAUUUAAUUAAUACCUCAAUGUAACCGAGAUUUUCUGGGUCUAAUUCUUCCAUUAUUAAAUCAGCAUACUCUUCGGCACGUUCUUUCAAUGUGGACAACUUAUUCGCAGAAGCACUCAGCAUUAUUAGCUGUUUUUUUCCAAUAUAACCACCAAAAAAAAAAAAAAUCAGAUAGAGAUUAGGCUUAUCUUAUGCUUAUCCCAAGGUCAAACCAAAAAUUAAAAUAUAAAAAAAAAGUAAAAGAAAAAUGAGUUGCCUUGCCUGAGAGAUACAUAUUCCUACCAACUACUACUUGUGUCUGGUAUGCAUCUCUUUCCCUUGAUUCGGAACUUUCUUUGGGGUAUAUCGCUGCACAUAUCUCACUUCAAACUCUUUUUCCUUGCAGUAUCUAGUUGAUCUUGCUGGAAGUGAACGUGCUUCUCAAACAAAUGCAGAUGGUACAAGGUUCAAGGAAGGGAGCCAUAUUAAUAGAAGCCUGCUGACUUUGACAACUGUAAUUAGAAAGCUAAGGUAGCAGCUCAGGGAUAGGAAAUACUGGUAGUUUAGCCUUUUGAUUUGAAAGUUCUCUGUAUGAUCUUGUUGGUUAGCUGAUAAGAGUUUUUCAAACAUAUCAAGCUAUUUCUCUUGCUGAUAUGAUGAGUCUAGGCAUUCUUUUAUGCUGAUUUUAGAAUCAUAGAGCUAGAUAAGUACAAAGGCAACAAAUGAAUAUAAUCUUUAUUUUGCUAUGUGCAGUGGUGGCAAGAGGAUUGGUCACAUCCCAUACAGGGAUUCAAAACUCACAAGAAUAUUACAGUCUUCAGUUGGGGGAAAUGCACGAACAGCAAUAAUUUGUACAUGAGUCCUGCUCUGGGUCAUGUGGAGCAAUCACGGAAUACACUCUCCUUUGCGACAAGUGCAAAAGAAGUUACAAAUAAUGCACAUGUGAAUCUGGUAUGUUAGCAAAAAAUUUUGGUUUAAAUGAUUCACCACUGUGUUGCAUAUUAUGACGUUGUUUGUUUGUCAAAUAUGGUCAAAAGUUUGUAAAACUUCCACUAAAAGAAUGACUUGUUACUAAACAGAAUUUCAUGUUUAACCAAUUGCUUACAAAAGGAACAUUUUUCAAUUUUGACGAGGCAGUAUUAUCAAAAUUGUCCCAACUUCUUGUGGAAUCUAAUUCUACUCCGGAUGGAACCUUGAAUUUGAAUAACUGAUCACAUGGAUUUCACUGUGUAUUUCUAUCAUUUUUUCCAGCAGGAUCUAACCAUGCCAGCUCAAGUUUAUUUUGAUCAAUGAAAUGAAGUAGAAAUAAGUAGGUUCUUCUAUCUUCAAAAACUGAAUUCUUAUAACACGAACUGAAAGUGCAACUUCCAAUGAAAAUAUUAAAUAGAUAAAUGAACUUUCAGCUUUACCAUGUUAGAUAUCUAAUUGAGUGGGAAUAUUUACCCUAAGGACUGAGUUUGACUUAUUUACUUUGUUAAUUGACUCUUGAGUUUGGUUUGAUUGGCUGCAAAGGAAAUGCAGAUGGCCACACUCUUAUGAACUAAUAUAUUACACUAGAAAACUUGGGGAUGAAUUAGUUCAGUUGACAAACUGAAAUAUCUUGAAAAGUCACAGCUAUUCUGGUAUUAUGCCUUCUGUAUAUCAAUAUCAUUUCAUGGAUAUUCUCUUUCAUCUUUGCACUAUUCUAGUACACUAUUGGAUACUCUCUUCUGUAUAUCAAUACCUUUGUACUAUUCUCUUUCAUGGAUAUCAAUAUCCUUUCAUGGAUAUUCUUGUUCAUCUUUGCACUAUUCUAGUACACUAUUGGAAAGUUGGGGACGAUUAGUCCAUUUGCUAAACUGAAAUAUCUUGAAAAUUCACGGACCAUUCUAGCAUUAUGCCUUCUGUAAAUGAAGAUUCUUUCAUGCAUACUCUCUUUAUCUUGCUGAGUAGAAGGAUUGUUUGCACUGCUGGGAAGCGUGGCAUAUUUAUUUGGUUCAAGCACAAUGAGCCAUCAAUAUGAUAAAAGUCCUUAGUUUGAAAUUUAUUUCCACUUUUCUAGGUUGUUGCAGAAAAACAAUUAUUGAAGCAUUUGAAGAAGGAGGUGGCAAGACUUGAAGCAGAGCUCCGAAGUCCUGAACCAUGUGGCUCCUCGUCUUUAAGGUCCUUACUAAUUGAGAAGGAAAUGAAAAUCCAGCAGGUAGACUACAAAGAGCUCUUUGGGUAGAUGUUAAUGCUAAUGUGCAGUAAACCAAGACACUUUCAGAUGGUUUUUGGUCAAAUUAUUGUUUCACUUCUGUUUCUCAGAUUGAUUGCAUGACACCCAAUGUUAGUGGUGCAUUUAGGAAUGUGCUAUAUACAUACACUUGAAUGAAGGCACAAGUUUUAAUAGCAAAAGUUUUAAAUGCAGAUGGAGAUAGAAAUGAAUGAGCUGAAACGCCAAAGGGACAUUGCAGAAUCCCAGCUUGAAUUAGAAAGAAAAGCACACAAGGAACCAAAGGGAUCAAAUCAGCACGGUCCGUCUCGUCGUGUAGUUAAAUGUCUUUCUUAUACUUCUGAGAACGAGUCAGUUUCUGGAGGGCCUCUUCCAAAAAUCCAGCCCAGGAACUUAACUGGAAGGCAAUCACUGGUUAGACAGUCAGCUACUUCUUCAUCCAUGCUGGUGCAUGAGAUUCGAAAAAUUGAGAUGAGCCAGAGGCAGCUUGGUGAGGAAGCGAACCGUGCACUUGAUUUACUUCACAAGGAGGUUGCUUCUCACAGAAUUGGUAGUCAAGAUGCUAAUGAAGCUCUGGCAAAGCUGCUUGUAGAAAUUAAGGAGAUGCAGGCUAUCGGUUUAGUUCCCGAAACUAUUGAGAUUAAAGACAAAGGUAGCUUGAAAGAAGAGAUUGCCCGAUUGAACACUCAGGAGACUAAUAUUGCAUCUCUAGAAGAAAAGCUUGAGAAUGUUCAGAGAUCCCUAGAUAAAUUAGUGACGUGUUUUCCAAGUGGAAAGGGGACUCCUGAUUUGAGGACUUCAGCCAAAAAGAAAAAAGGUCUUCCAUUUACACUGAGCAAUUCACCUAACAUGCCAAACAUGAUAAGAUCUCCAUGCUCACCUGUGGAACCAGGGAUUGAAAAUAGAGCCCCAGAGGCUAACAAUCUUUCAUCUGGUAGUGAUGGCUUCUACCUUCGAGAGAGCACUCCUCGUAGAAAUCACGAAGCUAACAAUAUCUCAUCAGCAGAGACUACCCCUGCACCAAAGCAUUCAACCUCUGUUGGUGUGAAGAAAAUGGAAAAGAUGUUCAAGAAAGCGACUGAGGAGCACAUCCGGAGUAUACGAACUUACGUCACAGGGCUUAAAGAACGUGUCGCAAAGCUGCAAUACCAGAAACAGCUUCUGGUUUGCCAGGUAAGAUUUAUUAACUUCAGGCUGUUCUUCUUCUCUUUUGGUUAAAUGAGGUUCUUAUUUAUAUGAACUUAAGAGCGGCGGAAAAUGACUCAACUGGUAUGAGAACAUGUUGAACCAUUCAACUUCCCAUUUCUUGUUUAUACAUAAACAUGGAUAUAUUAGGAUAAAGCUGGUAAUGAUAAAAGUACUUGAGUUUGAAAUGGUCUGCCAUGAAAUUUUAUUGUAUCAUAAUGUUGUAUGGGCUUGAGAAAAAAGCAAGCCUUUAAUAGCUGCGGGCACGUGGUGUAUUUUGUUUUUCAGUUGUUCUUUGAACAAAUGUUUGGUACCAUUUUAAUAUCAUUGGCAGCAGCAUCUGCCAUAAGUAUUAGUAUCUGAGCUUUGGAAUCUGAAUCAUUUUUCUCCGCUCCCAGUCUCUUUCUUUUGGGUAUUGCAUUCUUCACUGAAUGAGUUUCUUAUCUUUCUAUGGUCACUUUUUACCAUAUUUGUAUUAGGUGUUAGAGCUGGAGGCAAAUGAAGCUGCAUCUGAUGGACCCGAUAAUAUUGAAGAAUCUAGCAUCUCAUGGCAAUCAAUGUUUGAAGAACGAAGGAAGCAAAUUGUCAUGUUGUGGCAUUUAUGCCAUGUGUCAAUCAUACACCGCACUCAAUUUUAUUUGCUGUUUAAAGGGGAUCCUUCAGAUCAGAUAUAUAUGGAAGUUGAACUUAGAAGGUUGACAUGGUUGGAGCAGCAUUUGGCAGAUCUUGGUAAUGCAAGUCCAGCACUUUUAGGUGAUGAUCCUGCAAGCUUUGUGUCAUCAAGGUAUGUUAGAAGCGUUUCAGAUUGACUACUAUACAUGCGGGCAUGCAAGUGGUGUAGUUUUAUACCUUUUCUAGUUGAUUUUUUCUUGUCUAAGUGCUCUAUUACUUGCUUUGAAAUGCAGCAUCAAGGCCCUUAAGCAAGAGAGGGAAUAUCUAGCAAAGAGGGUGAGUACAAAGCUGACUCCAGAAGAAAGGGAAAUGCUAUACUUGAAAUGGAACAUCCCACCAGAAGGGAAAGGCAAAACAAAGAGGAGGCUGCAACUUGUAAAUAAACUGUGGAUGGACCCUCUGAAUAUGCAACAUAUAAAGGAAAGUGCUGAAAUUGUUGCAAAACUCGUGGGGUUCUGCGAAACUGGUGAGCAUGUCUCCAAGGAGAUGUUUGAGCUCAAUUUUGUCUCCCCUUGUGACAAAAAGACUUGGAUCGGUUGGAACUUGAUAUCCAAUCUCUUGCACUUGUAAUCACCAACCUGUUAUUAGUGCUUCGAAUUCCACUCAAGUUUCUGAGAUCAUAGCUCUGACCAACCGUUUGUAUAGAAUGUCUGCCUGUCUAUCUGUCUGUAUGGUCUUAACUCCAGCUUUUGUAGCGGUAACAGUUCAAAAUAGAUGAAUGAAGAAAGCCCGUUUCCAGAACAGAAACGAGUGCUUGAAAAAUGCCCGUUUUUCUUCUUUUCUUGGGCUCAAGUGUCUGUUUUUUGUGGAAUGAUCAUCACAUAGUUGAGCCUUCAAGUGACUUUACUCCCAAGUACGGGAUAGCUCCAGAUGUUGUUUGGACUCUGGACUAAAGAGUUCCUUGACAGCGCAAAGGCGUGAAGAUGAUGUGCUGCUUUGCCUGGUUAAACCAGUAAAAAAAACCAUGACCUGAAAAGAGGCGCAUCUCCUUUCAAAUGAGGGACAAUAAUGUCUACUGGAAUAAAAAAGGGGGAAGAAAAAAAAAAUAUAUAUAUAUAUAUAGUUGUCCCACUCAUAAAAAAUGUGAGCUAUAAGACAUGGUUAAACAAUUAAGAUUCAAAAACUCGUUUGAAGGUGUCAUUUGUUCAUAAACUUGGAAUGUGUGUAAUUAUAAAAUUAGAUGUUUAAUCGAUUAAUCAAUUAUUGAUCAUACAACUCACUGAUAAAGGGUAAACCAAAACUAAUCUUAUCUAUAAUAAUUUACUACUAAUCUUUUUUCAGUACUGGAAUAUAUUCAAUAUUCAUCCUCCUUUUUUUUUGUUUGUUUUGUAGAGAAAAAGAAAGUAAAAAAAAAAAGAAAAGAAGAAGAGAGACGCAGUAUAUAUUGGAAAAAAGUGAAGGGCAAAUGAGUCUUUUCAGCAAGUUAAAUAUGUCCCCAGUGUUAUGUUAUCAGCAGCUGCCCUAAAACCUCUUGAACGCUACCCGCAGUGCAAACUUCGGACGUAAGAUUACCUGCUGAACUACGUCGUAUUAUACACCUCCUCCGACCAUCUUGAUAUUUCAUGGGAAGAGAAAUUAGCAGCGGCGGACAAAAAUCCUCCUCUUCGUCGUCGGCGGGGAUGUCGUACACGGUGGAGCAGCUCGUCGCCGUCAAUCCUUACAACCCUGACAUUCUCCCCGAUCUCGAAAACUUCGUCAAUGAGCAGGUUCUCCUUUUUUUCUUUUGUUUUCUGAUGAUGAUGAAUAAGGGAAAAAAAUUCUUAUCUUUAUUUAAUCCAAUAACUAAGGUUUAUUUUGAAUGUUGAAACUAUAAAAACAUGUAUUUUUAGGUAUCUUCCCAAACGUACAACUUGGAUGCUAACCUCUGCCUUCUCCGCCUCUAUCAGGUUAGCCUACCGCUGCAAUUGGUCUUUAAUAUUUGAUUUUUAUAUUGUAAUAAUGCUGAAGUGAUUUUAGAAUCAUGAAAAAUGAACUACUUUUAAUGUUAUUAAAAACGGUUUCUUUUUUGCGGAUUUUGUAGUUUGAGCCGGAGCGAAUGAGUACUCAGAUUGUUGCUCGCAUUUUGGUUAAGGUAAAAAAAAGUUAGAAAACUAUUAACCUUUUGUUUUAUUUCAAAUUUCAUAGUUUUGGUCAACUAAUCAUUUAUCUAAUAUCGUUGAACUUUGUAAUAAUGAACAGGCACUUAUGGCAAUGCCGGCUCCUGAUUUCAGCCUUUGUCUCUUCUUAAUUCCUGAGCGAGUGGUACCUUUUGAUAGACUUUAUCUUUUUUUUUUUUUUGGCACGUUCUUUUUCUUUUUGCAACUUUGUCGAGUUGGGAAAGAGAAUAUGGAAGCUGUUGUAAACAAUGUUAAUGUUGGUUUCUUUUAUUCUUUGGGUUUAUGAAAGUAGUCAUUCUCUUAUUGCUGUAUGAAGGAAUUGUGUUGAUUGAAGAAGGUCACGUGUCAAAAGUAAUCGGGAAAAGUUGAAGCUUUACAAUUAUGAGAAAGUCUUCCAAUUAAAUUUUAUUUCUGGUGUAUUUGCUUUUUUUGUUGUUCCAGCUAAAUAUUUGGUUUACAAGUUACUUUCAAGUCGGUUCUAGUUCUUCCUUUUGUGAGAUCUAGUGAGGCAAGUUAUCUCUAGCUCGUUUGUUCCAGUUCUCUUUGCUGUUAAUUUGCUCUGUAAUCUUUUAUUGUUGUAUUAUUCCAUUGAUACCUGGGUUGUCUACUUAUCAUGUGCAGCCAAGGCAUUUCCCAUCAUGUACAGGGAUUGUCCACUUAUUCAAAGUUCUAGUUGAAACUUGUUUCAAAAAUGGUUCAGUGAACAAUGAGAAAAUCGACUAGUAAGAAACAAAAAGAAUUAUAUCAGUGUUAAGGCCCUUAAACAUAAGAAGAUGCUUCAAUAAUUGUAAAGUUAGGAUGGUAGCAUCUUAUGUUGCUCCUCGUUUUGAAGUGGGACGGUUAGUCUUGAUGAUUGAAAUGAGAAGCUUUUGCUUGUAUCUCUGCGUGGUUGGAUGGAUGGUCCUGGGGUAUAUGUUGGGGUUAAGUGGGAGGGAAGGGGUUUAGGCUGAGUGGCUCCGUGCAGAUGAGUUUAAUUGGGACUUUCUUGCUUAACAAUGCAAACUAAUUUGGCUUCUAGGUGGACAAUUUCCACUUGAAACUGCUAGGUGCCAAUUUCGUGGGGAGGUUAGAAAAUCUCUAUUACGUGAUCUUGGCUUGGUAUGCUAGUAGCUAAGAUUGUUAUAUAAAUCUCCUGUAGCUGGCAGGCUUUGAACAGCCCUUUUAUUUAGGAAAUCGUGGCAUACGCCUUUUGCAGCACAUUUGUGGUCAAACUUUGUUGAAGAAAUUAGUAAUUGAAUAAAAUACUUGUCAUCGGAAUUAUUUCAGGCUCUUUAUGCAGGAGUCUAAACUAUGCAUGAGGUGGUUGCUGUUCUGGAAAUAGACUAUCUUUUUCUAAACAGUUUUAUUUGAUCAUCAACUCAUCUCAUCUGAAUUGGCAGCAAAUGGAGGAACAGUUCAAGACGUUAAUUGUGCUUUCGCACUAUUUGGAGGUACACUUUUACCUCAGACCCUGGCAUAUAUUUUUUAUUAAACAGAUUAUAGAUCAGAAUUUUGAUUCAUAUUCUGCUGCAGACUGCAAGAUUCCGUCAGUUCUGGGAUGAAGCUGCUAAGAGUCGGCAUUUGUUAGAAGUUGUGCCAGGUAUGUCAUAAUGUCUAUGUAAGUUGUAGCAUGUAAGUCUAUGGUUGGUGGUUUCAUUUAAUGAGUAUGCAAAGCAGUACAUGGUUACGAGUCUCAAACUGCUGGAAUCAUCUUAAUAAUCUGUCUUGCUGUUUUUCACAUUCUGUAUUCUGUUGCCUCUUCCCCAGCUUGCUUCUGGCUCUUAUAUUUUACUUCUGCAAUGUAAGCUUUUGGUUGUCUGUAUACUCCUGUUAAUGAGGACGCAACUGCAGGUUUUGAACAAGCAAUUCAAGCAUAUGCAAUUCAUGUCCUCUCCUUGACUUACCAAAAAGUUCCAAGGUCUGUCCUUGCUGAGGUAUGGUUCGCUUCUGAAAAUUGCUUUAUGAAUUUUCCAGUUGUUCUUUUAUUUCAGUAAUGUGACUGCAGAUUUUUGCAAGUUUUUCUUUGUAGAUGUUACACCAAAAAGAAUUACCUAGCUUAUGGCAUCUGGUGCUUAGAUAUUCCCUGAUCCCUGUUAAAGUUUGUCUUGGAUUCAAAUUCCACCACAUGCAUUAUUGCUUUUGCAUCGGUGGUAGAUUUGGUGUUUAAUCUUGUGUUUUAAAACUUCACUUGUUGUUUCGCAAUUCUGCUCUCUCUCUCUCUCUCUCUCUCUCUCUCUCUCAUGGACAUACAUUUCAUGCUUACACCAUAUGAAACGUUUUAUUUGAGUUUAAUCAUAAAAUACUCGUCUGUACUUUUGCCUUGGUAUCAUACAGGCCAUCAACAUAGAAGGUCUGUCUUUGACAAGUUUGUUGAGCACCAUACAGCAAACUCUGGUUGGGUUGUAGAGAAGGGCCAUGUUAAGAGCCCACUCAUUACACUUCCAAGCAAUGAGUUCAACCGUCCAGAGCUUAAGAAAAAUACUGCAGACGGUGUACCAUUCGAGCAUGUCGCCCGUAUCUUCCCCAUUCUUGGCUAAGUAUUACAGUUCAAUGGGAAGGAAAAUAUCUCAAAAAUGUUGUUUGUUCUAACGGAAUUCUGGUGAUUAAGAUGAAAUGAGUUGUAAAAACAGUUUUGCCCUAUAUUUUAGAUGCUUGAAUUCUUCUUUUGGAGAAAUUUUUAGUUGUUGCCACAUUUCAAACAUUGGUUAAUAAUCUUUAGGGUCUCUUUUUUAUAUUAGGUUUGACAUGUUUGCACUGAUAGAAUCUUAAAAUCCAGGACGACAUAGGCACGGCACCCCCAUUACAGAAUUAUACUUUCUAAUGUUCAAUUAUACUCUCUUGUUUUAAGUUCGAAUUACCCAUCGAUCACACUCUAUCCGAUAAUCUGAAUAGCUUAAAAGAAGAGAAUUAAUUUUUAUCAAACUAAAAUCAAUACAUUAUGUUAAAUCAUCACACUAUGUUGAAUUUUAAACUUAGAUAUAGUCAUAGAGAAAUUUAACAUGUUAUGAAGGAUAAAUUUAAUAAUUUUCCAAAAGAAGAUUUAAACAACUACCUCACAAUUUCCCAACAAACAGUUUUACAUAAAAUAUGGCAAAUAACAAUCUACAAGGCAAACAUGCAUGCCAACUAAAUACAAACUAAACUCACAAAUGUCUAAUUUUUUCUUACCCACUGCCAUCUUUAUUGAUAAAAGAUUGAUGCUAGUCUACCACACAGUACUCCUUGGGGUGUUCUCAGUUGUAAGUCAGCUGUGGAUCGCAAUCCAUAGCAUCGAGAAGCCUACAAGGUCAAUCCUUCACACUUUUGAUGGGGAUACAUUUCAACCCAGGCAGCCAAGGAGGCCGACUGAUCUGGCAACCCAAGCAAGUCGCUGAAAAGAAUUGAGCAGAAAGAGUCGCAUAGUGCCAUCCAAUAGAAUAUUGUUUUCGCUGGUUUAACGCUAGAAUGGUACCAAUCAUAACUAAAUUCUUCAGAUGCCUAUCAAACACACAUACGAGAAACAAAACCUUCACACAGACUAAGAAUGCCUACCUUUAGCAGUGUUUGGCCAAAAAGAUUUACCAUUAUUUUUUUGCCCGUCUUGAAAUUUCUUCACCUUGGCUGAUCUUUUCUUAUGCUCCUUCGGAACCGAAGUAAAAUUUUAAGUCGAAACCACAAAAUCAAAACAUAAACUGUCCUACCAAAAGUUUAUUUAAGAGCUUAUUCGCACGAUAAAUUUUGAUAGAUUCAAAAAUAAAUGGACAAAACAAAUCAAUGGCCUAAAACUGCAAGAGACAGGAGCUCCAAUGAGUUGGAUCAUAUUUACACCACUGCAACUAAGAACCGGAGGAUUAGUUGUUGAAGAAAAUAACUACAACGAAGUUGAUGAGAAAGAGCUCCAAAAGAAUCUUUAAAAUUGUUGAUGGCUAUUUACUCGGUGUACGCUAAUGUAUCAGGCUCCGACCGAAGUUUAGACGAUCGAAUUCAUUCUGCAAAUCAGACGCAUGGGCAGAGAGGAAUAAUUUCCAGAAGCUCGUCAAACAAAAGAAUGCAGGCACAACAGCUCUUUUACUCGUUUCUUCAACUCAUUUUAGACCUGCCACUGACACCUCAACUCUGCCCCCACAAACAGCUCUUCACCCACCCCCUCCAUUCUUCCCUUUCCUCUAUCAUAAACCCAGUGACCAGUGCCUCCCUCCAUUCUUCCCUUUCCUCUUAUCAUAAACCCCAGUGACCAGUGCCUCUUUUAAGUAUAUCUGCAAAAUGCAUACAUCCAUGCAUGAAAACUCAACAAGAACCUCAGUGACAGAGAGUUUCUCCAUACGUCACCCAAUGUACAAAACAAUCUGAAAAUUCCUCAUGAACCUCACUACCAUAGCUAUCAUCAUAGCACAACUCAGUUCCAGUCUGGUCCCUACCCUGCACAGAGAACAAAGUUUCCAUUAGAAAUCAAAGGUAAAGUAACCAUUUUCUAGAAUUUAUAUGCCAUUUAUUAUAAGAGUUGACAAAUUAGAGAGGUAUUGUUAAUAGAUGGCAACGUAUUUAGCACAGAUGAUUCUUUGAAUCAUUUGCAACAUUAGGAUGAUACUGAUCAUUGAGUCGAGUAGAAAACCUAAUUUAUUCAACCUGCAUAACACAACCGUUGAAAGAAUGUCUUUUCUAUUUCAAAUCUCAUCUCUGCAUCUUUAGAAGAUAUAUGUCUCGAAAAAGUUUUUCCAUAGGUCUACGAGAUAGCCAGAUGAAUCUUAAUUCUAAAAGAAGUUUUGACAUCAAUUUGUUCACUGAACAAAUUCCCGCCACCACCCUGGGAAAAAAGAAUAGAAGGGGUAGAGAAGGAAAAAUGAAUUUGUUAUGAAGCCAGCUGUGGCAGUAGUUCACAGUAAAUCCGCAUGUAGCAUAAGCAGUUUCACAAGCCCAUGACUGGCAACACAAUCCUUGUAUCUAGUGGAUCAAUUUUUAAAGUAGGGUACGUGCAGAUAAAGCAAUUGCAUUAUUAUCUAAUUGAGGUGUUUUGAUUAUAGUAACCAAGUUACACAUUUGAAAUCCUAUAAACUUUUUUGCAUUCACGUCUUGAAAUAAUUUUUUAGUUCAUUGAGCAAGCUAAUUGCAAAGAGAGCAACGAAUACCAACCUUCAUGCUAGAUCCGCACUCACUGAUUGCUGGGGUUGCUUCCCCUGCCAAAUCACUGACAACAUUAUCUGAUGAAAGUCCAGCAAUUGGAGAUGUAAGCAGUGACCUACAACCAUGGAAAUUCAGUGAGUCUCCCAACAAAGAGAACAAAAGAAGAAAAGAAUGAACUUCACAAUAGAAGGCAAUCCAAGUUUUGUUGGAGACUGAUGUGUCAUUUGCGUUGACAAAAUAAUUCAAUCUCGAGCCUUCAGCUUUUUCAAGACCCAUAAAACUCUCAAUUGGCAAAUGAAGAAAAACCAUUCAAUCAAAUUUGAUUUUUUUUUUGGGCAAUCUUACCAUGACAAUCAAAUAUGAGAAAGAUUAUAACAAAUAACAAUAGGAGUAAAUGAUGCAUGUCAACUUCUUCGUGUUGAUCAGUAGAAUUAGUGAAGUUGCUGGAAAAGCAUCAGAAGUAGUGACUUCAGAAAGUCAUUCAAUAUGAGGUUGGAGAAGACAAUAGAAUGGGGAUUUAAUAAGAUAUGCUGUGGUAAUGAAUGAUGUAUUUACCCUCCAGUAUUGAUUGUAUUAAGGCAAACUAGUUAAAAGCGUGAAAGAAGGCCAAAAAGGGAGGAUGGUCCAGCAAUCAAUCCUUAGGUGGAAGAUUCAUGAUUGGAAGUAGACAGCAGAAAAUUUCUACGACCAUAAUAAAAGAGGUAAGCUCUUCAGCGGAAUGGGAUAGAGUAACAAACUUAUUGAGUUCUUUAUAGCUACACAUUCAAAGAGAAACGACUAAUAAAUUCUAGGAGGUACAAACUGAAUACAUGAUAUAUAGACAGGAAGCUCGGCAAGUGAUAAACUGAGGAAGAGAAAAUGUCUAUGCAAGUUAGUCUCCUUGUUCUCGUUCAUUGUUGGUUACGUGAGGAUUGAUUCCUGUGAUGUAUAAGCAAUAUCUUCCUACCACAGGUAUGAAAAACAUAGAACAAUGAAGAUUUUCUGAUGUCUCAAGAAGUCUAUCAACUUUUCAGCACAUGCGAACUGACUCUUCCUCAAGAAGAGAAGGAUAGAUGAAUGUAGUAGUCAGUCUUGUUUGAGGAAAAGAAAAGAUGAGAAACCACAAGUUUCAAUGCAGAACUAUCAUUCUAGAAUUCUUAGGAGCUUCAAAUUUGGAACUGUGCUAUUAGGUGACCUAUGCCAUAAAUUUAUGUGCCAACUUUUAUACAACUCAAUUGUUCUACAAAUACAAGAGUUAACUUACACAUCUUGCCUCUUUGCAAUAACUAUGGGACAAUAUAGACUGUUCUCCACUGAAGUAAUAACUUAUUGCCUUGUAAGCAAAAUCAAAUUUUCAUGGAAAAAAAAAAAGAACAGUAACUAUUGUUAAUCUAUUCUUCAACAGCUUCAGCUAAGCCCGGCAAGGAUUAAUCAAAGAAAACUAACUACCAUGAUGGUGUAAUAUCACUUUAUCUUUUCUUGAUCCUUACUCCAGAAUAAACAACAUAAGCUUGAACAAAAGAGAGGUUCCAAGAAAUUCUGCAAACUAAAAGUUCAAAACAUAUUAAUCACUCUAAUAAUUUAUCUAUAUAUUAGCAAUGCAUCAAAAAUAGUCCUAAAAUCACCUCUCCAAUAUCUCUUCUUCACAUGAAUUUCCAGAGGAAGAUAGCCAAUCCAAAUCAACAAAAUUUGAACAGUCAUAAGAAUCUCCAUUUUCAUUUUCCUGACAUCUGUCUCUUGGCAAAUCUUCGAAAAGUUCCCUCACAGGCAUUGAGGGUGUAUACCUGCAAAAGAACACCCAAAGAAGACAGAUUGAAUCACAACUCCAAGCAAAUGUGGUGGAUAGAGAGGUGGCGGGAGGGGAGAGAGAGAGAGUGAGUUGAGGCAAAUGUGGUGGAUGAGACAUGCCAAAAUUCUUUUUGACAUGUGGAGUCACUAAAUCAAUAGGAAAAGAAGAACAUAUAAUAAUUCUGUCUUCUGUGGGGGCAACAAGAAAAAGAAAAAUUGAUCUAUUACUUGUGAAAAUAAGAGUACUCAUAAGCUACCAAUAUUCUGGAUAGCAGGCAAUGAAAUAUUGAAUAAAAGACCUGCCAUAUCUCAAAGUAAAUAGAAAACAAUGUCAAUAUUUGUAACAACACAACAACAAAGUUCAACACAGCCUUCGGCUCAUGAAAGAAUCCUUUUGGUCUCAAAAGAUGAUAAGAAAGACACAGGUUUAAAAAAUUACUGAAGUUUAGCAAACAAAGGUGCACCUCAAAUGUGAUAACUCGUUUUCACAAGUUGGUAUAUUGGGUGUUGACUCAGAGAGAAUAUUGCUCCCUCCUUCAGGUGUAUCAGGCAAAGAAUUAGAAAUAUCUUUGCUCAUGUUAGAGGUGGAUACAGGAGUGUGAGUUUCUCGAAGAAUGUUUCCAUCUGAUAAAGAUCUUUUAAACAGUGACCUGCAGACGCAAAAGAUGAGAUUAUAACCUAAAGUGUCGUUGAAGCAACCAAUCACAAAAAUGUACCCAAGGGAAGCUUGUGCGCAGAAAAAAGGCAUCACAUUCUUGGGCAUUAAGCAUUUAUAAUCCAUACAGCCAAGAGACAGUUGGAAUUCAAUGCAACAAUUUUCUUAUCUUUCAUAGAAUAAGUUGCAGUUCAAAAGUCCACAAUAAUCACAGCAGAAUAUGUCCCAAUAUGGUCAUACCUUCCAUUUUUAUCAAUAUUUGAUUGCCCAUUCCUACUUUCCCUGUAAAGCUGGUCAGAAUUCAGCUCCCAGACUUCAGGUUUGCCUGGUUGAGGCUGAAAAUGCCCUAAGAAUCUGCAAAAUACCAUAAUCUGAAAUGAAUGGGACUAGAAGUCGAAAUAGAAAAGACAUCACAAUGUGGUAUUUCAGAUAACUCUUUAACCUGCCUCCAACGAUCAUCAUCUCCUCCCACUCGGAUUUAACUCCAAGAAAGUGCAUACGAUAUAACUGACUAUUAAGAGGGGAAGACAAAAAUGGAAAGAAUCUAACAUGUAAAUGAAAUGGACUUACAGGCAUUUUGUUUUUCUGCAUCCAUGUAAGCAUUGCUGUAAUACCGUUGUAGAGUCCUGAAAAACUCUUGGGACUGGGUGGCUGCCUUCCAUUGACCUCUUCGCUGAGAGAAAAUCUACAUAAAACCAAGCAUUUCAAUGUACAGCUCAUAAAAAAACUAAUUACUCCUGAAAUCAUUACUCAAAAUCAGAAGAGAGAUUGAAAUGUGGACUUCUUCCUCCUAAAUGUAACAAAUAUACCAAAAAAAAAACACUAAGGAUACUGUGCCUGUGUGUUUAUUGGGCAAUAGUCCAAAGGGCAGAACUAUCACUGUUCUGUCCCAUAUGAUACAAUUAUCAAACUUCACAGCUAAAAAGAGAAAGGGUUUGAAAGCUCUUGUGACACAGUCCAUAACAUUCCGUCAUUGUAAUAACGGGUUGCUAUUGCUGGUUGUUUCUUCUUGAGUAGCAGGUAAAUGUGAAACAGCAAAAGUCUCAAGUCACCCUAGUAAUAAGUGAUCUCCAGUAGAACCACACAUCAUCCUACCUUAUUGUGAGCAGCUGAGCCACCAUAUUGAUGAGCAAGUGUAUCACCCAUUCUUUCGUAGAAGCCCAUCAAUUCAUCAGCCAAGGGAUCAUCAAGGUCUAUUUUUGUGGAAUUUAUUAUUCCCAGAGCUCGCAGUUGAUGUCCCAAAGCAGCCAAUCCGUAUGCAUAUUGUGCCACAUUAGUACGAUCCAAACAAUCUAUGCAGUUUGUCCUGAGCACUCCCUUUUGAAGAAUUGGCGGUUUACCAAAACCACCACCAUUAGCCACAUUGUUCCCGGUACAUAAUCUUCUGUCAAAUCUAUCUAAGUUCUCACUACCAUCUUCAUGGUGGUUGUCAUUUGACUCGUUUUCAAUUUCACACUGUACUGGCUGCUGCGUGUCACUAUCAACAGAACUCCUGCAUCAUGAGAGUUGUCAGCCGUUAGUACAUGAUCGUUAUGGGCAGAAAAAUUAAAUAAGUUACCUCGUAAUUUAACCAGAAAACAAACCAUGUUUAGUACUAGUUAUUAAUUGUCUAUGAACUCCCAAGUAAUGGCAAUAUCUAAAAGACAUAUUCUCCCCGACCAGAUGAUAACCUCAACUCUUCUAACACACAUUCUGACACGGAUGAGAAUAGAUGGCUGGAAUAUCUAUAUACUUUAGGAUUUGAAGCAAUUAUAGACAUUAGAAGUAUUAUCCUAAUCUCUAUAACAUCCAUAAGGGAAUCCUUCUUGACCAAGGGUUAUGAAUUACUAUCCCGGAUCAGAUACAUAAAAAGGUUCAAAACCAAUUUAAGUUGGCUAUCCAAGGGUUGAAUGUUGGACCAAGAUGAAAAAUGAUGAGACAAAACAUAGGCACUAUGAUACUCUAAAGAGGCAGAUAAAAACUUCAUCUUCAUCAGCUAAUCAUUACCUUAAUAGUACUUUCUCCUUCCCCUUUUAUUCGUUUUUCACUGUUUCUUUUUCGAGGGGUGUAGGUGUUAUAGAAGGUUAGAGACAGCAUACUUCAUGAGAAUAACGAAGCUCCAAUGGAGGGGGGAAAAAUGGAAGAAGUCAACAGCACAACCCAAUUUUACAUCUCCCAUCAGGUCCUACAACAGAUCUCCAGACUACAUGAAACUUCCCCUAAGUAUUUCAAAGUUUGUCCUGAUAUUUGUUCAAGAGAAUAUGUGCCAUUCAAUCUGACCAUUAACGCUGUUCAGACAUACUGACAAUGGUAUUUUUUUAAAAUUCCUAACAUUCCAUUUGAAGUCAAUAUUUACUUCCAAAGACCUGAGUCUAGACUUUUGGAUUUCAACAUUGAGAAACAUGGAUUAAUUAUCACCUACAAUAUGAUUUGACAUGGUCAGAAUGUCAAACGACAACAGCUGGGAUACGUAGAAUAAAGAUUACUGAAACAAAAUCUCCUGAUUUGACGACAAGUAAUUGUAUUUGCUAAAACUCUUCGUAUGUUAAUUGGCAUUCUAACUUCUACAUAAGAUACAAUACUUGGAAUGGAACUAACAGAGUGUCUUAAGUACUUCCCAUUACAAGAACUUAUUGUGCUUCAAGAGAUAUAAUCAAUCUGUAAAACUGAGAAAAUAUAAGACAAACAAUUAUCUUCUAGUCAGAUUAAGACUUUCUGCAAAUUUCCUACAAUGAAGUCCAAUGAGCUAUGACACCAGGAAGAGAAAAGUAGGCCUUAUAGCUGAGUUUACUGAUAAGACAAAACCGAACACCUAAACAUAAAAAGAGGUUGGGAAAACAAUGGAAACCAACAAAGACACCAGCAAACCUGGAAGAUGGAGGCGACUCUCCAAAUGAAAGAUGGCCAACAUAAAUCUUAAAAGAUAGGAUUAUGGACAACUACAAAGAAGCAACUAUGGUAUUCCAAACAAAAGUAAGAGCAGGGUAGAGAGCUAACUCACUCAAAAUAAGGCCAUUUCAAGCAUCCCUCAGUUGCUAAGGCUGGUGUUACUUGGCAGUAGAAGAAGCCUGUCAGUGUCAAUGCAUAUGUAGCCACUUUUCCCAGAAGGAGCAAAACAUUUGUAGCUUUGCUGGUGUAGGAAGGGAAAAUGAGAUUCCACACAAAUUUAGGUAAAAACAGACAACUAUAAAUGACAUAAGCAGAAAGUAAAGUACCUUCGAGAAUGCUUGUGCAAAUCCCAGUGAAGGAACUUGAGAUGAUUCUCCUCUGACAAAUCUUUAUUGAUAUAUUCAAUGGCAUUGGCAAACUCUGCACGAAGAAUCGAUUCUCGAGGCUUCUUCUCACUCGUCUGUUGAUUAUCAAAUCUAGUACACAUCAGUUUUUUGCUUGUUCUCAAAUCAGUAAGCUCUUCACAGUCAAGGAGUUACUUUAGGCAACCUAUCUAAAAUUAUUCUUUCCUUAUUUUGCUGAUCUUUUGUAUUUCAGUUAUACAAGAGUCUUCUUGCAAAUAACCUCUUUUACAUAAGAAAAUUAAACAUUCAUAAAGUUCGUUGAAAUCCAAAUAUAUGUAGACCUCUCACCUUAAUCAAAUUCAAGAUGAUUAUGGGAUGCCCAUAUCUACCGACCAGAUUUUCAAAAUGAAGUCUUGUAGCCUCGUACCUUUGGUCCUUUUUUGACACUGCAAUGACAUGAAAACAAAUUUCAGUUGGAAAGAAUCCUAAGAAUGACGGUAAAUGAAAUCCUAAUAAUGCAUGUCUGACAGGGAACAAAAAGAAGGGGGAACAGAUACUCUAAUUCAUAAACAUACAUAUGAUAUCAGGCUUAAGGUUCAAUCUUGAAGUUUCCUGUGACCAGAAAAGUGGGAUUGAUCCACGAUUUUGAACCACAGAACUAAUUUGAAUAGGGAUCCCCUCUGGAACAUUCUCAAAUACGAUCUGCUCAGUCUCAACAUCAUUUGCAACCCUGCCCCUUUCAUUCACACCACGUUUCAGAUAUCUGUAUCAAGGGAAAGUAGGAAAAAGCAUUACACACUGCCAAUUCAACCUUCUGACAAAAAAAAAAACCAUAUUGCUAUCUUCAGAAAGAGAAAAGCUGUACUAAUGGAAAAGAAAACCAUGUCUAUACUAUGUGUGAUAUUUGACCAUUAAAAAAAAGGGUAAACAAGACUCCCAAAAACCUAUAUUUAUGCCAAAUGAGGGUGCACAGCAGUAGUUAUAGUUGGCUGAUGUCCUUAAUACUUUUGGCUAUACAUAUAGUAAAUGUUUUAUUCCAAGUCAACCUGAACUAAUAAAUAGUAAACAAGUUAUAAUAUUGGUACAAGUAUUUGGUCACAGAAAGUACACGAGUCAGACAGCAUUAAUCCUUUGUAUUUUUUUCUAAUUAGAGUACAUGUAACACGACAACCCCAGCUCAGGAGCCACGCCUUUCUUUUUCCAUAAAAUAUCAAUACAUGAAUUGUUUCAUUAUUUGUUAUUUCCUAAGUUUUAUCAUUGCAUUCACUUACAAAAAGAAACGACAACAGUACCAAUGCAGCACUUGCAUUAUGGUGUACUCAUUUUUGUUGCCUCGAUCAUUGAAUUCUUACAACGUUCAUUUAAUCAAGCAGCAUUCUUCUUUCAAUUAACUUUAGCAGAUGCAGAGAACUUUCUAUCUAAGAAUGGCUCUAGCACAAUAAGCAGAAUAAGACAACAUGAUCAAAUGAAGAACAAAUGGAAGCGUCAUAGGACUGAUGACCUAACUACUUAGGGUUCUUUCUCAUAUAUAGUUAUCCUGCACCCUCUGACCACACUCAAUCUAUCUAUAUAUGUAAAAUUUGACAGCCCACUAAGAAAGCCCCUCUGGAGAGAUACAAUUACAAGAAAGCAAUUUGAUGCAAAAUGUUACAAUAUUCUUGGAAUUAUUUCAUCUUCAGCAAAUAUUAUAUCUGCAAAUACAUAAAUGUCUGAACAAGCAAGCAAACUGUGAUUGCACUUAAGAGUGUGCUUUUUUAUGACAUUCAUCUUACUAACAAGGCCAAAUCAGUAGGGCCUUCUGCUCCAUGUUUUCCAGGACCGCAUUAGAGAAGCGAGUCACCAAAGCCUCUCAUCAACAUAUUCACAACCAACACUAGAGAGCCUUAUAGAGUAUGGUGUUCUUUAAAAAAAAAAAAAUUAAAACUACAAUAACUUAUAGCCAACUAUUUGACCUGACUACUGAAACCUAGAAGCUUGUAUAGGGGCUUCCCAUCUUCCUCUAUAGAAGACACUACACCGCCCUUAUCAAUAGGAUCAAAAUGCACUCAUGCAAUAUUAGACAGUGAUAUUUGCUGAAUAAGCACUAUAAACCAUUAAAAUGGCACUCCUAGGUUGGAGGAAUAACUAAUAGGGGUUAAAUUGUGUGCUAACAGAAGCGUAGCACAAGGUUGCAUUAUAAAUGUGCGCCUUCCUCGUGUUUACUUAAGAUGAGCCAUUUUGCUUUCUAAGUUCAAAAGCCAGUUCACUGUGUUAUCCUUUGCUCCAUUUGUCUCCUUUUAGCUCAUCUUAAGCCCAAACAUGAAAAAGUCUAUGCAAAAUUGCCCAGUUAUUACUUUGUGAUACCAGCAUUUACUUUUCAAACUUGUUGGAUAAGUUUGUAAAUCUUAAACUUUACCCAAUAGAAAAUUACCUUCUUACAGCACUAGAGCAAAUCAAAGCAUAGAUAAUUGUGUCAUUUGAGUGUAGGAUAGUUAUACAAAAAAGUAAUUUUCAAACAAAUAAAUAGCGUGUGCAUUGUUCCAAUCUAUAUCAAACCUUGUCCCAGCAUAAUGACGAGAACGUCUUGCAAUAAGUGUCAGCCUAAAUUGCGCCCAGAUAUGGACAGCGUAGCCUGGAUCCACAAAGUAAAAAGUUGUAACAACGCAACGCAGAAAGUAUGCACAAAAAAGGAAAAAAAUUCAAAAUCAGAAUCAAUAAUGUUCAGCAGCUCAUAUACGAAACUAACAAUUAAAUGCAAUACAAAAUACUGAAUUCAGGAUCAGCUAAAACAAUCGUACAACAAGUGCUAACGGCAUAUCCCUGUUAUUCUACCUUCAGUUGCCAAAUACACCUUUUGCUAAAUCCAAGGAAAGGGUUUAAAUGGAGUAAGGAAACAGUUUGAUUAAGGUUUCUAAAAAUAUUGACAAGGAUAGGCCUUAAACAGAACCAAUAUAACUGACAAGAAAUACCAAAAAUAACAUCUAAGCCCCUGAUUAAAGUGCAGAAGUAUUUUUUAAAAAUAUUCAGUUCAUAAAUUUUUUCCUUUAUUUCGUAAUUUUUUUCUUUAUUUGGAGAAAAACUAGUGCACUAGGUCAACCCUGUUCUGGCACUAACUAAGCUCACCUGCUGGAAGAACCCAUAGACUAGUGCAACUGUCCAGAGAGUAUUCUGAAGGAUGUUCCUUAUUCCGCGAGUCAAAAACUCAUUCCACACAAACAUAGUCUCAUACAGGACAUUCCCUGUCUCGGCAUCACAGAUAUUCUUUUGUACACUCCUCAUAACAUGAUAUGAAUAACUGAAGAAGAAAUCCUUUGUAAGAUCAACCGUGCAGAGAAGCCUCUUGUAUCUAGAAAAGUCAAGGGGGGAAAAAGGAAAAUCAACUAUAUAAUUAGAAGAAAUUCCCAAAACAAAAAAAAAAUACAAGCAGUAAAAAGACUACAGAUAAGAACCAAUAAUAUAGUGGAUUUCAUACCCCUCCUCCAAUAACUUAUGUUUGAAAACUUGACAGGGGACAUUGCAGGAAAAUGAGAAUAUCAAAAUGUGGAUAACUGCCACACAUCCACAAGUGUAGUUCGAGAAACAUAAGCACGGAUGCAUGUGAUUCAAUUAUAUUUUUUUAAUGCUGGGAAAGAAACCACCCCAUGCCUUAGAUAGCAACUUGAUUAAAUUCUGCAUCACCACGACUACACCCGCAACAGAGGCCACCAAGGUUAUUUAGAUCUCUGGAGGGUAGUAGUCAUCACUUAGAUUACUUGCAGACAUGCAUUGGAGGUAAUGUAGAAAAUUUUAUUAUUUUAGAGCUUCACAGUUCAAAACAGUGGGCUAACCAAGAUGACAGUUUGCGGAAGAACAUGUCUAGUACCUAAAUCCAGAUGUUGAACUUAUUAUGUAGUCUUACAUCUAUGACAAUGACACAUCUGCUACUGAGUAAUGCUCCCCUUCCUGUAUUAAUAAAAGCUCUCCAGGUGUACUGUUAAAAACGUUUUUGCAUGUAGUUAAUGAAUAACCUGUUUUCAUUUCGAUAGUCAAUCAUCAUACUGGCUCGAACUGCAGAGUUCGGAAGCGGGAUUAUCUCACUCUUCGAGAUUGCGUAUACAUUGUGACCAGAUAUUGCACCAAUUUGCCUCCUUUUGGUUAUAACCAACAUGUAAUAGGGCCCCAAGAAUUUAAUAAAACCUGAGAUAGGGAACCAAGGUGAAUGCAAAAUAAUGACGAUCAAGCUUCCAACGGUGGAAUAACAGACUUAAAAAAUUUACACAUACCAACAAUUCCAUAACAAGUGGUGACAAAUCUAAGCCCUCCUGUAGACAUAUUUCCCUCAUGUAUCCUCCUCAAAAGGUCAGAACAUUCCCUUUCAGUGUACGUUGUAGAAUCUUCAAGUAUAUUUAGCUCAUAAGCUUCCAACCUGUUAAUUUUUAAUACUCUCCAGCAUGUUCGGCUCUUGUCCCUACCUAUCAUAUAAUAAUUCUGCAACAAAAAAUUUGACAAUGGUUUAGCUAAGAUUCAAGAGAAAAAAAAAAUUUAAGCAAAAGCUUAUUCAUAAGUUAAAAUUCACAAAUGCGCAUCUACAUUGAUCAGAUAUACAACAUGUGCCACUGAAAACGUCAAACAAUAAUGGCUAUAGUUUUGUCAUCUUUAGCACAAUGCCAUUAAUGAGAGUAAAACAAUGAGAGUAAAACAAGGGUUUUCGACUCAUGCUGAAAUAUAAGAUCUUUAUGCCCAAAAGAAGCACUUAAAACAAGACAAGUAUGUAGAUCUCUAACACGUGGAAAGAUUAAUUGCAAUAUUAAAUGCAGAAUAUGAAAUUGUUAGUUAAUGCAAUCCAUUUGCCACGUAACAACCUGAAAACUCAAUCUUAUCUAGAACUAUCCGAACACAUAAUAUGAAUUUGACUUUUAGUUACAAAUAAAUCCCCAUACUGCAGAAUUCUACUGAAGCUUAUAUGUACCAUUCACUUGGAAAUUCUUAUAUACACUGCAUCUGACACUGUCCAAACUGAUAAAAGAAAGUUCUUUCAGAACAAGUUGGAACAGCCAAUCAUGGAAAGCUAAAACGAAAGGCAAAGAAUAUCAAGCGAUCAACACAUGGAACAGAUAGAAUAAGCUAAACAAGAAUUAUUCGACUUGCACUGUACAUAAACUAGAACAGAAUGUGAUCUCUCAUAAAUCAAGCAAUCAACAGAAGCUCAAAGAUCUAACUUUGGACAACCUAUACGCAGUGCCAUCUAGAAACAAACUUAAAAAACCGGAGAGAGCAAAAAGAAGAUUAAGUAUAGAGAAGAGAAGGAAUGAUAUACCGAUCGAGUUUCGUAAAGGCGGAAUUUCUGCAUAAAGCCCUCAGGCAGAGGGUUAGGGCGACCAGGAUAGCACUCUCCUGCUGUCCCUGAUCAUUUUCUGUCUGGUGCUGAUCAUUUUCAGCAUAAGUAUGAUCAUUUUCGGAGUAAGAAGUAAGCUGCUGCGGCGGCGGCUGCUCAUUCUCCAGCUCUUCCGCCAUUGGAUAAAUAUUCCGUUAACAAAGAUCCAAAACACAGUAAAAUUAAAUCCCGAGCCUCUGGCUCGGGAAUCAAUCACUCCCGCAUUCAAAGCUCCAAAGUAUGUUUUAAGUCAACAAAAUCUCACCUCUCUUCCCCUUUACCCCUAAAUCCUCUCAUCACCCACACCGCCUUUAUCACACACGCCAUUCUCUCCUCUAAAUUUGAUCUAACACCAUUUGACUUCAAAACAAUAGCAUUUCAAAACCCUGAAAACAAUCAGAAAAAUCUAGCAACUGGAUAUAAUAAGAAAUUAACAGCUCCUGAUCUCUGGAUCAAAUAAGCGUCUAUUAAAAUGAAAUUGAUAAAAAGAAAAUGACUUGAACAAAUUUGAUUAGUGAAAUUGAGGAAUAGUUUGAGAGAAGAUCGAAGAAGCAAAAAUUUCAGGAGGUUCUAGAAUAGCUGGAAAUGUAAGAGAGAGAAAGAGAAAUAGGGAGAGAGAGAUAGCUGGAUGUGUUUGUAUAUUUCAUUAUUAUUUCUGCUGUAUGUAUAUAUUUUGUUUGUUGAUGAUGAUAAUUGAUAAUAAUGAUGACGACGACGACGAUGUAUUGUUCCUUACUGCUUCUCACAUAUAUUUUUAUUUUCUUUUCUCUUUUUUUUUUUCAGUUGAGAGAGAGAAAGGGCUCCAGCCUCCAGAGAUUUGCAAAAGGCCAAAAGGAGAUGAAACGAAAACCACAUCUUACUAUGGAACUUGUCGAACCAUACGUUAUAUUCGUACACCCCCAAUCAAAAUCAUAUUAAAUGAAGGGAGGAAAAAGUUGUGACUGUGUAUUUUCAUUCCGUUGAAUUAAUUGUACGUUGAUUUAGGGCUUGCAAAUCAUGUUAAAAAAAUUCUUUUUAUUACGCCGAUAAUCAUUAGAUAAGAAUUUAAAGAGGAUAUGUUGAUUUAGGGCCUGCAAAUCAUAUUUAAAAAAAAUUCCUUUUAUCAUGUCGAGGAUCAUUAAAUAUGAAUCCAAAAAUGAUACAUUGAUUUAGGGCUUACAAAUCAUACUAAAAGAAACCCUUUUUAUUACGUCGAGAAUCAUUAGAUAGGACCCAAAGACGAAAAGAGAGACAAAAGAUAUCCCAUUAAUGUAUAAACGAAGAGUUUUUGAGUAAGUAUUACACAAUCUCCAAGAUAAUUUUUCGGAAAAGAACCUCCUAAGAAUAUUUUGAUGACGAGAGCACUGAUAAAUUUUACUCAGUUGUAAAAUUUCUGUAAAAGAAUGCAUAGUGUAAGGAUAUGUUAAAUAAUAUAUUAAAAGAAUAUUCUAAAAAUUUUCUAUGAAACUUCACAAUUCAAAUGGAAAUUAGCUUGAUUUCAUUAUGUAAGGCACGACUGAGACCUGAGGACUAUUACUCACGAAUCAAUAAUGAGUUUUGAAGGUUGUCGUUAUUAUAGAAACAUUACCACAUAGACAGUGCUGCAUUAGAUCAUAAAUUAAUUAGGUUGAAUUUUUAUAUUUGUUGAAGAAGCGACGAGUAGGAUAUACUACUAGACAAGGAAUAAUAAAUUUGAAAAAUUCGGUAUUAUAAGAAAAAAAAAGAAAAAGAAAACACCGGCAGCUAAAGAAUUUUAGACGAACCAUUAAUUAGUUGCAAGCUUUAUACCUACUCAAUAAUGAAAUUUAGAGGAAUAAACGAUGAAAUCAUUGGCACAAUAAGUUGAUUGUUUAUAUUAUUGUUGGUUCUUUUUAUUUUAUGGCAUUGCAAAAAUUGGCAAAUUGAACUUAUUAUUUUAGCUAGUUGACUAACGCUAAAGAAUGUUGCUUUUCCAUUGGUUUAACUUAAUGGUCAAUCAACAUUAAACGUACAAGACAGUCCAAAAGUACAAUUUGGUAAAGAAAUGGUCACAGACAUAAUAGUUGUAUGAAUGAUUAAUACAAGCAAAGAAUCAUUAAUUAUUUAAUACUUCGAAACGUGUUUCUCAUUCUAAAUUGAUGAUUGACUUUUCCUCCAUAAAAAUUCUUCAUCGAACAAAAAUAUAUAUAUAUAUAUAUAUUUUUUUUUGCGUUUUCCUGAUUUUUUAAAUUAUCACAGUGUAAAAUCAAAGAGGAGUUACGCCUGCCUACUUCCGGCAAAAAAAAAUUAAGAAAAUUCAAAAUUUUAAAAACACCGACCACAGUGCAUAUUGCUACAUGUCGCAGAGUGAUUUAUUUGGCAAUGGCCUCUCUCUCUCUCUCUCUCUUUCUUUGCUUGAAUCCCGUGGAGGAUAUCCUUUUCAAUGAUUGAAAGAAUAUUUUUUUAGCAGCCCUAUUUUAGUAGAGAAGUGUUGAAUGAAAACAGAACCUUGAGCCCACGUCUGCAGAUGAGCAUUGUUUCAACUUCAGAUAAGAAAACAAAAGAAGAAGAUUGUGCUGCUGAUCAAAACGGGUAUUUUUCAGCUACAUUUCGCCUAGGGCUGAUAGGCCAAACUUUGCCUUUUUCUGGCUUUUUGACCUUUUUAUGUGUUCUUUUCUUCGCUAGUCCGGCCAACUCCAUUUUUUCUAUGUAUUAUGAUUGAUUGUGCUCUAUCUUGAUUAGCUUGGACACUUGGUAGCAUACAAUAGGCUCGAUAUAUAGAUCACUGACUAAAAAAUUAGCGCGUGGGUGGGUUAGACGCGAAAAUGGAAAGUCUGUCUUUCGACUUUGGGGUAACAAUUAGUCUACGACCUAAGACCUCUACCCACGUCCCCCACCAAAAAAAAAAAAAAAAAAAAAAGAGCGAAGGAUGGACCUAAGUCAAAUAGCGAAUUAUUUUCGAAAUCCGACAAUUCUUCGAAUGUGUCGCGAUUAGAUCCAAAUACUUCUUUUUCUGCUAUCCGUGAAAGAACCGGUUAGUCAGUGCUACGAGAAGAUAAGAUAGAUGUACCAGUUCUUCAUUUUUCUUGUUCAUUGCUUUCCAUCUUGUUAUUGUUGUUACGCGUCCCAAAACACUAGUUAAAUGGGCAAAAUACACUACUUUAUCCCUUAUAAUUUAGCAAUUUUUUUUUAUAUAAUCUCCUUAUAGUUUCAAAAGCUAUAUAUAAUCCGUUUAUAAUUUGAAUUAAAGUGUCAAAGUGAUGAAAAUGAUCAUUGAUAACGCGAACCCAUAAAAAUAUCAAAAUCACCGACCGUUGUUUAAAAAUUAAGAUGGUUCAAAUGAUCAAAUUAUAUAAAUAUAAUAUGCACGACACUCUAACUCCGUAUGAUUUUAUGUUUUAUCAGAUAACCCCUUUAUGAUUUUCAAAUAUAUACAUAAACCUCAUGGUUAAUAAAUAAUUUUAAACUUUAUACAGGGAUACUUUUGACAUUUUAAUUAAUGCCUUUAUGGAAUGCAAGUCCCGUCAUUUUGACACUUUAAUCCAUAAUAUGAGGAAUUAUGUAUAACUUUUAAAAUCAUACGAAGGUCAUGUGAAAAAAACGCUAAAUCAUAGGAAAGUAAAGUGUAUUUUACCCAAUUAAAUUAAAAUGAACCGUCACCCUAACAAAUACUACUACUAUUUGCCUUUCUCUUGAUGCACUUCAGUUUCUACACUUACUUUAGGGCAUAUGUACCUCAUAACCACGCAUGAAUGGAUCUUCAAACUAACUAAAGGGUUGAGUUGACUCCAUUUUCUCUAAUGAAUGUCAAGGUAGGGAGGGUCUUUCUUAGACACCUUUAAAUUAUUAGACUACGUAACUCUUGCUUGGAGCUUGGAUGAUAACUGUAUAGAUUUGGAGAGCCGUACAAGGAAUAAGAUGAAAGUUUAUCUUGAUAUAUUGUUCAGUCGGGGUAAUGUUAUUUAUAUUCCUUUUUUUUUUAGACUAUAUGAUAUAAUAAAUGAUGAUCAUUUAUUUCUAAAAUAAAUUUAUGAAACACAUAUAGUCAAGACAAUAAAGAGAAUUGCCAUACCCAAAAAAAAUCAAAGGUAGAUCAUUACAUGUGGAGAAAUAAACUUUGCCAACAUCCAUAAUCCACUUUUACUGUGUAAAAUCAGUAAAAUAUCCCAAUUUACCAGAAUUUAUAGGGUUAUCCAUCUAUUAUGUACGCCGAGUCCGAUUUUUAUUUUUUCCUAUUUAACUAAUAUCGUGUCGAUUUAUGCACAAUGGCAAGUCUUUUGGUAUAAUAUCUUUGACCUUUCACAACCAUCUAUGGCAAUGAAGCUGGUAUAGUUUCCAUUUUGCUUUUGCCAAUAGUCCUAAACCAAUUAAAGAGUUACUGCUAAGGAGAAUCCAUUGGAUUUUUUUGAAAGAAAGGGCAUUACGGUGAGUCAAUCCCAUUACUAUGUGAAGUUGUGAACAAAUCGCCAAGUGCAAAGUGCAAACUUGUCUCUUAGAAAAAGUCUUGAACGCUAUGCCCUGUUCAAUUUUGGACUCUGCCAAAUUGUCAAUCAAUUCAUCAGAAUUUGAGCUGCAUUGUUCUUGUUAAACUUCUUCUUAAGUUGGGAAUUGUGCAAUGACAAGUACGCUUGAUUUGAUCACAAGCACAUGUUAAAGUAAAGGCUAGUCCUAGGUAACCAAAAGUACUAGUAGCUGAGUGUUACUAUGUAUACUUCUGAUUCCUAAGGAGAAGACAAGGUGUGGGGUUACUGCAAUUGGGUUUCUGCAGAUUCUAGUUACUACAAUUGAACGAAAUGUAUGCUCCAAAAUAUCAAUCAUAUGUAGAUACUAGAAACUUAUAAAAACCCAUAUAACUACUGUUUCCCACAAUCAUUCCCCUUCAUUCAAUUUGCAAAUCAGAUUAACUACUCUCCGAAUCCCGUAAAUCCAAUUUAAAUUAACCUACUUUCCUUGAUUUUUUUUUUUCAGAGAAUAAGUGAAAGUCUUCGGAGCCUUUUACUUACGAUGUCUUUCAUCUAUCAUGCAACCCAAUCCUCUCCAAACCGACUUCCCAUGAUUAAUUGUACACAUAAUUUCAGUUUCAAGUAUUCCAUCAAAAGAUUUGCCGAGGUCUGGAUUGUCGAAGAAAUCACUAAUUAGCUAUCGUUUGCUUGUCGAAGGAACAGACUAGGCUGUACGGCCCCAAACAAGAGGAUGGCCCCUCCCAGAGAACUUUAGCAAAAUGUUCACGGAUCCUUUCUGUUGGAUGAAAAGAAUCUAAGCAAGCAUAUGCGUGGUCAUUGUGGUUGUCACGUAAGUCGUAGUUUGGAUCCUUCUCGUUGCCUCCACAAGUAAGAAAUCCUCUGUUACGCCCUGUUCCACAGCAAGCACCAACUCCUUCCUUAAAUCCUGCAAAAAAUAGCAAUCCAUAGAGCACACACUUUGUGUUACCAACCUUUUCUUUCUCAGGCAGGAUAGGGGACUAACUAGUUUCAAAUCUCAACGCUGAGCAAAGUUGGCAUAAUCACUGGGCUACGACCCUCGGCCUCAGAUAGCCAAUGGGACUGAGACCAAAAAUAAAAAAUCUCCGCUUUGUGGAUAAUGCGUGUGGUUGUAGAUGGUUAUUCAAGGAAAAUGAUAUCAGCACUCUUCAAAAAAUCACAAGCACUUGAUGAACUUAAGGAGUGCUUGAAAUUUUUUGAGUAGUGCUAACAUAAUUUCUCUUAUAUAAUUAGUCGAAUGGCGGAUACACUUGCCAUAUUUGGUGGGAUCAUUAAUCCUAUCAAGCAAUACUUGAAAUCCUUGAGCAGGAGUUCAAGAUUAGGAAGGAUAGUCUGUGGAGCAUUGUUAUGUGCAAAUGCUAGAGCAUUAGCAGUAGGGGUGAGCAAAAUUACUCACAACCCGAAAAUCCUUCAUAUCCAAUCCGAUUCGAAAAUUAGAAUAUUCAAUCCAUUAUUAUUUGAUCGGAUCAAAAAAGAGUCGGGUAUCCCCUUAGAGGUGGGGUGGGCUAGGAUUACAUAAUUAAAAAUUCGUAGAUACUCGACCCGCCUCCGCAUAUAUACAUAUAUAUAUUUGAUUUUUAUGCACUAUAAAAUAAUAUUUUUAAAACUAACUAAGUAAUUUCAUUGAACAAGUUGCAUUAUAAAUAUGAAAGACUAUAGUUUAUUUACAAGACUCAUUUGUAGAAGUCAUUAUCUUAUGUUUUAUAGAAAAGAGUUUAAUUAAUGUGGAACAUAUAUUUAAAAAAAAUAUGUUACUUAUGUCAAACUUUUAUUGAUUUUGAAUUCUUUAUAUAUAUAUUUUUUACUUUUUCUUGUAUUCUCUUUGAAUGCUUGUUUCUUGGUGGGAAACUUUUUUGAAAAAAUUUUAGAUGAAUAUGUAAAAUACAAAAUCAAAUUAGUACAAAUCAUAUAUUUUUUUUAAAAUUAAAUGAUAAGUGAGGUGGGGCGGAUACCUGUUGACCUGAUCCUAUCUCUCCGGGCAUCUUAUAAUCGAGUAUCCGUUGAUAUACGGAGACAAAGAUCAAAAAAUGACUGGCCUGUAAAAUGAAGGUUGGGUCAGUCAAAUAAGUACACAGGACGGAUUUCGGACCCGUGCCCAUUUAGCAUGUUCAAUACAACCAGCACAUCAUGGCCUUUUGGAUUGAGGGCUCUCAGGGCUGGGCCGGCUGGCAAGCAACCCAAAGGGCGAAAGCUCAAAUGGCAAACUUUUAGGCUUCUUUCUCGUACAGGUCCUCAUCAAUUGAAUAAAGCACGUAAAGUAUUUGAUAUGUCAUAAAUCAGCAAUAAAAGCAAUGCCUAAAAGCUUACUUGAAUUCUGCCAUGAUUUCUCCUGCUUCUGCAAUUCCUAACUUCUCUUUCAAUGACAACUGCACCUUAUGAAAGUACUCUAAUUGUGUCUCGGAAAUCAAUGAUAUGUGAUUCAAGCAUUCCUCUAUUCAGAGGCUCAUAUAGAGGUACAAUCAAGUCGAGUCGAGUUCGAGUAGCACCAUACUCGAGUUCGAACUCGAUCAGAAUCAGUGCUACUCGAGCUCGAACGAGUAAAUAAAUUUGGACUCGAGCUCGACUCGAUAAAAUAAAAUUAAAUUUGAACUCAACUCGUUUGAACUCGAGUAAAUAUCAAACCCGAUCUACUCGACUUCGAGCUCGAGUUUUGAAAUAAAUCUAUAAAUUUUUUCUCAAAACAUAUAAUAUAAAAACUCGAUUAAACUCGUCGAGCACCCGAGUAUUUAUUUUUGGAGCUCGAACUCAACUUGUUGAAUAUAACGAGUAGCUCGAGCUCGAGCUCGAGCUCGAACUCGAUUUGAUCGAACUCGAGCCAAGCUUUUUACCAAGCUGCUCGUAAACAACUCACGAGCGGCUUGACUUGAUUGCACCCUAGGCUAAUAGUCCACGAAAUCAAUUUCAAACAAGCUAUUCAUUGGCGAAAGCUAUAGGCAGAGAAUAAUGAUAUAGAAACCACAAUAUUUCUUCAGCUUAUGCCUAAUUUAGUUAUUUCCGGGGCAAAUUUAGUUAAUCUCUAAGCAUCUAAAGCGUUGUUCAGUGCCUUCGAUUUUUCCUUCACUGAUUUGGUUGUUUGUCGUUGUAUGUAAGAAAAUAAUGGGUUGACAAACUUUUAAUUUAUCCUUCCACCCUAAUCAUAAGAAAUGUGCUGAAAGACGCAAUAGUACCAGUAGUAUUUACUUUGGGAAAUCUCAAACUUUGGUAAUCUUGUGGACAAAAAUUAAUAUCUGUUGCUGUCGAUCUUAUUCAUUACGUCAAUAUUUCUUUCUUGUGGCAGCUACUUUUCCUCUCUAUAUAAUUCUUCCAUUACCUGUGAACCAAAAAAACCUUAAACCUGUUUGAUUGAUAUGAAACAUCGGGCCUGGCUCAGCCUCUCAUAUUGCUGAUGAUAGACAAUAUUGCGACAGCGCCAGCCUGUGACAGAAACCGUUAAAUACGAAUACUAGGCUGAGCUAACCGCAGCCAGGGCCAGUGAAUAAAUUUGCAGAAAAUCCCUGACCGCUAAAUUACUUUAUAUUCCAACCCUCGCGUACGCUUCACAAGCCAAAUUCAGCUCAAGAGAAUUUAUCCAAUUUAUGCUGCAGCUCCUCCGGGGACCAGGCACGGUUGAAGUGCGGUCGGAGAAUACAUAGGUUAAAGUUUAAUUAGCUGUACAUAAUCGUUUGCUAAUUGUUUUGGAAACUAUUUUUGGUAAACAUCUUCGUAGGUCGGCUGAUGAUCAUAAGCUUUUUUUUUUAAAUUUAUUAGAAGAGCAAGUAUCUGGGAGGUCUGUAUACUAUGCUAUUUAUCAAGGGUCAACUGUUCUGGGGUCAGCGCAUAAUUGGCAUAUCUAGUAGAGCAUGCUUCUGAAGGGAAUGAAAUUUGUUCUGAAAUACUAGGCUGCUGAGGAUGGAAAUGAAGUUAGUGAACAAAUGAAUUUUGCAUGUCUUUCCUAUAGCAUCCUGUUACUUCCUAUCGCUUGAUCCUGUUUUAGUUAAUAUAGCAUGUCAAGAGAUAGGUUUUUCAUUGUGUACUAGUUUCUGUUCAUGUUUCAUGUGUGUGCGUUCUACCUUUCAUUUGUCCUGUUUUCAAUUGACAUUGCAAAUACAUCUUUGUCUCCGUUCAUGGCUGUCUGAACUCUUAUAUAAUCCAGAAAGUCACAGUGAAGAAACCUAUGUCCAUUUAUAAUCUGUCUACCAAUGGAUGGCCAAGCCCCAAAGGUUAAACAUUAACAAGACCAAUGAAAUGUUCCUUCCUGGAAGGAUGUCCUGUAUUUUUAACAGGGAACAAACUCCAGUCUUUGGUGCUGAAUCAUGUAUAAGAGGAAUAACACUUCUUUUAGUGAUAACACAAACUUCUUACUUAUUUGCCAUGAAAAAUUAACUUCUCCUGUAUCGUACUUCCCUCAAAAGAUUUGCUGAGUUUCUGGAUUGUCGACAACAUCAGCAAUAGUUUGCUUGUUGAAGAACAGACUUCCAGGUUGUAUGGCCCCACAGAAGGGACAGCCCAUCCCACAGAGCUUUUGCAAAUUGUUCAUGGAUCCUUUCUGUUGGAUGAAAAGAAUCGAACCAAACAUAGUCACUGGGGUUGUCACACAACUCAUAGUUUGGAUCCUUCUUUGUGCCUCCACAAGUGAAAAUCCCUCUAUAAGGUCCUGCACCACAACAAGCACUCUCUCCUUCCUUGAAUCCUGCAAGAAUUAAUAGUAAAUUGAAAACAACAUGACUAUACCGAGCAGGGACGUUGAAAAGUUCAAGUCGCAAUCUUGACUGUGUGAAUCAGGUUGGUAGCUUGGCUCAGUUAAAGAACCCUUGGCUCAGUUAAAAGGAUUUUACUCAUACCUGGUAGAUGAUAAUUUAAUUAGCAGAAUGGAUGCUUAACUUACCAUACUUUGUGGGAUCAUUAAUCCUAUCAAGAGCCAAUCAUAGAAAUUGGAGUUGCAGUAUUUGAAACCCUUGGCAGGAGGAGUUCAAGAUUAGGGAGGACAGCCUGUAGAGCAUUGCUAUGUGCAAAUGCUAGAGCACUAGCUUGUUCAAAACAACCAGCAUCGUGGCCUUUAGGAUUGAGAACUCGGAGGGCUGGCAAGCAACCCAAAGGGCAUAAGCUCAGAAAUCCAAAUUUUCUGGCUCCGCGAUCAUACAGCUCCUAAAUUGAAUAAAGCACGUGUUUAGUAUAUCAUCAGGAUAAGCAUAACAGAAGAGAAAGGAAGGAAGAAAGCUUACUUGAAUUCCCUGCGUCAGAUUACCAAUAACCAUCCUGACAUAAUCCUCAGGAGGAUGCAGUUGUUGCAUUUCUGGAUUACCUAGAUAACCUCCCAUGUAAUCAUUACUGCCCAUACUAAUGAAAUAAACGGCGUUUGAUAUAAUUUCUUCUGCUUCUGCGGUUCCUAACUUCUCAGCUAGGGACCGUUGUACCUUAUGAAAGUACUCUAACUGUGUCUUCAAAUCAAUGACCUAAGAUCAAGAAGUUCAAAAAUAUUCGACUCUUCAGGAAGACUGACAAACCAUGAAGAUGAUUUCAAGCAAGUUAUAAAACAAUGUUCAUCAGUCAUAUAGCUAUGGCAGGGAUUAAGAUAAAGAAAUUACUCACCACACCCGGAUUUGUUGUAGAAAGAAUUCCAGCCCCACCAGAGGCAAAAUUAACACCAUGACUGUAAUCAGCAGAUGGUUGCAGAUACGGAGGAAUUAUAGGCAAUUUUGCAUACUCAGCUGUUUCAAUCAUUUGCAUAAAUAUUAAGUAUCACUUAAGAUGUGAUCAUAAUUCAUAAAUUUGCUCUCUGCAAUCCUUUCUUGCAAUUAACAGGGUAAUGAUUGACUUACCAAUAUAAUCACGAUAAUACGGCCAUCUGAGAAUCGGCCUGUUGGCUCCUUGAAGAAACCGUUCUGACCGUAAGGCUUGUAAUUGGCUUGGUUUUCAGGCGUGGUCUUAAUGUAAUUGUUGUUGCCUGGAUCCACAGUAGAAUCACCAAAUAUGAAGAAUGCACUGCUUCUCUCAGCUGAGCCCCCACUGGCCUUGAAACAAAGCAGAAGUACAAGACUUGCAUGAUCAAUGAUGAAGUUCCAAAGCGAGAAUUUAGCCUCAUCUUGUUCAGAAACUGAGGAGAGCAAUCAGGAGCGUCUGGAUCCCUGAAACUACUACUCAAGUCACUCCGUUUUGGGUUUUGACUUUAUAGAUCAAGGGCGAUCCCACCAAUGCAGUGCUAAUUUGUUUUUUCUUUACAGUUGUACUACAAUCUUCUAGGUAGCCUCUUGAGGUUAGUUUUCUUCGCAGCAGCUGGAUUGUCAUCUUUUUCAUGGUGGUAGUAGUUGUGAUCAGAGGAGAACAACUAAACACAUCACUAUCAGAUUUCUUUGGUUUCAUCUAAUUGGUUUCAAUGGGUCAUGUCUUGUCUACUUAUUAUUAUUUCUCAAGCACAUUUCACACACUAGUGUUUGACUCUCUGAAGCACUGUAUAGGAUAGAUGCUAAGCGACCAGGGCGUAAAAGUAACUUUCAAGUGAUGCCUUCUUGAUUUUUCUUUGAUAAAAUGUGUUCGAAAACUUCUUCUCCGCCAAAUCAUGAAAAAUCUGUUGUAAGACGUACCAUAAUAGUACUUAGGAACAUCAAACGUUGGUAAAAAAGCCAAGGAUUCCGGACACAAGCUUAAAUCCGUCGUUACCAGUCCCAUUAUUGUAUCAGUCCUUUUGCAACCACUUUUCCGGUUUCUUUCAUUUUUUUCCGUCAGUUGACCAAGUAAACCACGAGAGAAAAAUAAAAUGAAAAAGACAAAACGGCUUAAACCUGGGACGAUCGAACCGGAAGGAGGUGGACAAAAGCAUUAGGUCAACGGGUCGACAAGUAGUUGGAUACGAACACUAGACUAGGGCCUAGGCAGAGCCCACCACCGGUCCACAGCUCAGGGUAAUGAAUUUUCAUUAAGUGUCAAGGGUAUUUAUGUACUUUCACUAUAAAUCAAUCUCAUCUUCUUCGCAACACUCGUCUUCAUUCUCAAGCGUACUUCUUAGUGGAAAAUCCCUAACCGGUAAAAUUCGUUAGAUUCAAACCCUGACGUACUCUUCAGAAGCCAAAUUCAGCUAGCAAAAACCCUGAUUAACUAAAUACGUCGUUUACUAUCAUCUUCUUUUCGGCCAUAAAUUUGUCAAAUGUCGUCCAAGCGUAACAAUUACAAAGAGAAAUUAGCUCGUCGCAAGUACGUCUCGUUUUCCUUCUAAUCCUGCUUCCAUUUUUUUUUUCAGCAAUUUAAUUAUGUUUUCUUUGCAAUUUUUGUUCUAAAUACUAAAAGUUUGAUGCUUUUUUGUUGAAUUUCCAUGAAUACAGUAGAAUAAGUGAGGGUUUUUCUAAUAUGUUUGCUUUGUUCGGGUAUAUUUAUUUACAUGCAUAUACUGUAUGCUUUUUGAAUUUUUGGUGUUUAUAUGUUUGUUUCCUUGAUGGAGAUUAGAGAAUGAUGACUUGGACAUGUUGUUUGUGCGCUUGCCUUUAUGUUUGUUUGUAGAGAGGAGAAGGCGGAGGAGCCAGAACAACCAAAGUAUAGAGACAGAGCGAAAGAGCGGAGAGAGGAUCAAAACCCUGAUUAUGAACCAACAACAGAAUUGGACAUUUUCAUGCUGUAGCUCCUCCAGGCACGGUUGAAUUGCGGUAUGAGAAAACUUAGGUUAAGUUCAUUUGGCUUUAAUCUUUUUUUUUUUUUUUUUGAGCGGGGUGUUUUCCAUUUAAUUAGUAGUUGUUUUGGAAGUCAUUUGCGGGCAAUGUCUUUGUAGGUCGGCUGAUGCGCAUAAGCUAUCUAUUGAGAAGAGCAAGUAUCUUGGAGGUCAGUUUACUGAUGCUGUUUAUUAAGGGUUAUUUAUUGACAUGUCGUGGCAAAUCUGUGGUUGUGAAGGGAAUCAGAGGUUCUGAAGUACUAGUCAGCUUGCGAGGAUGGAGCUGAACGAAUAGAUUUUGCAUGUCUUUCUUAUUUUGUCCUGUUACUAUCACCUUAUCCUAUCCUGUUUUAAUAACUAUACCAUGUUAAGAGCGAGGAUAUUCAAUGUGUAUUAGUUCCUGUGCAUGUUUUGUAUGUAUUUUUUUUUCUACUUUUUGCUUUGGCCUCUUUAACCCGCAUAGGAAACAUGUCUUUGUCAAAUUUAUAGCAUUUCUAAACUCUACCUAAUCCUCAAAGUCACAAAGAAGGCAAUGUUCAUUUCGUUUCACAAUCUUAUUGCAACCUACUUUUACCAUGUGAAUUUCUUUAGGAUGUGUUAUUGCCAUUUUUUUGAACCAUUGGAAAAUAAUUCAAUGGAAUUUGAUUUGUGAAGUGAGACUCAGCUAUUUAUUAACUUGAUUAUUAAGAGUUCCGCAUGUCCUAUUAAUUAUUCAUAAGAGGCCUGCUGUAACAUUUGAUGAAUUAAUCUGCUAAACUACCUGCUUUUGCGGUGUAGCAUUUUUUACAUGCAUCCCCCUAGUUUAGCUAGGAACUUUGAGUUCCUGGUCCCCCCAUCUAGCUGUCUUUGGAUUUUCAAUCAGCUUAAGUGGAGUAAAACCGGCCGAUAUAAAGCUCAUUAAACUAUUUGUCUUUUUAGAGGGUAUGCAUAUUAGACAUGGAUUGAGUGCAUUAGAUUAAAAGGAAUAUGUACUAGAUGAUUGAAUGAGUGCAUAGAAUGAACAAUGCAUGUAAUCUUUACUGCAUGCAGCAAAGGGAAUGCUAUUAUACUAUCCUCAAGCUGCUUCUUUCAUAAUUCUGAAGAGUUAGCUUUGGGUUUAUUGGCAUGUAUUACUUGCUUCAAAUUUGACCAGAUAUUUUCUGUGAUUGUUGGAUCUCUGAUUUUCUCUACCUUACCCCACAUUUUGGGAUUCUUGUGAAUUUUAGGUGAUGUUGAACACACACAUCUUGUUAAAGGGUUGGAUUAUGCUUUGCUUCACAAAGUGCGAAGUGAAAUAGACAAGAAACCAGAUGUUGAUGACGAUGCUAAUGAAAAAGCUAGGUAAGUAACUUGAUUAACAUCUGACAGCACCACUUUUGGAGUUCUGAUCUUGGUAGAUUUGCCAUGUUCUUGCUCUGUUGUAUGAGGGACCUUCUUCCUGAAUUAUUUUUGACUAUAUUGCCUCAAAACUAUUUUUCCAUUUUGACUUUGGCCUAUUUAAUUUGUGACUAUGUUUGUUGUGGCAUUGAUGAAUUCCUUCCAUCAAUAGAGCAUCCAAAGAAGAUCAAACACUGUCAUUUCGCACUGCAACUGCAAAGGUCCGUUGAUUUAUUGGCAACCUUCUUUUUUUUGGGCAAAAAAUCUCAGCAGCCAUUAAAUUAUUGUCUGUGUCGACUUUUGACCAUCAAACAAUUUUUUGUCACAAAUUAGCUGCUAAACUAACUAAUCAGCGCACUCAUGGCCAUUUGUGUCGGUUUUUGCUUUUAAUUUACAAAAUAAUCAGAACCGCGUUUUGACAAAAAAAUACCUAUGGUGGACAAAUAUACCCUUGCAUUUUUGUGUGUUCUAAUUAUUUUGUAAAUUAUAAGCAAUAAUCGAUGAAAUGACCAGAAGUGUAAUGAUUAGUUAGUUUAGUGGCGAACUUGUGAUGAAAAUUGUUUGAUGGUCAAAGUUGACAAGAACAAUAGUUUAAUGGCCGCUGAGCGUUUUUUGCCUUUUUUUUUUUUUGGUUCAUAGCUACAGGUGGUAGCAGCCUUUGCUCCUUUUUGUGGAUAAACAACUUAUACUUUGCAGUCUGUUUACCAAUGGAUGAUCAAGCCCCAAACUACCAUCAAGACAAUGAAAUGUUCCUUCCUGGAAGGAUGUCCUUUAUUUUUAACAUGGUAUAAUCUCUUACUCCUCUGCGCGCGUAUUUGUAUGAAGAAGGAUUAAUCUUCUGUUCGUGAUAGUAGAAGUUCUGACCCAUUUGCCAAGAAUAAUAUGUCUUUUCUCGAAUCAUUUUUUUUUUCUUCACCAAUAGAUUUUUUAUAAGAAGCGAUCAAUGAAUUAUCAUUUUGUUCUUCUGAUAAUUCUUUGUUCUGAUUUUUCAUGUCAGGAAAAUGGGUAUUCUAAUGAUAUUCCGACAACUCUUCACAGGAGUAAAGCUGACUGUCCAGUCCCAGAGGUACCCUUUACUGUCUUAAUAGUUUUUUUAUUUCAGUAAGUUGCAUUGAGGUUAUUGACAUCACCAUCCUAUUGCAUUUUCGUGAUCUUCUUCCUCCUUAGGAUGACAUUAGUACUUUUUGGUUUCCAGGAAAUGGUUACUGUCGGUGUGGAUGGUUCUGUUUUAGAUCGGAUUGCCAAGAUUAUGUCGUACCUUCGCCUUGGAUCAUCUGGAAAAGUGCUCAAGAAGAAGAAGAAAGAAAAGGAUGCAAAAGGUGCUUGCAUCUGUUUAUUUUUUUCCUGAACUUGAAGUUGAAUCUUUAAUUGGCAAGAAAAAGGCUUUCGUAGAAUUUUUUUGUUUAAUUUGGCUUAAGUUCUUCAUAACAAAAAUAUUCCUAAGAACCUGAGGAGCAGAGAGGAGGUGCCAUUCUCUGUCUUUGUAUUACCUGACACCUGUUAGGAGUUGAACAUUAUGAUUACUGUUUUAGUGGUUGGAAAGCAAGUGCUUGGAUAUAGAGGCGGGGCACAUGUGUGGCUGAGCAGUUGUGACAGUGGCACUUAUGAAUUAUCACCACAUGAUAAGGAUCUGUCUUGUCAUCUUCUCAGGGAUAACUACCUUGUUCUCCAGUGGAGUUAUAAAAUAGAAUCUGUGCUUUGGUCCUGCUAAAUCAAACUUCUAGACCUUCUUGGUAGACAUGUUAAUGUGUACUGUGGUAUUCUAGUGCCUAUUUUGCAGGAUUAACUCUUCUACAAUAGUGAGCCGGUAUAUUACUUCCUCAGUUGUUUACGAUUUUUGAGAAGAACAUGGCAUCGCUCUGUUUGGGUAAUUGAAUUUGGUAUCCCAAACCUAGUAAGUGUGGUGUAACUCCUUGCCAAAUGGGGAUGGAUAUAUACAAUUAUUACAAGCAGCCUAUAGCAGAUGUGUCAUAUUCUGCUGCACAGACAAGCUGCAAGUUGAGAAAUACAACAUUAAGCAACUGUGACUUGUAAUAGUUACUUUAUCAUAUUAAGUUUGGGCGUACAUUGAUGCUUGUUUUUCCCUACUUGUGGUUGUAAGUUUAUUGCGUUAUAUUUACCUGUUGAGUACUUUUGUCGUACAGGGAAGCUUUCAGGUAUUUCAAAUGGAUAUGAUGGAGAUCAGAAGAUGUUGAGGUCUGAUGCAUUGAAGAGUCAAAAUGACAAAGAAACACCACUGCCACCACCUCCACCGCUUCCGAAAAGGAUUCCUGAUUCAAGGGCGAAUCAGGGCCCAACUGUUGUUAGAUCUGAAGAGGAUGAUAUAUUUAUUGGUGAUGGUAUUGAUUAUUCAAUUCCCAGUAAGGAUAUGAGCCAAAGCCCUGUCUCAGAGGAUAUGGAAGAAUCUCCUCGGAACAAAGAAAGGGCAUCUUAUUUCGACGAACCUGUUUAUGGCCCUGUACCACCCUCUGAUCCCUCUCAUGGUUGGCAACAAGUGGUGAGUUUGUUUGUUUGUUUCUUGGAUUUUUGCUGUUGAUAAAUGGCAAGGCUAGAUAUAUUCAUUUUUUUUCACCAGAAUUGGCAUUUGUUGGCUUUUAGAAUCUUUCUUUGUUUUCUAUUCCCCUGCAUCUUUCUCUCUCUGGUGAGGGGGUGGACCUCGACUGAUGCAAAUUCGUUAUACAUCUACCUAGAGAGUGUUUGACCUUGUGUUCUGAUUUUUUUAGAGUGGAUAUGAUGCUUUGCAAGCACAAGCAUUGGUUGGUGGCUAUCAGACAGAGUGGCAAGAGUAUCAAUAUGCAGAACAACUCGCUUAUCCUGACCAAUAUCUCCAGCAAAACCUUCAGGCUUACGAUGUGCAAGCAGGUCUAAAUGUGCUUCAGGACCCUAGAUUCAUGACUCAAGAAGAAAAAGAUAGGGCUUGGGUUCGGUGUUCAAGAGGGAUGAUCAGAGGCUUCUGCAGCUAAGGGAGAAAGAUGCACGGGAGAAGGACCCCAAUUUUAUAUCCGAGAGUUAUUCCGAGUGCUAUCCUGGAUACCAAGAAUAUAAUCGUGAGAUAGUCGAUAGUGAUGAUGAUGACGAUCUAUCAAAAAUGGAUAUGGGUGGAAGGGUAAGUGUAUCAAAUACUAGGUUUGACUGGUUGAUGCCUGUAGUGUUAUCCUGCUGUAAUCCAUAUUUAUGGUGCUCUGUCUUUUUAGUCAUGUCUUAUGAUGUACUCGUUAGAUUUUUAAUUGACGUAGCUUUAUGUGUUAAUGUUCUGGUGACAAUUAGAUAGUUGACGCUGUUGAUACUGAUUUUUUGACAGGCAAAGGGGCGGCUUCAUCGUUGGGACUUUGAAACUGAAGAAGAGUGGGCUACAUACAAUGAGCAAAAGGAAGCAAUGCCAAAAGCUGCUUUCCAGUUUGGUGUGAAGAUGCAAGACGGUAGGAAGACACGAAAGCAGAACAAAGAUCAGAAACUUACAAACGACCUCCAUAAGAUAAACCAAAUACUGACCAAAAAGAAGAUGGAGAAGAGAGCAAACAACGAUGGAGCAAGCUAUGAUGAUGAACCGCGCUCUGGAAAGAAGCUCCGAAUAUGAAGCACAGAAAUAUCUUUUAUUUCUUACUCAAUGGCGUAGAAUGUUAUACUCUGUAUUAUCAAGUUGGAUCUGCCUGAUUCAAUCGUCUAUGAAUAGUUAUCCAUCAAUGCAUCCUGGAAAUAAUCCGUCCUCUUUCUUCUUCCCAUCUGUUCCAUCAGCGCAGCAUUCGACAUUCUCCGCUAUUUGUACUAGUUCAAGGUCACUGCCUGAUUAGAAGUGCUCUGUAUAACUACGCAUGUUUCAAACCGAAAGGUCGAAUUUAAAAGCAGGGUCGCUUAUGAGGAGGUUUUAGUUUCGAGUUUUUGGAAAUGUGAUGGUUGUAUUUAUUGCUCGUUCUCAGUUUCAUCCUUUCCCUUCCUACUUGAUUACUUUCUGUAGAUUUUACUCCAUUAUUCUCGAUGUGAACGUUACUGAUGGAAUGCAGUUGGUGCAUGCGAGGAAUUGAGGAUUGUGUUAAAAUAUUCGGAAAGUUCAUGUUUCAGUAGGUAACUGGUAAACCACUGAGCUUAGCUCAAUGGCUACCAGGAGGGACUUAAGUCCCUUCUUAGGCUGUAAGCGAGAGUUCAAAUUUUACCUGCAGCAAAAAAAAAUUUAAAGAGUAGCCAUAGCACUCUCUUGGUCUAGUAGUGCUAUAGCACUCUCUUGGUCUAGUUGGAUUUGUAUAUUUACUAAUCUCUAGCAGCAGUUUGCGCCCUAGAGUGAAAUAACAUAUAAAAACUUGAUACCAUUUUGAAGAUGAAAAUUUUGAUCUUCCACAAAGAUUGUAUUAAACUAGUGUUAAGGACACAUCAAUGUGCGUGCAAUUUAAAAAAAUUAAAAUGAAUUUAUUUUAUACAAAAUUUGUCUUUUACAUAAAUCAAAUCGGUAUAAAUUUUUAUUAAAGAAUUUUGGUUAAUAAAGUUAUAAUAAUUUGAGACUUAGAUUAGUGUAGUUAUGAAUAGUUAUAAUGGCAAAAUGUGAUUAAGGGAUAAGGGAAAAGUUAAUCUUUUAUAAAGGUAAAGCUAAAAAUUGAAAAAAUGAUUAAAAUUGUUUAUAUCAGAUGGUAUCUCUCACACUUCAUAUACUGUAUAAAUAGUAUGUAUUAUUAUUGCCAAGUGUCAACGUCAAAGGGCAUGAAAUACGUUUAAGAACAGGGAAUGGAAUAUAAAAGUCCAUAGAUGUUUCCUAGCACAAUCCACAUAUCGAUCCUUGUAAACCCCAUGAUCUUUUCAUCGCAAAGAAAAAAAAUUGUUUCCAAAAAUAUUUCUGGUCUAAUUUGUCCGAGUGAAAAUCUUUAAAUCAAACUUAAGGUCUAAAAAAUCAAAAAAAAAACUUAAGGUCUAAGACACAAUUUUGAGAACUUUGGAGGGCAUCAUAGCAGCUUCAUUUUAUCGAUAAGCCCCAAAAGCAGGAAGGGGUUUAUCUUUUAAAAAUCCGAAAAGGAAAAAACAAAACUACCCAGACCCGAAUUCUUCUGCUCAUCCAAAACCACUGCAGUACGCAACUCGGAUAAGAGUUUGUCAAUUUUUUCACCAUCUCUGCUUCAAAUAUAGCAGAAAUCAAAAGCUCUUACGCCAUCACUAUUACAGAGAAAAAGGUAAAAAUUCUUCCAUAUGAUUUUGGAUUUCUAUGUUUUUUUUCCUCGUAUGUCUUUGUGACCUGCACUCUUCUCUGUUGCAUAUAUAUUAAUAACCCUAGGAUCUUAACUGAAUUUCGGUUAAUAAGAUUUGGCACAAAACCCUAAUUUGAUUGGGCAAGUAAUUGGUCCUCCGUUGAUUCUGAAUUUGUCAACCACAGUUGUCGAAAUUCCUACAGCUGAAAGCUCGAACAAAUUGACCCAACCAUUUGAGUCAUUGACUUCAAAAAUUAGGUCUCGCGGCAGCUAGAAGAGUCUGCCCCACUACCGCCCCUGUUCGUUUAAUAUUGGGUGUGUUCAUGUAAGUGUUUCUUGUAAUUUAUGUAAUGCGGAUUAGGAAUCUGCAUCCUUCAUUCUAGUUGAUGGGUAAUCUUUGAGAGAAGGGCGUGCAUCCUUCAAAGCAACCGAAGGACGGUGCUUAACUCUUUAUUUUAUAUAUAUAUAUAUAUAUUUACGUGCUUAACUUUGAUCUUCCGUAGCCAUCUCCUCCCUUGAGUUGCCUUUCGUUCUUUCUUUCCUCCCUUUCCGCUUCUCUCCAAAUUUUACCACCACCACCAGUGCAUAUGAUAUGAAAGCCUUCUCGUCUUCCUCGCCCUUUUAUUUUUCCUUCUCGUUCUCUUGAAUCUCUGCCACCCACUUGCUGUUUACUUAAGAGUCUUCAAAGAGAGAAUUUUGGGUUAAAGGUUGAUUUGUUAUUUCUGUCUUUCUGUGCAAUUUCUCAUAAAUUGGAUAUGGGUAAGUUAUUUAUUUAUUUAUUAUUUGUUUAUACCCUAAAAGCCUCCGAAAAUCAUCGUUACCUCCGUUCAUGGAUAUCUGGUGAGUCAAUGAGGGUUGAAUUGGUGGACUCGGAUGCUCUUUUGAGUUCUGAAGCCAACUCACCCAAAGAGUCUGAACGAGUUUCCACUGGGCCUACUGUCUUUGGGGUAGGGCAGACCAGUUGCGCAAUGGAGGUGGAAGUUCUGGUGACGACUUGGCUGGACCGAGCCUUUGAACGGUUUGGACACUUUAUGAGUUCGGCCUGGAAAAUGUUUUUGUGGGGAGGGCAAAUUAAAUGAGAAAAGAGACGACCAUAUGGUUGUAACCAAUUUAUGGCUGUUGAUACUCACAGAUUUAUCUUAAAGCUUCUGGCUUUAUUGUGGACUAUUGUUUGACCUUUUUAAGUUCUUGUUUACUACUUGAUUUCCUAUUGAAACUUCUAGUAACUUUACUUCCUCUUCUAAUUGGCAGUGUUCUUUCUUAUUUCAACAAUUUCCACUGCAAGCAGGUGUAUCAGGAACAAUGCCAUAUUCCUCGAUUUCAAAUUUAGACAACAAGAAAAGCAAGUUCAAAUAUAUUGAUGACUUCAAUGAUACUGCUUGGCCUGUGCCUGGAAGCCAGAGCGCUAGCCCUUCCAGCCCAAGUUCCUUGAAGCAAGGUAAUCUAUACAACUUUCCAUUUGAGGCUGAAGACCUUUUGGAUGGAGGUUAUGAAUCCAGUGAUGAUCGCUAUAAGACUGUACAGCGUAAUGGUCCUCCUGAGGUGAACUUGAAAAAUGUUUUGAGUGGUAUUUUUGCCAUUUUGACUGGUCGGAAUAAAAGUCUGAAUGCUGCCGGAAGUCUGCAAUUCUCUAAUUCGAAUGUUUCAUUUCUUGGGUCUGCGAAGAAUGGGGAUGCGGUAUUGCACUCAUCAGUUUACAUACCGAGUGCACCACCACUUCUUGAGGCAACUGCAUUUAACUAUAGUGCUUACAAAGAUGUGUUGGAAGCUGAACCUCCGGAGUGGCUUCCAGACAGUUCCAGUACUGUGUGCAUGCAGUGUAAUGCUCCAUUUACUGCUCUUACACGUGGAAGACAUCAUUGUCGAUUUUGUGGAGGGAUCUUCUGCAGAGCAUGCUCAAAAGGAAGGUGCUUAUUACCUGUUAAGUUUCGGGAGAGGGACCCGCAAAGGGUGUGUGACACCUGCUAUGACAGGCUUGAUCCUUUGCAAGGAGUACUCAUCAACACCAUCAGCAAUGCAGUUCAGGUUGCAAAGCAUGAUGUGAUGGAUUGGACUUCAAUGAGAGGGUGGCUAAAUCUUCCUGUUGGCUUCUCCAUGGAGCAAGAGAUAUAUAAGUCUGCCAAUACAUUAAGGAAUUACUGCCAGGUGGUGUUUCAAUAUUUUUACUUGACUAUGUUGUUGUAUUCUGUAAGUUUAGUAACCUUUUUUUUGAAUGUGCUCUCAUUCUGUUGAGAGGAGCAAAGGUCAUGUGUUUUAAAGUUAUUGUUGUUUGUCGUCCUUGUAGCAAAUUUUCUACUCCUGGGCUUGAAAAGAAACUUAUCUUCUUGUCUUGUCAAGAGGACAUGCAUGAGUAUGUUUUACCUUGAAUGACAUCAUUUAUUUUACAAAUACAUAGAAUAUAAUUGAGAGUUCUCUUAAUGGACAGGUUGCUCGCUUGAAUCCUGAGAAGUCCAUUCCUGCAGCAAUUCUGGAAGGGGCAAAGGUUUGGCAAUCUGACGGUGGCUAAAGGUGGGGUGGUACUUGCUUAUAAACUUGGAACUGGCUUGGUCAUUGCUCGAAGAGCCGAUGGAUCAUGGUCAGCUCCAUCAGCUCUGCUUUCUGUUGGCCUGGGAUGGGGUGCGCAGGUAUAGCAUCAACAAAGAUUUUUUCUUCCUUCAUUUUAUCCCCCCCCCCCCCCGGGGCUGGGGCUGGAGGAGUGGAGGAGGUCUCUUCUUGAAAAUCAUGUUAUUUGAGAUUCAGAAUUUGUUCUGUUUAUUAUGCUUUUUAUGUUGUGUUAUUGACAGUUGUAAAUCAUACAUGUGAUAUCCUCAAUGGGCAGAUCAAAAGAUCAUAAUUUUGCAUUUUCUGAUACAAGGAUUCCUCAGUUCUUUUCUUUUGAAUAUCUUGAUUUAUCCAAAUGAGUCGAGAGUUUACUUUGAUUGGUCAAGCUACUUCAUUUUGCCAUUUUCUCCAGAUUUAUUGAAAGCUUCUCUUGUUACAUGAUUUUUGCUCGCUGCUGUUUACUUUAGCAAUUGUUGUAGCGUGUAACUGGUAAUGAUUUUCUUGUGUCUGUAGGUUGGCGGCGAACUCAUGGACUUCAUUAUUGUACUACACGACUCAAAAGCUGUGAAAACUUUCUGUAGUCGAAUGCAUUUCUCUCUUGGUGCUGGAUGCAGUGCUGCAGCUGGACCAGUUGGGAGGGUUUUUGAGGCAGAUAUGCGAGCUGGAGAGAGGGGCUCUGGCAUGUGUUAUACUUACAGCUGCAGUAAAGGUAAUUCAUUUUGGUGGCACCCUAGCAUUAACAAUAUACCAUACAGACUGAAAUGCUACUAGUUCUGAGAAUAGACGUAGUAGGAUGCUUAGAGAUGCUAACUCUGAAAUUUGGUUGGAUUUAACAGCCUACUUUUCCGCUGAGAAUGUACUCAUUGUUUUUGAUAUCCUUGUGCAAUAGAUUGACCAAACCUUCAUUCUGAUGUUGCUUGUUAUGUCUCAGGUGCAUUUGUAGGUGUUUCACUGGAAGGGAACAUAGUCUCAACUAGGAUGGAUACAAACCUUUGCUUCUAUGGUGAUCCUUAUCUUACUGCAGCUGACAUCCUUCUUGGAAUAGUGGACAGACCUAAGGCUGCCGAACCCUUGUAUGCAGCUCUCCAGGACCUUUAUGCAAGCUUCCGAUGCUAGUGGCAUCUUGAUGUUAUAAUUAUAUUUACCUCCAAUGUGUUCAUGGCGUUCCAAUUCUCGGAUAAGAAGCUGUACAUACCAUGCUUCAUGGGUGGAAAAUCCUCACCUCCAGGACAAAGAAGCAACCUGCGCUCCCCCUAUUAUUCAUGCACAUUAGGGUUCGUCAUGUUCAUUUGUUAUUUAUCAUUGGAUGUACAGUUAGUGAACCAGCUGUCUUCACCUGUGUAUAUAUAUAGAUGAUUCUUAUACGUGACGGUACAUAUUUUGGUAAAAAAAAAAAAAAGGAAGGUUCAGUUUAAACUUGAAAGUGUUUGUGUGAUGGUCUAUGCUCUGUUCUUUCCGUGGGAUAAUGCGGAGCCACCUGCUACAUCGCAAGAACUCUUGGGAAAGUUGAGAAAUGGAGUGGCAGUAUUGAUGGGCCAAAUCAAAGCCCAUAAACUGUGUCAUUUCGGCGGAUUUAAACAAGCAUCAAGCAAAUUUGCAUUUGGGCUUUAAUAUGAAAUAUGAACGUGUAUUGGCAGUUUGUUCAUUUCUGAUUCCUUUCCAAUUCGUCCAAACAAACGAUAAGAGAAGGGUUGGUAUCAUUGCUUUCCAAACCCUCCCUCCAACCCCCACCGCUCUUAAAUUUACUUUUAUUUUUUUUAGAGGAUUCGGGGAAAAUUCUUUCAGCGAUUAACAGUUUGCAUCCUGACUUAUCAAUUAUGGCACUGAAGAACAUUUUACUAUGAACUUCUAUUUCAAAAAUUUACUAAAAAUCAUUAAAAUAUUUUCAUGCUAUUUUUUUUUUUUGAUUGAAAGUGCUUAUAAACUAAUAAGAGCAUUUUGGUGGGAUGACUCAAAUUAAGGAACCUAAAACCUCUUCACUAAAAACCGUUAAGCAUGUCUAAUUGAUUCUGGGCUUGUUUGAACAAUGUGUUGUUAGCAUAAGAUGAUAAAAUAAAUACUAAUAAAAUGCUUCAAAAAGGCUGGGGGUAUUAAAAUAGUACUAAACUUAACAGUAAUUUCUAUUGCAAAAUGAAGAUAAAUAAUUGCAGCGAGGUGUUCGUUUAGUAAAUGUCUCAACUUUUCCUUUUUUUCACUUAAAAACUUCCGAGGUACGGCUGUCCUCAGGUGGCGACUACAAUUGAAAACAGCCCUAGUUUAAAAUCAUUUUUCAAACCCCAUCUCACGGCACCAACCACAACAGCAGCAGCAGCAUGGGGACUAAGGCCCCGGAGGUUGUGAUUCUCACCGAAGAUCUUAAGAAUGGCUAUGAUGAUGACGAUGAUGCUGAUGUUUCUGUACUGUAUGCAAAACCCUUCUCUCGCAAGGAGGGAGUCAAUCCAGAAAACCCCAUCUCAGUUGAAAGCUACUCUGAUGACAGAGACCUCCAGCUCGCCAUAAUGGCCUCUCUUCAACCUCAAUCAAAGAGUAGCAGCAGCGGUAUUCGCAUUAUUAGUAGCAGUACUACAAGUGGUAAAACUAAAAGGGUCAUUGAUCUUUCCCAAGAUUACUUCAUUUAUGAUCUUGAUGAUGAUGAUGAAGUUCAAUUAAUUGGCCUAUUUUCCACAACUCCAAGGAAGAAGCUUUUCACAGGCGAGUCUUCCAAUUCUAAGGCUACAGCCAACAAUGAUCAUGAUAAUGUCGAUAGCGGUGAUUUGUUGAUUUACUUUUAUGUGUGAUAUCUGUGUUGAUGAAAAGCCAAAGGCUGCAUUGUUCUGCAUAAAGGGUUGCACUCAUUCUUAUUGUUCUGAGUGUAUGGCUAAAUAUUCGCCUCAAAGUUGCAAGACAAUAUUACUAGUAUUUAUUGUCCGGUUCCUGGGUGUAAUGGGAGGUUAGAGCCUGAAUAUUGCCGGUCUAUAUUGCCUGUUCAAGUUUUUGAUAGGUGGGGUGAUGCGCUAUGUGAGGCAUUGUUAUUGGCUUCUGAGAAAUUUUAUUGCCCCUAUAAAGAUUGCUCCUCGCUUUUGGUGGAUGAUAGAGGGGGCAGUGAUGAGGCUAUUACACAUUCUGAGUGCCCGGAGUGUAGGAGAUUGUUUUGUGCAAAGUGCAGGGUACCUUGGCAUUCGGAGAUUUCCUGUGAUGAGUUUCAAAUGUUGAAUAAGGACGAAAGGGAAAGAGAGGAUAUUCUGCUAAUGAACCUGGCCAGGAGCAAGAAGUGGAAAAGGUGUCCCGAGUGCAAAAUUUUCGUUGAGAGGAUUUCCGGGUGCUUGUUUAUGAAAUGCAGGUAGUCAUGAGUUUUGUUGUGAUAUUCUUGAGUUCUAUUUGAAAUUAGUCUUGUUGUAAUCUCUCAAUUUGCAGCUUCAAUUGGCAAUUCUCUUUAUCUGUCUUUAACUUGGAUUGUUGCCAUGUUUACAACUCCUUUAGAUUUGAAUUUAUUCUUGUAGAUAUGGAUCUGUAUGUUCCGAAAUUACAGAAAUUUACAUCUCAUACAAGAUUGCAUACUUAAAAUGAUUUACUAUGCAAACAAGAUAUGAACUUCUUUCUGAGUAGUGUGAGAUCUUGAAAUCUGAUUGACAUAUAAUGCUUUUGUUAUUGUCAUCAGUAACUUCUAAGCUGCUUAGGCGACUUAACGUGAAAGCAGUAGGUGGCAAACUGGCAAAUACGUCAUUGCAGACUCAGAUUUUGGGUAGUGGAAAAGCUAUUUUUAACCAAUGUACUUAUCCUCAAAAUUUGUAUAUUAAAUUCUUUUUGACUUCUAGGAGUCAUUUUUUGUAUUAGGCCAAUUUGACGGACCCCUCUCCAUUGUGUUAGAUCAUAUUACUUCAAAAGAUAUCCUAAUAGAAUUCAGCAGUUUGGGGAUUUUUGAACUGAAAAUUAGCUUAUGCCCAAUCUCAAGACAGUUAAGCAGGUCAUUCCUUCAGCAAUUAUGAGAACAAUGAGCAUGUCUUAAUGAAGAAUAAGAAGUAACUAAAAUUUUUCCAUUUUCUUUUACCCCUUUCCUGUCUUCUUUUUUUCUUGUCCCUCUUUUGAGUUUUUUGGCACCUUGAUUUUUAAGUCCAUCCAUCCUGAUUCUGUAAUCCAACCUACAUGCCAAUUUGUGAUCCACUUUUAGACACAAAAGGGAAUGAAAAGAACCUCCUUGGAAAGGCUAUUAUCAUUUGUAUCUAGCUUGUCGGUAAGUAAAGUUAAUACAAGGCAUGCUUAAAGCUUCUCAAAGCUAUUUUUUGUUGUACCAUACUAAUACCAUUAAUCAGUUUGAAAAAUAAUAAAUUUGCUUACUGUAUUUUUGAAAUUUUGUGUAUUUUUGCUGUACUGUGCAAAAGUUUUGAUUUUGCUCAUAUUCACCUGCAUUUUUGGUUUUUUUUUUUUAAUAUUUGGAAAGAUGCUAAUUAACUAUAAUAUGGGGGAUUGCAGGUGUAAAUACACAUUUUGUUACAACUGUGGAGCUCAAAUGGGCACUAAUCAUUACUGUGCCAAUUGUAAGCAUUAGCUUAGAUCCUUCUGCAGAUUGUGGAUGGUGGGACAUUGUACUUUUUGUAUAGCAUAUAUCUUUACUGUUUUUGGUUCCCUCGGAAUAAUGAAUGAAUAGUAUCUUGGGCGCAUUUUGCUGAAAAGUUUUCCUUUUCUUUGAUAGUCUUGGAAGCAUCUGCCUGGAUAAAAUAUAUUUGUAUAGUGUCCAAGAAGCCACAGUAAAAUGCCUGAGUCCUUUACCUGGCUUCUUGUUAUUUACUCAUAAUAGGAGUUUAAAGCUGUGUAAGCUAUCUCCUGAUUGUCAUGUAGUGUAUCCAAAUACCAGGUGGAGCGUAUAUUUUGCUGACAAUAUUAGAGCGGAUGCACCAUCAUGACUGAGUGUGAUUGUAAAGGCUGAGAUAAAAACUUCUGCCAGGCUAGGUUUCCUGACUCCUUGAUCACAUGAUGGAUCUUGGGUAAGGUUACAUGUUGUGAUUUUCGGAGAUGGAAUAUUUGGUUGCAGAAUUUGCUGAAAGCAGCUUGGUUUUUGUGCUUGGUUAUAGGUUGGUUUUGGAUAUUCGUUCCAUUUGAUCGUAGGAAAAUUGUUUUGCAUGAUCUUUCCAGUUUUUUGUCUUUGACCAAGUUACAUGGGUACUAGUCAUGAGCGAUAUGUCUCUUACAGUGUUUAACAUUAAUUUUGAUUCCGGACCUGAGAUCCGUUUCAUGCAGCUUGGUACACACACACACACCCCCUUCCCCUCCCGGGAACCUGUUCUUCCACUUUUUUGACUAUUGGUGACUAGUUUUUAGAUUAUAAUCAGAGUUGGAUGGUUUCACAUUGAGUUGUAAUAGAUCUUUUUCAAGCUUAUAAUGCUUGAUACUUCUAUGUUAUGGAAUCAGCAAUUAAUUACCUUAAUUCUUUGUCCCCAAAAUAACACGAGCAAACCAUAGAAGUCGGCUUUCAAUCCUCAGACUGCAUAAGUAACUUUUUAUGCACUGAAGGUUAGAGAUACAAUUUUGAUCUGUCUCUUCCAUGGAAGGUAUACAAUAAUUGCUGGAGACAAGUUCUUGUUGAUGUUUCUAGACUAUCUAUUUCUCCAUGUUUGCAAUGGUUGUAAGCUGAAGUGCUUUCUUUCUUGAAAUGAACUCCUAAGGGCUAAGACUAAAUUACGUCGCUAGGGAUGAAAGUUGACCUUGAAAGUGCAUCAAUGGCUUGUUCAAGUUCAUAAGUGGUCUGAUCAAGCAUUUCCAUGCAAUCCCUAAGUGCAUUCUGCUGCUGUGCAUUCAAUUCUUGGUUUUCAAAAUGAGCCACGCUUGCAACUUGGGUAUCCAACACAUGUUCCUUGGUUUGAUUGAUAGCAAACUCAAGAACAUGAUGGAAAGUUACGGUUGUGUUGGAGGGAGGAAUGGAAGAGAGGGUGGUGAAGCACAAAGAAGAGUAAAGAGUUUUAGUGCAAGCUUUUUUGAUCACCGAACUCAGAGGAGUAUGCAAACUCGUGGGUCUUGGAUGGUGAAUUCUUGCACUUCUUGAAGAUGGGGGAUUCAUGAAAACUAGAGCAGCCAGAACUGCUAUCAGAGCGAGGAAGACCGUGAUUGCGAUCGCUUCCUUCCGGGCUUCUUUAAGAUCCCUCAAUGUUUGGGAUGAUUGAGAGCGAGGCCAGUUAAGAUUAAAACUUCUAUAAAGAAGCAUGAUCAGCCAAUUAAAGAUUCGAAAGAGGUGAAUAGCUGAAGUUCAGUGGGGCAAAGUCGGAUGGCGAAAAGGGAGAAAAAUGGGAAUCUUGAAUUUGUUGACUGUUACAUUAGCUAAGUGGCAUGUGAUGGCAAUUUAAGGCGGUUGCUGGCAAGAAUAUAGGUGAUGCUGUCUUGUGUGGUAUCGCAAAAUGGACCGAGUAUCUAAUCCAUUCCCACAACAGAAGCGCAGAAGCCCAAAAAUAAAAAAAUAAUAAUGUCGAAAUGGAAGGUAAAUUGAUCUUAUUACAAAAUGACAUUUGAAAAUGCCCAAUUCCUCGCACUACCAAAAAGCAGGAAAAGAAAAGGAAAUGGCAAACAACCCAACGAAAAUGACCUACAAGAAGGACCUAAUUGACACUUGAACAGGGACUAAAAAGACACAACCAACCAACAAUAAAGAAAGGCAAGACUGGCAGAAGUAACAAAAACACAAUCCUCUUCUUUUUACACGAUCUCAAGCUCUUUUAUUUUAUUCGUCUCCCUCCCGCUGCUUCCAACUUUUUCUGCCGCAAACUCUUACUGAUCAACAGCCAAUGGAACAGCUUCAGCCUGGAACCCAAAACAGACAACACGAUUGUUAGAAGAAAUGCUUUUGAAAGAGGAGAGCUGAACAAUGCAGAUUCAUCAACUCAAGACCAGAUAACUUACCAACUUGCGAUACUUGAGAGCAUAAAACAUUUCCAGAUAACGGCGGAUCUCCUGGCGAUCAAGCUUGGAAACACAUUUCCAGAAUCCAUAAACUCCAGCCAGCGUCAGCAACCGAUCUGAGUAAAUUUGCCAGGUGUACCUUCGGAUUUCAAACAGGUAAAAGUCAUUUUAGCUGCCAACUAUAACUGAACUAAUUUGUACAGAGUAAUGUAGAAGAUCGUUGUGAAAUUGCUUGCUUACUUUUCCUGGAUACGCUUCAAGCCACCGGCUGAAAUGGUGUCCCAGUAAGAAGGCUCUUUCUUGCACCUUUCAAAGAAAUUGGCAAGGAGCUCGCUGACCUGCUCACCGUGGUAUGGAUCAAUGUGGAAACCAGAUUUCCCAUGAAUAAUGAUCUCAGCAGGACCACCAUGGUUGGUUGCAAACGUUGGCAAACCACAUGUCAUGGCCUCGACCACAGUCAACCCAAAUGCCUCAUAAAAUGCAGGUUGCACGAAUGCUCCCUUGGUGUCAGCAAUGUACCGAUAGAGUUCACCAUUUCUAACCCUGUUCAUCUGAGAAGAAAUCCAUCUGAAUUGGCCGUUCAAGUUGUAAGUCUCUAUCAAUGAAUACAUUUUCUUCAUCUCAGCUUGUUCUUCCAAAUCUUUGGAUUCCUUCCUUCGGUCUCCACCAACCACGACAAGAUUAACCAAUUCCCUUAGUUUUGGGUUCUUAGCAUACAAUUCAACAAGCCCUGUCAAAUUCUUUACGCGAUCCAGUCUUGCCAUGGUGAAUAAGAUAGGCUUCUUUUUGUCUUUUAGCACACAUCUGUCAGAUAAAAACAUGUUGAUGAGUACUUCAGAGAACUUAGUAGUAACUAAUCCAUUAGUACAGGAAAGAGAUAGAUAUUUACAGGUGUUCCUCAUUCUCCACAUCGCUGAAAAGCAACUCCUCAAUUUCAGGAUGGAAGGAUGUCAAUCUCUUUUCCUUCUCUGUGUGUGGGUAGUAGAGGUUUGUAUCAGCUCCAGGUGAGACAAUGUUGAAUUUUGGAUCAAAAACAUCAAUGCCAUGCACAACUCUGUAUAAUCCUGGCAUUGUGAAGGCCAUAUGGCUUUCAUAUUGCCCAACAGUGUCCUUGCUGAAAAAAAAAAAAAGAAACAAAAAAGGCAAUCAUUAUCAGAGGGAUUAAGAUGCAAAGAUUAAUUAGUUACAAACAAGGAACUUCAAUGUACCUUCCAGCUAUUUCUUGGAAAGUGCUAGUGAUAAUGAAAUCUGUAUGGUUCAUUGCGAUAAGAUCCGCAGUGAACUGGCAUGAGAAGUGGUACUUCUCAUCAAAUUUGCUCAAAUAAAUAUCAGAAUCAGGAUACUUGGUUUUUUCCAAAGCAUGAGCAAUGGUACACUGCAAAGAUAACACACCAAAGCAUUAAUCAUCUUAUUUGCAAACCAAAGAAAAGAAAGUAACACUUAAAGCAAUGAGAACUGUAGCACAGACCUGUGUUACACCUAACUUGUGAGCAAGCAAGGAGGCAACAAGGUUACCCUCACUGUAGUUACCAAUAACCAAAUCUGGCUUUGCCUGUAAUUCUGCAGUGACUUCUUUUGCAACAUCCUGAUAACGGAGAAUUCAGAAAGAUGGUUAGAUAGCUCAUGUAUUUAGAAAAAACUCAAUGACCAAGGGAUCUGUGAAAAACAAAGGACUCACCUCAGUAAAUGUUUCCAUGUAGGGCCAAACUUCAAAGCGAGAGAUCCAUUUGCGAACAACGCCCUUCUCAGUUCUGAAGGGGACUCUGAGUAUAUGGGAGUACUCUGAUCCGUAUACUUUCUCAAGCCGUUGACCACAAGUGGUUCCAGGGGCAUCAGGUAGCAGCCUAGUUAUCUAGGAGAAGAUGAAAUUGAUUGUUAGUCCAGUUUCACUUGAGAAUUCACAACUUUGAACCAAAAAUCUAAACGGUAUAGAGCACUCACAAUUAGAAUGCGUGGCUUGACAUCAAGUCCUUGUUCCUUUAUCCUCUUCAGCAUCUCACGCUCCAAGGCAGGAACUUGAUCCAAUAUGUAAACAACCUGCAAAUCCAAAAAAAAAAAAUGUCAAUCUAAGCAUCCUGGCACGUUAUUAAAGUGGGAUUCAAAGAGUUUAAUCAAGAACAUACCUGGCCACCGGUAUCAGGAUAACCCAAUACGUUUUCCUGGGCAAAGUAUCCAUGGGGGGAAAGAAUAACAACAUUGAAUACCAUAGGGAUUCUCCCUAGGAAUUUCUCUAGUGUGCACGAGUCAGGAGCCUCCAGAAGAUCCAGAAGCAUGCAGAUCAUUUCCAAGACACGCUCAGCAGUAUCACCCCAACCUCUCUCCAGUCCAAUUUCUUGGAAUUUGUGCUCGAAUUCAGAGUAUGGUGUAUCUGCAGAGAGUGUUGUUAGGUACUCCUCUGCCUUCCUCAGAACUGCUUGGAGAGUGUUAAGGUCCUUGAUCCUGUCGUUAAGCAUCAUCGUCUGCAGAAGGAUUCCAAUCUAUCUAUUAAAAUAUGCUGAAAACAUGUCGAAAAUUAUAUAAUUCUCACAAGCAAAUAUAAAUCAAGUAGCUGCAACAUCUUGACUUUCUUAGAACAUUUUUACAAUAAAGAAAACAAUGAUGAGACAGUGAAGUUAUGAGAAGGCUACCUUGCCCUUGUAUUGGUGAACACGGAGAAAAUCAAGGAGAGGGGCCAUGCUCUCCUUGUCAUGGAACAUUUUGGCAGAGAGGUGCCUGUUGAGGAACUCAACUCCGUCACCUAUGUACUUAGUUAGAGUUGGCUUGGGAAAAGAUGCUGUAAAUGGUUCGAAGUCCAGUUCCAAAACAAAAUUCCCAUUUUUGCUGCAUUAACACAUCGCAUUAAUUAAGCAGAAAAACAAAGGGAUUGAUGUAGUCAUUAACCGAGUAAAAAGUACCAUAUAAAGUCCAAGACCCUUAUUUACCUUCCAUCAACGAGUUCUUCCUUGAAAUGCAGGUACUCUGGCACGGUUAACUCCUCAACAACGAGUGCAUGGACAUUGACUCGAACAUACUCCCAGACACCAGGUCUGAGACGAAUAGCAAGUGCAACCCAGGGGGGCAACACAAUUGCUUCCUGGAAUAGUGAAGACCGUUUAACAGAGUUGCUUUCUAGUAAUUAACAGGUUAGUCAUAGACUGUAAAAACAAUUCUACCUGUGUGGACUUCAGGACUUCUUCAAAGGCAUGAUCAUGAAUUUUUUGUUUACCAUCCUUGUUAAUUUCUUCAAACUCAGCCAAAAGUUGGUGGGGUUUCAGGAUCCCUUUCCCAUGGGUUUCAAGCCUGCAAACACAAAAAGCCAGUUUAAUGGUAAUAAUAGUAGUACUACCCUCUCUUUGCAGUCAAUCAACAGUAGUAAAUCUAAACCAUUAGGCUGUUUAGCCCCAGUAAACAAUAUACCUCGACAUAAACAGCAAAACAUCGUUGCGGUGGGCAGCCAAAGUAGCAUCAAGGCGUUCACGGAGGCUGUGAACACGGGUCAGAACACGUUCGGCCAUGGCAGUUGAUGGAUCGACCAACGAAAUCUCAGACAGGUUUCAACUGCAAAACAAAUAACAAUUCAGAUCUCAUCUUAUCCAAAAUAGAUUCCUACAUAAUAUAACAAGAGAUUGACCCAAAAAGUCAAAUGAUCCCACCUAAUUCAUUCAAUCUAGAAUGUUAAAUAUUUCUAAACCUAACACCUCAACACAGUAGCCCAACUCACUUAUUUAGCAUACCUACCAACAUAUUGACCUGAAGAUUUUUUUUCCCCUCUUAGCAUAGGUUCUACCUGGGCAUUCAUCACAGGUUUGAUCACACCAUUCAACCAAAACAAAAUUAGAAACAAAAAAAAAAAAAAGUUGCAUGCGUGACAACCAAGAAUUGUUACAAAAUCUGUCACAAAUUCAAGGCUGCUAGUACAAGCAACAUUGCAAAACGAGCACUUUUUAAAUGUCAAACCCCAUGAUCAGAUCUGAAAGAAUUAUGCAUGCAAGACUUCAAUAAAUCCACUGAACCAGUUAGAAGCAAUAAUUGAAGCAAGACUGUAGAAUCACGCUUGCAAAACAAAACAGGAUUAGCUUUUAAAGCAUGAAUCACAGUGAUCCCGAACCAACUCAGGAUCUAUGUCCCUCCCACGACUCCGUAUGACAGAUUUCAGAGACUGAAACCUCUAGAUCCAAGAGCAGUUAGCUAUUGAAGUAGAAAAAACAAGUUUACCAGGAAAUUUUCCUAAGCAACAAAGCAGAACAACAUAUUGUGCAUAAGUUGUAAUGAUCAAGAUAAAUACACAACAUUAAAGAACAAAACUAUGCAAAAGAUUCUCGGCAGAAAAAGUCAGUAAACUUUAACAUGCAAAGAGUGAAACAGGGAACCAGCAACUGAAAGAAACAUGAAGCCAGAGAAAAAAGAGCAGAAACAGCCAGAGAGGGUAUGCAGAAAAGAUUAAAGAUGCUCACAUGAAAAACGUAAGAAACAGAGAAAACAACAAGUAUGGGAGAGAUGGGCACUGUUCUUCUGGCAUGAAUUUAUAGAAGAAACGAAGAAGAUGAGCUAAAGCUGUAGACGGUUAGACCCCCUCAGAAAUGGAAAUUUCUUGACGAAGAAUUUUCUGCAGAAUAUAUUAUAUUAAUUAAACAGAUCCUGCAUUCCAUUUUUACUUUAAAUCUUAAACUUGGAAACAAUAAAAAGAAAAAUCCGGGGUGAUCAUCUAGAAGCUCUUGAUUGAUCAUCCUUGCCGGAGAAGUUAUAUCUCCGGCGCCGACCAAGCGUAUAUUAGUCAAUGCGGAUUCGUUGACUAAUAAAUACUACUAUCGAGCAGAUUUCAGUUUUAGAGCAUUAGAAAUCUCCCAACUUCUUAAACAAGAAAUUUCCGUAGUCCUGCUCUUAUUUAUUAUUAUAUUAGUAUUAUUAUUACUUGCCAUAGAUGACAAAAGUUUCAAAGAGCAGAGAAGAAGAAAGAGGCAAGUGUCCGGUUUCCGGGGUCCGGCCAUUUUCUCCCUGGUAUCUAGCAACUCGAGAUCUAACAGAACCGACAAAUCAGCUCAAGGAAAGGAUACUGGAAGAGGAGAAACUUUUCCUCUUCUGAUGAAAAGAAAACGAAAUUUAAUCCAAGCCCAGCAGAAGAAUUUUUCCAGUGAAGAUCAAUCCGACCGACACAAGAAAAUGUUGCAUGCCAUGAGCAAAAAAUCAAAAUGUGACAUUAUUUAUUUAUUUUUACCUCACAGGAGAAAAAGUAGCUAGCACUGGAUUGAACGUGGAGAGAGAGAGAGAGAGAGAGAGCCCAAUGGAGCCCCCUCCUAAGAAAUAAAGAGCAAGAAACAGAGAAACGAAAGAACAAAAAAAAAAGAGUAACAGAGUAUACGAAAAAGAGAGAUGAAUGAAUUCAGCUCUGAUGGUGCUUCAACCUUCAAGCCAAGCGUGCCUUAUAUACACAAAAACCGUAUUAAAAAAAAGAAAAAAAUCUUCCAAUUAAAACAAUCUUGAUUAAGUCAUGAUGAUGGUUGGUCUUGGACAAAUAUCACUACCAUACUACGACUUAGUGGUCCUCGGUUUUGCCGAGAAGAGGCAAUUAAUUGUCCACAGUAUUAUUAUAGCAGUGGUGAACUUAAUCGUCCACCUUUCUUCUUCUCUUUCUCGAUCUGAUUAAUAAUAACAAUACCAGAGUACUACUAAUUUAUUCUGGUUCCUCUGUUCCUUUCGGGGAAAACCACUCGCCAUCCAUCCUGUGUAAGUAAACUUCUCCCGGUAAUCCAAAACCACCCCUGUUUUGCUGUUCACCAAUAAUAAUCCUGUGGACCCUUCAUUUGAUUAAUCAAUUUCAAUUUUUUUAAUCCCUGCGAGACCUGACUACUGUGGCAUUUUCUUUUCUUUUCUUUUCUUUUCUUCCGGAUUGAAUUGUACUGUUUUGUUUGUUUAUUCUAUGAUUAGUGUCACGCUUGUGUAAAAUCGUCACUCUCUACGUUAGAAGAACAGAGAAGAUAUUAAUUGUAUCAGUGUAAUAAUAAUUCAGUCCGGGAUAAGAAAGUUCUUGACUCGUCGGAUAAUAAUAGCAAUUUAUUAGUACGGGAAGUUUUUGGCAUUUUUCGUUUAUUUUAAGGUUAAAGAUUAUCGUUCUUCGUUCGUGUCAUGUGUAAUGUAGCAGCAAGCAGGAGUACGUGACUUCACACCUUCGAAAUCUUCUUGUUCCAGCAAGCUGUAUCAUCAUCAUGCCUUGUCUGGGUGACACACACGGGUGUCUAUUUUGGCGGGUAAAGGCUUCGAUGUUUUCUUGAGGGUAGCUUCGUCUUUGUGGCAGAUGUAUUCUUGGCUUGGGUACAACUGGUGGGGCUGUAGACCUUGUGAUUGACGCCUCAAGAUUUUAAGGGUCAGAUUGAAGAAUCAAAUACUACUACCCCCUUUUCCUUUUCCUUUUCCUUUUCCUUUUCUAACACAGCUGUUUGGAAACUAAUGACCGCAUGCUUAAAGAUUUAGCAAUUUAAUAAUAAUAAUAAUAUCUUUAUGUUUCAAUUUAGGGAAGCAAUUUCUCUUCUUUUUGUCCAAACCAUUUACCAUGUUCAUGUAAGGACAAUCGAAAAUACACAUAGUACAAAUUUUGUAGGGUCGAGUCGAGUCGAGUUUUGAGCUAAUCGAAUCGAGUCUCGAUUAAAUUUUAUCAAGCUCGAACUCGAGCUCGGCGAGCCAGUAAUUUUCGAGCUCGAGCUCGAGUUCGAAAAAAAUAAAAAAUUAAUUAUUUUAUUUUUAAAAAAAUAAAUAAAAUAAUAUUUUUUUCGUAAUAAAGAAUAAAAUAUUAAGGUCCAUAUAUACGUAAUUUUACUAUGAAAAUAAAAAAUAAAUAUAUAUAAUAUACAUAAUUUUAUUAUUAAAUAAAAAUUAUAUAUAUAUAUAUACUCAAACUCGCGAGCCGCCUUGCGAGCUAAUGAGUUUAAUAUUCUGAGCUCGAAUUCGAGCUCGACUCGAGCUUGACUCGAGUCGCUCGCGAGCGGCUCGAUUCGUUUGCAGUCCUAAAACUUUGCUCACAGAGAGGGAGGCUCUUGAAUCGACUCUCUCUUUCUCUGUCUAGCACUUUGGCAUUUUCCUUAUAAGAUUUAAAUGCUAUUGCAUUUAUUAAUCUAGUUUUGAUAAAGGAAAGUAACGAACUAUGUGGGCUUGGUCAUGUUUGGAUUGCAUUUUUUUGAAUUUUUUUUUAUAGAAAAAAUACUGUAACAAUUUGAUAUAUAUGAAAUAAAUUAAAAAUAUUGCUGUCCAUAGCAAACAAGGUUUUCUCUGCAUAUUAUUCUGUACAAAAUAAAUAAAGACAAAUGAAAUAUACUAGUAGCAUGUAAAUAUAUCUUUAAAGUGUGUUUGGAUUGCAAUUUUUUUAAAGAAAGAUUGUUACGUUUUCUGUUAACACAUUUUCAGUAAUCUUUUUACCUCACAUAUAUUAGAUCAUUAUAGUAAUUUUUUUUACAAAACGUUCAGAAAAAUUAAAUCCAAACAAAGCCUACAUACUUCCAAUGAAGAACGCUAUGCUAUGAUUUUAAGGUAUUCUCUUUUUUUUUUCCCCUUUCGAGAUAUUCUCUAUCUUGUACAUUGCAAAUCAUAUUUUCAUUAAUUGAUCUUUGACGAAUUGAAGUACUUUCUCUUGUUUCAGCGUCCAAGGUAUUUGAAGACAACAAAACACCCUACUGGUUUGAAGGUACUACAGCAUGUAAAUAAGUACUAGAAAAAUAUGAGUUUUGACGUUUGACUACACGGAUAUAGGAACUUUCUUGGCCUACAAGUAUAUCCAUUGCUGUGAGUAGCGUAGCUUUACUAAUUUGACAAUUCACCUAGAUUAUCGAUAUCCACCGCAGUUCAGAAUGGUCUAUGAUGGGGUUGAAGCAGCCAAGUAUUUGCUGGGCUGAUCUAAACAAUAAUAAUAAUGUUCAGUAGCAAGCAUUACAUAUUUCAUAUUUGGCUUUGGGUUGACGGUGAAGCACCGCCCGUGACGUUUGGUGGUAACCGAGAGGGUUUGAGGUCGGUCGUACACGUCGGCAGGUGGUGGUUUCAAUGGGUGACGUGGCAUGACGUGAUUGGAAGAAGACAGAUCAACCUGACGGAAAAAGAGAGAAAAGCUCAAACCGGUUUUGUUAGUAAUCGGAAACUAUGGGCCCUACCUUCCCCAAUUUCUAAUGCAUUGCCAACUAAGGACCCGGAGCACGGCCGAUUGACCUUACAACUCAGAACCAUUUUUGCCGAUUUUAUCCAGUUUCACAACCGAUGCAUAUUUUAUAUUUUUUCAAGCUGCAACUCCGAGCACAAAAUAAACGUAGAAGAAACUUUUUAUGAGUUUCAUGCAUAACAUUAAAAAACGAUUUAUAUAUAAUGAUCUAAAUUAUACGUACAUAUACAUUUGGCCAAUUAUGAUCGUGAUCCUUCCGGAGAGUAGUAGUGUCAUUUUGAUGAUUCACCAAUCUAAAUUUUUUAUAGAAAAAUUACUCUAACGAUUUGAUAUAUAUGAGAUAAAAAAAGGUGAUUAAAAAUUAUGUUCACGGAAAACGUUGUAAAUUUUUUUUUUUAAAUUUGCAAUCCAAACAAAGCAUAAUUAGUGGUACUAACAAUAAUAAUUAAUAAAGCUAGUAGUAAUUCAGUGGGGAAUGGUUUGGUCAAGUUGGGCUAUUAUAUUAUGUCAACUAACACAAAGCCAAGCUUCAAGAGGGGAAAAAAAACACACACACACACACACACAAAGAGCGGAAAGGACACAUCACCGCUGGCCCACAUUGAAAAAAGUGGGAAUUGUGGGACCACCAAAUCCAGCUAAUUCAUCGGCACAAGUUUCUUUCAUUUUUUGGGCUCAUUCUUAUUUCUUCCCUCCUCUUUUUUUUGAGUAGAUUCAACCUGUGACCCCAUCAUCACUUUAGUUAUUCUACAUGGCACUCUCAACUUUGCCAAAUUACAGUUGCAGUGGCAGUAGUUAGACCCAACAAUAUAAUAAAUGAAUAUGUGUUGCUUCUAAAUCCCUUUCCGCAUGUGGCAAGUACUUUAAACUUUCUCUACUUUAUCAAAAAGAAAGGACAAACAAUUAUUGAAGACGCAAGUAAAGCUAGUAGAGUAUUCUCUCGGUUCAUAUACUAAUCAGCUAGGCAUAUUAAUUAUUUUGUGCUCCUCCUAGUGAACUAUUAUUUUAAAAAAAUGGAUACGGAAACGUGUUCAUGAUGCAAGCGAAAUAUUAUUUAAAAAAAAUGAGCUAUCCAAAUAUGAAUGUUUAAUUAAGUGGAGAGGUUGUACUAAGGGAAUUCAUCCCUUUCGGGAAAUCUUUUCGAAUUUCAAUCCGUCGAUUCGCAAAAAUAUUAUUUGAUUUAUCCUUCAAAUUUGUUUGGAACGUAGCGACAUUAGCUGGUAGUGAAAAUUUAUUAUUUGAAUCAAAAAAUACUUUAGAAUUAUGUGGUACGUUGUUAUCAAUAAUGAUUGAUUAUUGUUUUGGUGAGACACCAGAUUGAUUACUCAUAUGAGCACGAGGAACUUGAGCCUAAAUGAUGAAACGCACCCUCUUGUAUUUUCAGGCACAGAAUCCUCACUAAUGGAGGAGGAAGCGCAGAUGCCACGUGAACUACUUUUGUUCUCUAGCUACUUGGGUUCGAAAUAAAUAACGUUUUAUUGCGAACAAAAUCUAAUCAGAAGCACCUGUACCCUCUUCCUCUCUAUGCUCAGUAUAUUAUUCAUCCCUUCUUCCCCUCUUGUUAUCAUCUUUAUCUUAAUAGAAAAGGAGCAUAGUUGUCAUUUCCUACCGCAUAGUUGGUCUUAAUGAAAAUUAUUGCUUACCUGUUAACGUGGUGACAUUUGUGCUGGGAAUAUCCAAGUGUACGUCCAUUGAGAAAAUCGGAUGGAUGGAUGGAUUGAUUGAUGUCCCUUUCACUUCGCCGGAGAAUUUUGGAAGACGCACUUGGGUUGGACUUUGGAGUUGUAGUCCGGUCCGUUGGACGUAACUUUCUUGCUUUUAAGCCUUCAACCGUGACCCGAGAUCCACGUGUGCUUAAAUUUUUGGUGCGCUUUUUUAAUAUGAAUAGUGACUUUUUUAUACGCUGACCGUGCAGCGAUGUUUUUACCCUUACAUGGUACAAUUCAUACACCCUAGAAAUUUCAGAUGAUAUGAUACAAUUCAGCCGGAAAUUUCUGUUAUUGCUGAUUCAAUCGUGUUCCCUGCAAAAUUUGAGAUGAUACAAUUCAGUAGUAAAUUGCUGCAUUGUUUGAUUCUUCGGCAAAAUUUCAUCCACCACUCACCCGCCUUCUCGAAGUUCUUUUCCACUUUUGCGGGUCGAAACAAAUUUCUUUGAAUUCGAUUCCCUUUGCAUGGCAAAAUGUGAAAGAGAAUAAUAAUAAUGAAUUUACGUGUCACCAAGAAACAGUUGAACAUUCGGCAUCAGUGGCCCUUUUUUUUUUUUUUUAUUAUUUCGUAGUUGAUUCAAAUACGGACUACUCACCUUUACUGCACACUUUUAUUCUUGCGGAAUGUAUAUAUAUGACCAAAAGUAUGCAAACUUUUCAUAUCCCUUUUUUUUCCGCGGGAUAAGAGCAAAUUCUUUUACGUCACGUGGAAAGAAAUGGUUUUCAUUUCUCUAACAUCACCUCCAAAAAAAAAAUUUUUUUUUUUUUAAAAAACUUCGAGAAUGAGAACCACUUACCAAAUGAUUGGGUACAAGUGAAAGUUUAUAUCACAAAAAAGCUAAAAUCUAUAUCAUCAUCGUCUGUCUUAAUGGUUCCAGGGAAAAGGGUUCCUAUCAAUUCAUGAGAACUUAAUAAUGUAAGCGAGUGCAUUAUUAGCAAAAGAUCUGCCUAAAAAUGCUCCACCGUUCAGAACAGCAUUUGCUUUGGUAAAGGGUGGGGGGAUUAGUGGUUCAUGCUUGAAACGGCUUUUCAUUUCUCUUGGAUGAGUUUUGAUCCUAUCCACUUCCAAAACAUGCCAACUAAUAAGAUGAAACACUUGAUACAAAAAAGGUUAAAACCAGGUCUGACAUGAUCACCUCUAGACCCAACAAUGUUAAACAUUGUACUAGUGUGUGGGGUGGGGGGGCCAACUCCCAGAAAAAUAUCAAAAAAUUUUGAGAUGAGGAUUGAGGAUUUAGGCCCUACAUUCCGUGCAUAGGCAAAGAUGAUCAGUAGGCAGUAAAUGCUGAAAAAGAUGUAUUGGCAGCUCACCCUCCUACGAUUAGGCUUGGGACUGCCUAACUCAUUGCUUUACUAAUCUCUUGACUCUGAGAUUAGGACAUCAACCUAAUCCGGCACAUCCUUUUGGUUCAAUCUAGUGAAGUUCCUCUUUUCUUUUCUUUUUUCUUUUUUGGGGAAAGAAUCUGCUGAAGUUUCUUGUUUUGCAUUCUCUUUUUACGGACUCGCACAAACAGGAGUGUUUGGAUGUCAAAUUUUUUCAAAUAAUAUUUCGUUUGCAUUAUAAACACAUUUUUUAACUUAUCUUUUUAUAUUCAUAAGCACCUUUUUAUCUCACAUACAUCAUACCAUAAAAAUGUUACGUUCAUUAUUUCAAAUAAUACUACUCUACCCAAACAGUUUGUACGAGCCAGCCGGGCAAAGCAUAGGAUGGUCCUCCCCUUUCAUACUUUAUGCAGGACUUCAGCCCACUCAUCAAAAUUAAAAGCUAAAGAAGAGAAUAAUAAUAUGUUACAGCCAAUUGUUAAGGUCUUCGGGCUAAUUGGUAUAGGGAUUUGUUCUUUUGCUAAGCAAAACCGAAUCCUACCUCGCAGCCAACAAAGUGUGUAAUUUCAAGUCAACCCUAGUAAUGGCGUUGAAAAAAGAAAUGAAUAAUAGCCGCCUCAUCACAACCUUUUUUUUUUUUUUUUUUUCCUUUCUGCACAAACAAAAGGACUUGCAAAUUUUCGUGUUUUCCCGUCACAUCAGCUUGGACUUGUAAAGCAGUAGUUUGUUUAGAUUUUUCUCUCUUUUGGUUCGACAAACUCAUCCUGCUGAGUCAGUUUACAAAUGCAGUAGUUUAUCUUGAGCAAUCAAAAUGUCUGCCUUUGUAUUUUAUUUUUUUACCACUGCAAUGUACCUCCAGAGUUGAUUGAAGUUGUCCAUCACCUGAAAAUGAAAUUGCCGAUCCCAUUAUAUAUAUAUUUUUUUUAGCAUAUAAACGAGUUCUGCAACAAAUCUUAUUUAAUGACGGCCAAAUUUUUAGUAUUUAGGCAUUAGAUACGGAAAUCCAAGCCCACCAAUUACUGCGUGAGUUGUGAAUUAACAACGUAAUACUGCUUUCGUCAUUCUAACAAGUUUUCUAAUCUAAUAAUGGUGGUUCAACCGAUUAAUAGAAUUAAUAAUAAACUUGUGGGCCACCACCAUGACCCGGAUAGAAGGUUCCUGUCCUGCGUCGUCCUGAAGCAAUUGUUGCGUAAUUACAGUUAUUAUUUUAAGCAAAAAGCUGGUCGCCGUCCUAAUCCUCCGGUGGAAUUAAAUUUCAGCUUCUUGUUUUUUCCUCCGUAGACCGAAGAAACACACACACACACACACAAUUAGAUUAGAAACGCUCAGAAGUCAUCGCAAGAACGAGUCAGAGACUAAUCCAAGAGAAACUCACAAAUCAGCAGGAGUAUAUACAUGUACAUACGCUACUAGCAGUUAUUGUUAAUUAGUAAUUGGAUUGGAGGGUUGUUGACCUCACUGCUCAAUUAUACAAGAAGAAGAAGUACAAUAAUAAAUAAAGAAAACAGUGGACAGGUUUUGAUGGUUUGUGGGGCACAACAAUUUCAGAAUGAUGCGCUGGAAAAUUGCACUGCGUGAUCCUUAUUGUUUGUUUGUAGUUGUUGUUGAUGAUCGCUUUACUUUUACUCCAAGUGUCUCCAACCUCCAUUGGUUGUAAAGAUUUCGCUUCCUGUACACUGGGUCCCCUCCCCUCUCCCUCUUCUGAGAAUUGUUCCAUCCCUUGCUCUAAAGAUUCCAGAGAUCGAUCAAAUGAUGAACAGUUGUACCCGCAUCGUUUGAAUUGCAAUUGUUGAAGCACAGAUCGACACCUGAUUCAUAACUAACUAGGUUAGCUGGCUCACAUCGAAGAGUUAAUUAGAAAAAAUAUAUAAAUACGAGUGAAUAUAAUAAUUGUUACUACGUGUAUCCGUAUAUACAUACAUGAUAGGUUGGAUGCGAUUUAAGUGUGAAAAACCCUUGAUUUAAAUUACAUCCAGCAACUAAUAGCCAGAUCAUUCAACAAUGAUAGUGACCAUUCUAAAUGGUUGGAACAAACUAAUCAUGUAAUACCAUCAUAUGAUUGGAAAAAAAAAUCUUAUUUCAUCGUCUGCUGACGAAUUUCAAACUAAUCGUGUAAUACCAAGAUGGGUUUGUAGCAUCUCUCCAUCUAAACCUUAACACAAUAUAUGCAUUAUUUAUAAUCACAUGAAUCAACCCAAGAUUAAAGCCAACAUUUCGAAUUUUUUAUUGGCUAGAUGUGAUACAUUUUGCUUGCUUUUUUUUUAAAAAAAAAAAAAAAAACUUAGAGGUGUGAUAACCAUGAUUCUAGUGUUGAUACAUAAGGCUAUUCAUACUAUUAGCUGCAUCCCACAAAUGUUUUAUUUUUUAAAGUUUAAUUUUAACAUUCUCUAUCAGCACAAAAAUUUUUUCUUCCCCGAGGUGGAAUUACUGUAGCGCUUUUUUCUUUCCCAAUAUAUUUGGAUAGAGUAUUAUUUGGAAUAAUUACUGUAGUACUUUUUGUGAUGUAUUGUAUAUGAGAUUAAAAUGUGAUUGAAAAUAGAAAAAGGUGGGUUGAAAAAUGUAUUUAUGAUACAAGCCAAAUAUUAUUUGGCAACUUCGUUUGGAAAGCAAUUUUUCAAAGAAAAAUUGUUACGUUUUUCGCGAACACAUUUUUUAAUCAUUUUUUAUCUCACAUAUAUUAAAUAUCUACAAUAAUUUUUUUUACAAAAAAUUCAGAAAAAAUGCAAUCCAAACGCUCGGGUAAUAAGUGCAGUCUUGGCGUGAUAAUCAAUCUUGACGUGCGUGAAAACUAAAGUCCAAUGUGCUAGCUAGGUUUCAAAUAAAAAGCAAAACAUUUUUAACAAAUUGAGAAAACCAUUGGAAAGGGACCUCGCCUGAUAUAAAUUGUUAUUUUUUCCUUUUCAAGUUAUUACAUGUCUUAGUUAGUAUGAGAUGAGCCAAAUAGGUCUCCGCGAGAAUUAUGAGAUCCACUUUUUAACCAAGAUAAGAUAAAUAUUGCUACUACAAAGUUUGAAAAAGCAGAAAAAGCGAAUGUACACAGGAGACAACAUGGACAGCGGCCUCUCCUCCAUUUGUCUCCUCCCAAACAAGCAUGACAAACAAUCUAGCAAUUUCCACAUUUUGCACUAUUGUUCUAUAUAUCCUUGUGGUUCUGGAGAAUAUGCAUGCAACCCUUUUUUUUUGCUUUUUUUCCUCUUCUUUCUUUAUCCUUUUCUUGUGUUUCUAGGAUUUCUAGAAAAGGGCAUGCUCUGUUGUGGGACGAGGAAAUUCUACGCAUCCAUCAUUUUCCUACUUUUAAUGUCCUCCUCCUCCUCUUCAGUCCCCCCCGAUUGAUGAAAACCUGAAUGUAUCCGCAGAAUGUGCGCCAUCUGUGCCAUCAUGCAAACUGAUUAACAACAACAACUUCUUCUUUUCAAUUCAACAUCAUCAUGAUUUGAACGCAUAGAUACCAAAAAAUUGGCGCAUUAUGGACUUUUUUUUUCUGGUUUUUCUCCCUCACUUUGGCUAACCCAAAAGUUUCUAGCUAGAUUACAAAAGAAAUAGAACAACACCCACCAAUCUCUCCUCUUUUCUUUUUCGUUUUCUUUUCUUUUCCUUGGCACAUUAUGGACAUUAUGAAGAAUAUGGUUCCUUUCGUUUUCUUCAGGAGAUACUAACCAUUAUUUUUCUUCAGGACUGUGGCCGACGCUUAUUGAAAGAUUGCAUGUAUAAUAAGUCGUUGAGGAGAAGCAUCAUAUGCUUUGAGAGAAAAUCUGAUAGCAAAAAAUGGAAGAAAAGACAACGUACAGUAGUUAACAAACACGCAGAAAAAAUCUUUUCCCAAAAAAAAAAAGGGUUAAAAACAAAAAAGCCCCAUGUGAUAAACUUAAUACACAGAAAAGCCCCCCAUGGUUUCAAAAUAUAUAACGCGACCCCUCAUGUUUUGAACUAAAUUGUAAAGGUGACGGAAUCCGUUAAACCUAACGGAAAUGACUUAUUGGAACCUAAAAAAAAAUUUUUAUACCUAAUUUUUUAUCAAAUAUACCUAUUCUACCCUUUAACUCUCAAUUCUCUCUACUUAGAAAAUAAAAUAAAUGAUUUUUUUGAACUGUCUUUUGUUUAAUUAUAUAAGGGUAUUUUGGUCAUUUUGACCAUUUCCGUUAAGUUUAACGGAUUCCGUCACCUUUACAAUUUAGUUCAAAGCAUGAGGGGUCGUGUUGUAUAUUUUGAAACCAUGGGGAGCUUUUCUGUGUAUUAGGUUUAUCACAGGAGACUUUUUUAUUUUUUACCCAAAAAAAAAAAAAACCUUAGAAAAUGGCUUAUGCCUACUGUUUAAUGCUUUUUUUUUUUUGUUUUUUGUUUUUAUCGACAUAGUGGAGAUCUUUGCUGCGUUAUGAUAACUGACAAGACACGAGUCAUUUCGUUUGAAGCUCGGAAGAGCAUAACAUCUUCCAUUGCAAGAUGAUGAGGAGAGGAUCAUUCCUCUAUCUCCUAGUGCACAAGAGCACUCUGUCUAGGUAGGUGUACAGUUGAUUAAUAAAAACUGUUAACGUUUUGGAGGAAAAAAAAAGAUUAAUUCAGAGAGCCUAACAAGUCACAACAAUGAUGCUUUUUCUUUUUUUUUUUUUUUGGGACAAAACUGAAUUAUCACCCCAUAUAAAACAAAAAAAAAAGAUAAUUAGCCUUGUUAUUUAAAAAAAAAAAAUCUGUAAAAUUCUUUGAACCCCCAAAAAAAAAAGGGUCAUUAGAAAGAACAAAACUCUUUCCCGAUGGGAUGAGAAAUGGAGAAACAGAUUAGUAACUAUUGAUGCAUUGCAGACCAUGUUCAUUAUUUUAUUUACACAUAUCGAAGAUGAUGAUAGAAUUUAACUAUAUUGAUGCUCUAAUAAUGAGACGUCAACUAGCCUAAAAAUAUCCGUACCUUGCUAGCUAGCAGAGGAUUAAAAAAAUAGCAAAUUUCCAAACUGAUAAAAAUGAUACUCCACAAAAUAUUUAUUACAUUAUCUUUGCACUCUUUUUUCACGAGGAGUAAUUUUUUUUUUUUUUUUUUUUGCAUGAGUUGGAGAUAUAUUUAUUUGAAAUUCUCAGGAUAUAUAUUUUAUAUUUGACAUAAUUUCAGACGGGCUCAUAGAAACAAAAUCUGUACUUUUUUGUACAUAAAAAUAACGGAAAAAAAGAUCCACCCAAAUUAUUUAUAUCUGACAACUUUUUUCUGCUUUAUUGCGUGGACCAAGUGUAACAGAACAUUUAGAUUCCGUUUACAGGCCUCGGCCUAUGAACUGUUGAACAACCCAUUCCCAAACAUGGGCCCAUCUUUGAAAGUAACCCAAGGGACCAAAAAAAGGUUCUUCUGAUACGAAUUAUAUCUCCCAGUCCCACCAAAAGGAUGAUGAUAAAAAUAAUUAGAGUGAAUCUUCGUGCUAAAAAAGAAAAAUUCUACUCUAACUGACAUAUAAUUGUUGUGAAGUUGAUAUCAAAUUAGGAAAUUUUCACUUGAUACAUUCUAACGUUCACAAGGAAAAUCGGGGAUAUUUGUGUCCAAAAUAGAUUUCUUUGUCAUGGCACAAGGAAAUGGCCUCAUUUGCCUUGGCGAGAUUAAUAUCUUUCCCAACUUUUAACUUGUUAUAGUGCACGGUAUAUCCUUCCUGCACACAUGAUGCUGCGCUCCAUAAUUCAGCUGACAAGCAUGUCGGAUGCCCAAUUUUAUCUUCUUUCUUUUUUUUUUUUUUUUUUUUUUUUUUUUGUUGCUGCAGAAGGAGAAGCCUAAAGAAGCUGUACAAAAGAGACUAGCAUAUUUAUGGCUCGAUUAGAUCAAAAGGGUGUUCUAACACUUUUUUGGAUUUUUUCACUGUAGAUGGGGUUCGAACUCCUGACCUACGGUCUAAAGAGAGAUUUAAUCCCUUUUUGGUGGUCACUGAGCCAAACCUCGGUGGUUCCAAUUUUACUUGCCUAUAGCAAGCGUAGAUUCUGGUUGCAGAAUUCAUGGAGGCUUAUUACAUAUUCUCCCACAGUCUUGGUAUCAAACUGAACUUCACGUACUAGUACUAUUAGCAAAUUCAUGUUGUUAUACAUAUAUUGUUGGUAUAUAUAUUUAGCUAAAGAAAAAGUUGCACAGGACAUAAAUAUGUGAAAUAACUAGCAACAUCAUAAACAUGAAAUCUAAGAAAAUAUUCAAUAACGCAUAAAUUAGUUUUGCUGAUGACAAAAAGAGUUUCAAUUUCAAAAAAAAAAAAUUAAUUCUUGGAAAAUUGAAAAUUUUGAAAUGAGAGGGUAUUAAACGAGGCCCAAUUUCCAUUUGGUUGGUUGGCUGGCUUUUAAUGGGUUCACAAGAAAACAGGGCUGAUCCUAUUUCCAGGUGGGCGCGGAGUUCGGAAACGGAAAUUGUAUAUUAAUUCAAUGAGCAAAAACUAGCCGUUGCCCGGGUACUUUCCCAAAAUUACAAACCAAAAACAAAGAACAAAAACCCCUUUCCGUAGAUGUCUCAGGAGUUCUAUCCCUUCCCAUUUCUUUAUCAGAAGCCCCUGAGAUUGUUCGUCCAAGGCAACAUACCCAGACCCACAUGCCGUACUAUUCUUGAACGCUAUUUUAUGAGAUCUGGAGGCUUUUCUUUCUCUUUCCAUUUUCAAGAACUUGGUGGGCUAACUCCAAUUGUAAGUCAAUUUCAUUGAAAAGGAAAUUUCUUCUUCUUUUUCUUGAUCAGGAUUUCAUUUCCCGUUGUGGGUUUUUUUAAAAUAGUUGAUAUUUCAGUCACUGCGUAUUUUUUCUAAUUUUGGUUUACUUGCGAAAAUGCUUACUGUCUUUAGUGUGUUUGAGGGUUUAGCGAUUUUUAUUUUGCAAAGAGAUUUUCAUGUUUCUUAUUUUUUGUUGCUUAAUCUCUUUAAAAAAGAAUAAAACUGUAGUUUAAACUUUCUUGGUUCUUUCGUUUCUACAUCCUUGAACAAUUUUUUUGUUAUUUUUCUUUAAUAAUGAUUUUGGUAUGAGCACUGCAUAUAUAUAAUUUAGUGUUAUGCUUACAUUUCUGAGUAAUUUUUUUGUGAGUCAAUUGAUUAUUAUAGUCUCCAACGUGCAUUUUUCUGUUAAUUAAGUAAGGGAAUUUGUGAACAGAACGCUUGAAUAUGAGAAUUGGGACCCCAAUAACGACGCCAUCUUCAAAGACCAGGAGGACUCCUUCAUGUACGCCUGGCGGUGGUCCAAAAGCUCAGGAAGAGAAGAUACUUGUGACUGUUAGGGUGAGGCCACUUAGUCCCAAAGAGCAAGCUGCAUAUGAUCUUAUUGCUUGGGAAUUCAGUGAUGAACAUACGAUCAUUUCAAAGAAUUUGACUCAUGAGAGACCUACUGGGCCAUAUACUUUUGGUAUGGAAACCGAUGUGGAUGAGAUAUGUUGAUGAUAUAUUUGUGCUUGAAGUUCUGGAUAUUAAUGAAUUUGCUGUUAAACUUAUGGCAGAUAAAGUGUUUGAUCCGUCCUGUUCGAAUCAGAAAGUUUACGAGGAAGGUGCUAGAGAUGUUGCUCUCUCAGUUCUAAGUGGAAUUAAUGGUAAUAGGGAUUGUUAAGUUUAAUUCAGUAUCUUGAAUGUUGUUGAAUUGCUAGAUUCCAGAGUCAACUUUCCAUUGCCGAUCUUCGGAAAAAGCACUUCAUCGGUUAAAAAAAAAAACCCAAAAUUGUCUUUGGACAAUGCUGAGCAUGUGUGCAUAUAAAGAUAUGUGCAUGGAUGUCUAUAAUGAAAAGGAGACGAAGGCUCGUACAAGAUACUUUUGAUUGCUAACUUUGGGUUGAGAGUUAGUGAUGUUGUUGUUUAAGAACAAGAUGCCCUUUGAUAGGAAAUUUAAAAUCCAAAGACUAUGGAGUUUUAACGUUUUAGAUUUCACAUUUAGAAGUCUUUUAUGCUCCUCUUGAUUCUCAGUCAAUGAGGAUCUGAAGAUGAUAAUGAAAAUCUUUCUCUCUCUCUCAGCUUAGACCUGGGAACUGAACUCUUACCAUCCUGAACAAAGAUAUGGAAUUAACAAAAGGUAGAAAAUGGAAAUAGAAGAAAAAAGGGCAGGAACACUUUAAAAGUUAAUGACAGCUGCAGACCUUAAAACACCAAGAAAAUGACUUGAUUCUGUUUUGUGUUUUCAGAGUUGAUGCACCUGUUGAAGUCUUGCUAUUGUACUUUGCUGGAGCAAAACAAUGUUGUCAUAGUUUCAUCUGUUGAAAGCUGUAGUUUUGCCCAUGUUGUUAUGCUUGGUUCUAUAAGUUAUGCAUUUAAUAAAAUCUGGCUUUUAUCUUGCAGCAACAAUAUUUGCAUAUGGGCAGACCAGUAGCGGGAAGACAUUUACCAUGAGGGGAAUAACAGAAAAUGCCAUUAAGGACAUUUACGAGCAUAUCAGCGUUGUAAGCUAUUCUUCCUUCACCAAAAUCUGAAGCAGCAUUUUGUAAUAAUGCAUGGUGUAGCUUUAGAAAUUUUCCUGUAAAGCAUUUUGUUGAAGGUGAAUUCCUAUGUGGCAUAUUCUGACUAAAUAGUUUAUUUCACCCUCCAGACGCCAGAAAGAGAGUUUGUGCUUAAGUUUUCUGCUCUUGAAAUCUAUAACGAGACUGUGGUAGAUCUCCUAAACCGCGAUUCUGGCUCCCUGAGGCUUUUAGACGAUCCUGAGGUAAACAAGUUGUUUUUAGAUAACAGAACUUGUUGAAUUUGUUUUUUCCUUGAUCUCAUACAUUCAAUAUUAAUCUCUUAAAACAAGUUUAAAUUGUUCCUUUUUUUAUUCCAUCUAAACAGAAGGGCACUAUUGUAGAGAAACAAAUUGAGGAAGCUGUAAAGGAUGCCCAACACUUGAGGCACUUAAUUGCUAUUUGUGAAGGUAGGAGAUUCUGCUGUACUCAUACUGAAUAGCCUGUCAUAUGACUGGUGCUACAUGUGUGGAAAUACUCUUGCUUCUUUCCCUUGAUGAUCUUGACGCUCUUAGCAUGUCAUUUUCUCCUUGAUCACCAACAUUGCUAGUAAGCACAAACUAUUACUAUGCCUGAUCUGAAUUCUGCAUUGGCAAACUGUGUUCACUUGCAGCUCAGAGACAGGUAGGAGAAACUGCCUUGAAUGAUAAAAGCUCAAGAUCACAUCAGAUAAUCAAGCUGGUAAGGAGAAUUUAGUAAUUUGGGAUGCUAUUUUACCACUGUUAUCUUGAUUUUUCUAUUGUUAACUUCUGAGUUGUCAGUUACGUUCGCCAGUAUUAGCAUUGCUUCUACUUAGCAGAGACAGAAAUGUCAUCCUCUAAAACCCCCUUUCUGAAUAAAUAAAUUUUGUAGUUGACUUCUCUUUACUAGUAAAGCAAGAGCAUUCUUGCUUACCUGGUUUUCAGUGGAAGGAUAUACUUUUCUUCCAUUAAAAACUCAAUUUUGUAGUACCCCUUCAAUACUGGUGAAAUCUCUUGAGAAUUCAUUUUUUUCUCUCGUGAAUCUAGUGAUGAUCAGUAUUCUUUCAUAUUUUAAAAGCCUCAGCCCUCUUUACAAAUUCUUUUUAGAUAUUCACAAUGUGGUUGGUCUGUACUAGUUCUUUCUAGUUCGAGACUUCCCUUUUUAUUGGUUUGUGGGAUUGCAUGUUCUCAAACUAAUCCAUCAACCUCUCAAAAUUUUACAUUAUUUGUAUUAUACUGUUUCAUGUGGUAGGAUGUCUUUUUCUCGUGUGUGACCUGUUAAAUAAAGUUUGAUUGAGUAUCUGUCAUGGUUGUGAUGUCUAAUCCAAUACUCUUUGAUAUCCAGACAAUUGAGAGUAGUCUUCAGGAAAGUACUGGAUCCUUGAGAUCUUUUUUAGCAAGUCUGGUAUGCAUCUCUUUCCCUUGAUUCGGAACUUUCUUUGGGGUAUAUCGCUGCACAUAUCUCACUUCAAACUCUUUUUCCUUGCAGUAUCUAGUUGAUCUUGCUGGAAGUGAACGUGCUUCUCAAACAAAUGCAGAUGGUACAAGGUUCAAGGAAGGGAGCCAUAUUAAUAGAAGCCUGCUGACUUUGACAACUGUAAUUAGAAAGCUAAGGUAGCAGCUCAGGGAUAGGAAAUACUGGUAGUUUAGCCUUUUGAUUUGAAAGUUCUCUGUAUGAUCUUGUUGGUUAGCUGAUAAGAGUUUUUCAAACAUAUCAAGCUAUUUCUCUUGCUGAUAUGAUGAGUCUAGGCAUUCUUUUAUGCUGAUUUUAGAAUCAUUAGAGCUAGAUAAGUACAAAGGCAACAAAUGAAUAUAAUCUUUUAUUUUGCUAUGUGCAGUGGUGGCAAGAGGAUUGGUCACAUCCCAUACAGGGAUUCAAAACUCACAAGAAUAUUACAGUCUUCAGUUGGGGGAAAUGCACGAACAGCAAUAAUUUGUACAAUGAGUCCUGCUCUGGGUCAUGUGGAGCAAUCACGGAAUACACUCUCCUUUGCGACAAGUGCAAAAGAAGUUACAAAUAAUGCACAUGUGAAUCUGGUAUGUUAGCAAAAAAUUUUGGUUUAAAUGAUUCACCACUGUGUUGCAUAUUAUGACGUUGUUUGUUUGUCAAAUAUGGUCAAAAGUUUGUAAAACUUCCACUAAAAGAAUGACUUGUUACUAAACAGAAUUUCAUGGUUUAACCAAUUGCUUACAAAAGGAACAUUUUUCAAUUUUGACGAGGCAGUAUUAUCAAAAUUGUCCCAACUUCUUGUGGAAUCUAAUUCUACUCCGGAUGGAAACCUUGAAUUUGAAUAACUGAUCACAUGGAUUUCACUGUGUAUUUCUUAUCAUUUUUUCCAGCAGGAUCUAACCAUGCCAGCUCAAGUUUAUUUUGAUCAAUGAAAUGAAGUAGAAAUAAGUAGGUUCUUCUAUCUUCAAAAACUGAAUUCUUAUAACACGAACUGAAAGUGCAACUUCCAAUGAAAAUAUUAAAUAGAUAAAUGAACUUUCAGCUUUACCAUGUUAGAUAUCUAAUUGGAGUGGGAAUAUUUACCCUAAGGACUGAGUUUGACUUAUUUACUUUGUUAAUUGGACUCUUGAGUUUGGUUUGAUUGGCUGCAAAGGAAAUGCAGAUGGCCACACUCUUAUGAACUAAUAUAUUACACUAGAAAACUUGGGGAUGAAUUAGUUCAGUUGACAAACUGAAAUAUCUUGAAAAGUCACAGCCUAUUCUGGUAUUAUGCCUUCUGUAUAUCAAUAUCAUUUCAUGGAUAUUCUCUUUCAUCUUUGCACUAUUCUAGUACACUAUUGGAUACUCUCUUCUGUAUAUCAAUACCUUUGUACUAUUCUCUUUCAUGGAUAUCAAUAUCCUUUCAUGGAUAUUCUUGUUCAUCUUUGCACUAUUCUAGUACACUAUUGGAAAGUUGGGGACGAUUAGUCCAUUUGCUAAACUGAAAUAUCUUGAAAAUUCACGGACCAUUCUAGCAUUAUGCCUUCUGUAAAUGAAGAUUCUUUCAUGCAUACUCUCUUUAUCUUGCUGAGUAGAAGGAUUGUUUGCACUGCUGGGAAGCGUGGCAUAUUUAUUUGGUUCAAGCACAAUGAGCCAUCAAUAUGAUAAAAGUCCUUAGUUUGAAAUUUAUUUCCACUUUUCUAGGUUGUUGCAGAAAAACAAUUAUUGAAGCAUUUGAAGAAGGAGGUGGCAAGACUUGAAGCAGAGCUCCGAAGUCCUGAACCAUGUGGCUCCUCGUCUUUAAGGUCCUUACUAAUUGAGAAGGAAAUGAAAAUCCAGCAGGUAGACUACAAAGAGCUCUUUGGGUAGAUGUUAAUGCUAAGUGUGCAGUAAACCAAGACACUUUCAGAUGGUUUUUGGUCAAAUUAUUGUUUCACUUCUGUUUCUCAGAUUGAUUGCAUGACACCCAAUGUUAGUGGUGCAUUUAGGAAUGUGCUAUAUACAUACACUUGAAUGAAGGCACAAGUUUUAAUAGCAAAAGUUUUAAAUGCAGAUGGAGAUAGAAAUGAAUGAGCUGAAACGCCAAAGGGACAUUGCAGAAUCCCAGCUUGAAUUAGAAAGAAAAGCACACAAGGAACCAAAGGGAUCAAAUCAGCACGGUCCGUCUCGUCGUGUAGUUAAAUGUCUUUCUUAUACUUCUGAGAACGAGUCAGUUUCUGGAGGGCCUCUUCCAAAAAUCCAGCCCAGGAACUUAACUGGAAGGCAAUCACUGGUUAGACAGUCAGCUACUUCUUCAUCCAUGCUGGUGCAUGAGAUUCGAAAAAUUGAGAUGAGCCAGAGGCAGCUUGGUGAGGAAGCGAACCGUGCACUUGAUUUACUUCACAAGGAGGUUGCUUCUCACAGAAUUGGUAGUCAAGAUGCUAAUGAAGCUCUGGCAAAGCUGCUUGUAGAAAUUAAGGAGAUGCAGGCUAUCGGUUUAGUUCCCGAAACUAUUGAGAUUAAAGACAAAGGUAGCUUGAAAGAAGAGAUUGCCCGAUUGAACACUCAGGAGACUAAUAUUGCAUCUCUAGAAGAAAAGCUUGAGAAUGUUCAGAGAUCCCUAGAUAAAUUAGUGACGUGUUUUCCAAGUGGAAAGGGGACUCCUGAUUUGAGGACUUCAGCCAAAAAGAAAAAAGGUCUUCCAUUUACACUGAGCAAUUCACCUAACAUGCCAAACAUGAUAAGAUCUCCAUGCUCACCUGUGGAACCAGGGAUUGAAAAUAGAGCCCCAGAGGCUAACAAUCUUUCAUCUGGUAGUGAUGGCUUCUACCUUCGAGAGAGCACUCCUCGUAGAAAUCACGAAGCUAACAAUAUCUCAUCAGCAGAGACUACCCCUGCACCAAAGCAUUCAACCUCUGUUGGUGUGAAGAAAAUGGAAAAGAUGUUCAAGAAAGCGACUGAGGAGCACAUCCGGAGUAUACGAACUUACGUCACAGGGCUUAAAGAACGUGUCGCAAAGCUGCAAUACCAGAAACAGCUUCUGGUUUGCCAGGUAAGAUUUAUUAACUUCAGGCUGUUCUUCUUCUCUUUUGGUUAAAUGAGGUUCUUAUUUAUAUGAACUUAAGAGCGGCGGAAAAUGACUCAACUGGUAUGAGAACAUGUUGAACCAUUCAACUUCCCAUUUCUUGUUUAUACAUAAACAUGGAUAUAUUAGGAUAAAGCUGGUAAUGAUAAAAGUACUUGAGUUUGAAAUGGUCUGCCAUGAAAUUUUAUUGUAUCAUAAUGUUGUAUGGGCUUGAGAAAAAAGCAAGCCUUUAAUAGCUGCGGGCACGUGGUGUAUUUUGUUUUUCAGUUGUUCUUUGAACAAAUGUUUGGUACCAUUUUAAUAUCAUUGGCAGCAGCAUCUGCCAUAAGUAUUAGUAUCUGAGCUUUGGAAUCUGAAUCAUUUUUCUCCGCUCCCAGUCUCUUUCUUUUGGGUAUUGCAUUCUUCACUGAAUGAGUUUCUUAUCUUUCUAUGGUCACUUUUUACCAUAUUUGUAUUAGGUGUUAGAGCUGGAGGCAAAUGAAGCUGCAUCUGAUGGACCCGAUAAUAUUGAAGAAUCUAGCAUCUCAUGGCAAUCAAUGUUUGAAGAACGAAGGAAGCAAAUUGUCAUGUUGUGGCAUUUAUGCCAUGUGUCAAUCAUACACCGCACUCAAUUUUAUUUGCUGUUUAAAGGGGAUCCUUCAGAUCAGAUAUAUAUGGAAGUUGAACUUAGAAGGUUGACAUGGUUGGAGCAGCAUUUGGCAGAUCUUGGUAAUGCAAGUCCAGCACUUUUAGGUGAUGAUCCUGCAAGCUUUGUGUCAUCAAGGUAUGUUAGAAGCGUUUCAGAUUGACUACUAUACAUGCGGGCAUGCAAGUGGUGUAGUUUUAUACCUUUUCUAGUUGAUUUUUUCUUGUCUAAGUGCUCUAUUACUUGCUUUGAAAUGCAGCAUCAAGGCCCUUAAGCAAGAGAGGGAAUAUCUAGCAAAGAGGGUGAGUACAAAGCUGACUCCAGAAGAAAGGGAAAUGCUAUACUUGAAAUGGAACAUCCCACCAGAAGGGAAAGGCAAAACAAAGAGGAGGCUGCAACUUGUAAAUAAACUGUGGAUGGACCCUCUGAAUAUGCAACAUAUAAAGGAAAGUGCUGAAAUUGUUGCAAAACUCGUGGGGUUCUGCGAAACUGGUGAGCAUGUCUCCAAGGAGAUGUUUGAGCUCAAUUUUGUCUCCCCUUGUGACAAAAAGACUUGGAUCGGUUGGAACUUGAUAUCCAAUCUCUUGCACUUGUAAUCACCAACCUGUUAUUAGUGCUUCGAAUUCCACUCAAGUUUCUGAGAUCAUAGCUCUGACCAACCGUUUGUAUAGAAUGUCUGCCUGUCUAUCUGUCUGUAUGGUCUUAACUCCAGCUUUUGUAGCGGUAACAGUUCAAAAUAGAUGAAUGAAGAAAGCCCGUUUCCAGAACAGAAACGAGUGCUUGAAAAAUGCCCGUUUUUCUUCUUUUCUUGGGCUCAAGUGUCUGUUUUUUGUGGAAUGAUCAUCACAUAGUUGAGCCUUCAAGUGACUUUACUCCCAAGUACGGGAUAGCUCCAGAUGUUGUUUGGACUCUGGACUAAAGAGUUCCUUGACAGCGCAAAGGCGUGAAGAUGAUGUGCUGCUUUGCCUGGUUAAACCAGUAAAAAAAACCAUGACCUGAAAAGAGGCGCAUCUCCUUUCAAAUGAGGGACAAUAAUGUCUACUGGAAUAAAAAAGGGGGAAGAAAAAAAAAAAAAUAUAUAUAUAUAUAUAUAGUUGUCCCCACUCAUAAAAAAUGUGAGCUAUAAGACAUGGUUAAACAAUUAAGAUUCAAAAACUCGUUUGAAGGUGUCAUUUGUUCAUAAACUUGGAAUGUGUGUAAUUAUAAAAUUAGAUGUUUAAUCGAUUAAUCAAUUAUUGAUCAUACAACUCACUGAUAAAGGGUAAACCAAAACUAAUCUUAUCUAUAAUAAUUUACUACUAAUCUUUUUUCAGUACUGGAAUAUAUUCAAUAUUCAUCCUCCUUUUUUUUUGUUUGUUUUGUAGAGAAAAAGAAAGUAAAAAAAAAAAAGAAAAGAAGAAGAGAGACGCAGUAUAUAUUGGAAAAAAGUGAAGGGCAAAUGAGUCUUUUCAGCAAGUUAAAUAUGUCCCCAGUGUUAUGUUAUCAGCAGCUGCCCUAAAACCUCUUGAACGCUACCCGCAGUGCAAACUUCGGACGUAAGAUUACCUGCUGAACUACGUCGUAUUAUACACCUCCUCCGACCAUCUUGAUAUUUCAUGGGAAGAGAAAUUAGCAGCGGCGGACAAAAAUCCUCCUCUUCGUCGUCGGCGGGGAUGUCGUACACGGUGGAGCAGCUCGUCGCCGUCAAUCCUUACAACCCUGACAUUCUCCCCGAUCUCGAAAACUUCGUCAAUGAGCAGGUUCUCCUUUUUUUCUUUUGGUUUUCUGAUGAUGAUGAAUAAGGGAAAAAAAUUCUUAUCUUUAUUUAAUCCAAUAACUAAGGUUUAUUUUGAAUGUUGAAACUAUAAAAACAUGUAUUUUUAGGUAUCUUCCCAAACGUACAACUUGGAUGCUAACCUCUGCCUUCUCCGCCUCUAUCAGGUUAGCCUACCGCUGCAAUUGGUCUUUAAUAUUUGAUUUUUAUAUUGUAAUAAUGCUGAAGUGAUUUUAGAAUCAUGAAAAAUGAACUACUUUUAAUGUUAUUAAAAACGGUUUCUUUUUUGCGGAUUUUGUAGUUUGAGCCGGAGCGAAUGAGUACUCAGAUUGUUGCUCGCAUUUUGGUUAAGGUAAAAAAAAGUUAGAAAACUAUUAACCUUUUGUUUUAUUUCAAAUUUCAUAGUUUUGGUCAACUAAUCAUUUAUCUAAUAUCGUUGAACUUUGUAAUAAUGAACAGGCACUUAUGGCAAUGCCGGCUCCUGAUUUCAGCCUUUGUCUCUUCUUAAUUCCUGAGCGAGUGGUACCUUUUGAUAGACUUUAUCUUUUUUUUUUUUUUGGCACGUUCUUUUUCUUUUUGCAACUUUGUCGAGUUGGGAAAGAGAAUAUGGAAGCUGUUGUAAACAAUGUUAAUGUUGGUUUCUUUUUAUUCUUUGGGUUUAUGAAAGUAGUCAUUCUCUUAUUGCUGUAUGAAGGAAUUGUGUUGAUUGGAAGAAGGUCACGUGUCAAAAGUAAUCGGGAAAAGUUGAAGCUUUACAAUUAUGAGAAAGUCUUCCAAUUAAAAUUUUAUUUUCUGGUGUACUUUUGAGUUUUUGUUGUUCCAGCUAAAUAUUUGGUUUACAAGUUACUUUCAAGUCGGUUCUAGUUCUUCCUUUUGUGAGAUCUAGUGAGGCAAGUUUAUCUUAGCUCGUUUGUUCCAGUUCUCUUUGCUGUUAAUUUGCUCUGUAAUCUUUUGUUUAUUGUUGUAUUAUUCCAUUGAUACCUGGGUUGUCUACUUAUCAUGUGCAGCCAAGGCAUUUCCCAUCAUGUACAGGGAUUGUCCACUUAUUCAAAGUUCUAGUUGAAACUUGUUUCAAUCAAAUGGUUCAGUGAACAAUGAGAAAAUCGACUAGUAAGAAACAAAAGAAUUAUAUCAGUGUUAAGGCCCUUAAACAUAAGAAGAUGCUUCAAUAAUUGUAAAGUUAGGAUGGUAGCAUCUUAUGUUGCUCCUCGUUUUGAAGUGGGACGGUUAGUCUUGAUGAUUGAAAUGAGAAGCUUUUGCUUGUAUCUCUGCGUGGUUGGAUGGAUGGUCCUGGGGUAUAUGUUGGGGUUAAGUGGGAGGGAAGGGGUUUAGGCUGAGUGGCUCCGUGCAGAUGAGUUUAAUUGGGACUUUCUUGCUUAACAAUGCAAACUAAUUUGGCUUCUAGGUGGACAAUUUCCACUUGAAACUGCUAGGUGCCAAUUUCGUGGGGAGGUUAGAAAAUCUCUAUUACGUGAUCUUGGCUUGGUAUGCUAGUAGCUAAGAUUGUUAUAUAAAUCUCCUGUAGCUGGCAGGCUUUGAACAGCCCUUUUAUUUAGGAAAUCGUGGCAUACGCCUUUUGCAGCACAUUUGUGGUCAAACUUUGUUGAAGAAAUUAGUAAUUGAAUAAAAUACUUGUCAUCGGAAUUAUUUCAGGCUCUUUAUGCAGGAGUCUAAACUAUGCAUGAGGUGGUUGCUGUUCUGGAAAUAGACUAUCUUUUUCUAAACAGUUUUAUUUGAUCAUCAACUCAUCUCAUCUGAAUUGGCAGCAAAUGGAGGAACAGUUCAAGACGUUAAUUGUGCUUUCGCACUAUUUGGAGGUACACUUUUACCUCAGACCCUGGCAUAUAUUUUUUAUUAAACAGAUUAUAGAUCAGAAUUUUGAUUCAUAUUCUGCUGCAGACUGCAAGAUUCCGUCAGUUCUGGGAUGAAGCUGCUAAGAGUCGGCAUUUGUUAGAAGUUGUGCCAGGUAUGUCAUAAUGUCUAUGUAAGUUGUAGCAUGUAAGUCUAUGGUUGGUGGUUUCAUUUAAUGAGUAUGCAAAGCAGUACAUGGUUACGAGUCUCAAACUGCUGGAAUCAUCUUAAUAAUCUGUCUUGCUGUUUUUCACAUUCUGUAUUCUGUUGCCUCUUCCCCAGCUUGCUUCUGGCUCUUAUAUUUUACUUCUGCAAUGUAAGCUUUUGGUUGUCUGUAUACUCCUGUUAAUGAGGACGCAACUGCAGGUUUUGAACAAGCAAUUCAAGCAUAUGCAAUUCAUGUCCUCUCCUUGACUUACCAAAAAGUUCCAAGGUCUGUCCUUGCUGAGGUAUGGUUCGCUUCUGAAAAUUGCUUUAUGAAUUUUCCAGUUGUUCUUUUAUUUCAGUAAUGUGACUGCAGAUUUUUGCAAGUUUUUCUUUGUAGAUGUUACACCAAAAAGAAUUACCUAGCUUAUGGCAUCUGGUGCUUAGAUAUUCCCUGAUCCCUGUUAAAGUUUGUCUUGGAUUCAAAUUCCACCACAUGCAUUAUUGCUUUUGCAUCGGUGGUAGAUUUGGUGUUUAAUCUUGUGUUUUAAAACUUCACUUGUUGUUUCGCAAUUCUGCUCUCUCUCUCUCUCUCUCUCUCUCUCUCUCUCAUGGACAUACAUUUCAUGCUUACACCAUAUGAAACGUUUUAUUUGAGUUUAAUCAUAAAAUACUCGUCUGUACUUUUGCCUUGGUAUCAUACAGGCCAUCAACAUAGAAGGUCUGUCUUUGGACAAGUUUGUUGAGCACCAUACAGCAAACUCUGGUUGGGUUGUAGAGAAGGGCCAUGUUAAGAGCCCACUCAUUACACUUCCAAGCAAUGAGUUCAACCGUCCAGAGCUUAAGAAAAAUACUGCAGACGGUGUACCAUUCGAGCAUGUCGCCCGUAUCUUCCCCAUUCUUGGCUAAGUAUUACAGUUCAAUGGGAAGGAAAAUAUCUCAAAAAUGUUGUUUGUUCUAACGGAAUUCUGGUGAUUAAGAUGAAAUGAGUUGUAAAAACAGUUUUGCCCUAUAUUUUAGAUGCUUGAAUUCUUCUUUUGGAGAAAUUUUUAGUUGUUGCCACAUUUCAAACAUUGGUUAAUAAUCUUUAGGGUCUCUUUUUUAUAUUAGGUUUGACAUGUUUGCACUGAUAGAAUCUUAAAAUCCAGGACGACAUAGGCACGGCACCCCCAUUACAGAAUUAUACUUUCUAAUGUUCAAUUAUACUCUCUUGUUUUAAGUUCGAAUUACCCAUCGAUCACACUCUAUCCGAUAAUCUGAAUAGCUUAAAAGAAGAGAAUUAAUUUUUAUCAAACUAAAAUCAAUACAUUAUGUUAAAUCAUCACACUAUGUUGAAUUUUAAACUUAGAUAUAGUCAUAGAGAAAUUUAACAUGUUAUGAAGGAUAAAUUUAAUAAUUUUCCAAAAGAAGAUUUAAACAACUACCUCACAAUUUCCCAACAAACAGUUUUACAUAAAAUAUGGCAAAUAACAAUCUACAAGGCAAACAUGCAUGCCAACUAAAUACAAACUAAACUCACAAAUGUCUAAUUUUUUCUUACCCACUGCCAUCUUUAUUGAUAAAAGAUUGAUGCUAGUCUACCACACAGUACUCCUUGGGGUGUUCUCAGUUGUAAGUCAGCUGUGGAUCGCAAUCCAUAGCAUCGAGAAGCCUACAAGGUCAAUCCUUCACACUUUUGAUGGGGAUACAUUUCAACCCAGGCAGCCAAGGAGGCCGACUGAUCUGGCAACCCAAGCAAGUCGCUGAAAAGAAUUGAGCAGAAAGAGUCGCAUAGUGCCAUCCAAUAGAAUAUUGUUUUCGCUGGUUUAACGCUAGAAUGGUACCAAUCAUAACUAAAUUCUUCAGAUGCCUAUCAAACACACAUACGAGAAACAAAACCUUCACACAGACUAAGAAUGCCUACCUUUAGCAGUGUUUGGCCAAAAAGAUUUACCAUUAUUUUUUUGCCCGUCUUGAAAUUUCUUCACCUUGGCUGAUCUUUUCUUAUGCUCCUUCGGAACCGAAGUAAAAUUUUAAGUCGAAACCACAAAAUCAAAACAUAAACUGUCCUACCAAAAGUUUAUUUAAGAGCUUAUUCGCACGAUAAAUUUUGAUAGAUUCAAAAAUAAAUGGACAAAACAAAUCAAUGGCCUAAAACUGCAAGAGACAGGAGCUCCAAUGAGUUGGAUCAUAUUUACACCACUGCAACUAAGAACCGGAGGAUUAGUUGUUGAAGAAAAUAACUACAACGAAGUUGAUGAGAAAGAGCUCCAAAAGAAUCUUUAAAAUUGUUGAUGGCUAUUUACUCGGUGUACGCUAAUGUAUCAGGCUCCGACCGAAGUUUAGACGAUCGAAUUCAUUCUGCAAAUCAGACGCAUGGGCAGAGAGGAAUAAUUUCCAGAAGCUCGUCAAACAAAAGAAUGCAGGCACAACAGCUCUUUUACUCGUUUCUUCAACUCAUUUUAGACCUGCCACUGACACCUCAACUCUGC